Molecule: long non-coding RNA, 139402 nt
Filed under: Manihot esculenta (cassava)
Lineage: Eukaryota; Viridiplantae; Streptophyta; Magnoliopsida; Malpighiales; Euphorbiaceae
Description: long non-coding RNA (MESC_LNC006391)
Source: RNAcentral
CACAGAUCAGAAUGAAUCUGGCUCAUCUCCUGAGAAGACUAUUGGGCCAAAAUCAUAUUUCAUACGGUGAACUAGCAAAGGUAACUGGUCAUUUCUCGCUCAAUAACCUAAUUGGUCGAGGUGGUUUUGGUCAUGUUUUUAAGGCAUCCUUAGAUGGUGAGAUCUGUGCUAUUAAGAGACUUGAUUUUCCGGAUGUACAAUCCGAAGGAGGUUUGGAGAGGGAGAUUAUGGUCGUCAAAAGUGUCAGUCACAAAAACCUCGUUGAAUUGGUUGGUUACUGUAUUGAUGGAGCCAAUAGAUUGCUUAUUUUAAAGUAUUUUCCAAAUGGGUCCUUGAGAUCUAAAUUACAUGGUGAGUCCCGUAUAUCCUUUCUUUUUACUUUUAUGUUCGUAUAACUAAUCCAUAUAACAUGAUUAAUCUUAAAAGUUACAAAUGGUAUUGUAGGGAGUGGGGAUGUUUUGGACUGGGAAAAAAGAAUGAAGAUCGCCACAGGUUCUGCAAAAGGAUUGGAAUAUUUACAUGAACACUGUGAGUAUUUAGUACUAUAUAUUCUUACCCGGCAAGAUCUUAUGAAUUUAUUUAUUUAUUUUUAUCUAUAUUAAUAAUUUAUUUUCUCUCAAAAUUUAUAUUUUAUAUUUUUUUCAGGUAAACCUAAAAUUAUCCAUUUAGAUAUCAAACCAGAUAAUAUUCUUCUUAAUCAAGAUUUUGAACCUAAGGUGAGAUAAUUUUAUAACAAAUAAAUAUUUUAUUUAUAUUAUCACAUAUUUAGAGUAAAAUCUUGAUAAUUGAAUAUUAAAAUUUUAUUUUUCAAAAAUAUUGAAAAAUUAUAUGAACUCCUUAAUUACAUAAUUUUAUUUUUGUGUUAAUUAAUAAAUCUGGAUUCUAAUUCUUUUUUGGUUUAGCCAUAAAUUUUUGGUUUUUUUAAUAAAAUUUAUUGCUUAUAAAAAAAUUAAUAAAUCCACCUUAGUAGGUUUCUUUUUUUUUUCAUGAUUUAAUAUUUUCUUAAUAAACCUUAUUGAAGUACGGAAAUUGUGUAAUUUAUCAAAUAGAAAGGUAAAAGAGUGUAUAUUCGUGGAAUUAAGUGUGAAGUUUCAACCUUAAAUUAAUAUAUACAUUAUAUAUAAAUAGCAUAAAUAAAUUUAUUAAUUAAUUUAAAUAAUUUGUUUAGAUAACAGAUUUUGGACUUGCUCAUUUUUUUUCGACGGUGCUACCCACAUAUCCAAAUCAUCAGUUAUGGGAACCCAUGUGUAAGAUGUAACCUCCUCUUCUAUCAUUUAAUUGCAAUGCUAUUAUUGUCUUUCUUUUUUCAGUGCCAUUAUUAUCUACCCUUAGAAUAGUUUAAAAAUAAAAUUAAAAUAGAUAAAAUAAUACAUAAAAAGAUAUUAGUACUCCUUAACUUGAUGGUAUUAGUUUCUUAAGAAAUCUUAACAUAAAUUUUAGUUCUGUUAAUUUUAUUGCAGCUAUGAAGAUCCAUUGACAACAAAACUGGGAAAGUAUUCUGAUAAAUCUGAUAUUUAUUCUUUUGGAGUUACACUUUUAGAGCUGAUUACUAGAAGAAAACCUAUACACAAUGGCACUGACAUUGUUAUUUGGGUAUGACUCUGUUUGCAUUAAUACAACUUUGAUAUAAAAAUUCUAUUUUUACCUUAUAAAGUUUUGAAUUUAGAUCUCAAUUGGAGCUAUUUAGAUUUCAAUUCAAUAUAUUUAUGAUCUAUUAAUAAAUAAUUUUUUUAAUCAAUAUCUUAUAGGCAAAUCAUCUAAUUAAAAAGGCUUUGGAGGGAAGAUAUACAAACUUUGUAGAUUCUAAUUUACAAUCCUUUGAUCAUGAACAAAUGUAUCAAAUGGUUUCUUGUAUUAAUUCUUGCAUAAAUCAACCACUAAACUCUCGGCCAACAAUGGAAAAGGUAAAACUUUUCACAUAUUUAAUUUAAUUUUAGCUAUAUAUUAUAUAAUUUUAAUUAAUUUUGUGAACUCGAGAGAUUACAUAAUUGACUUGUAAUCAUUUUAUUGCUAUGUCAUGUAGAUACGUCUAGUUCUUGAAGGAAAAUCGCCUCCAGAGGAAUUAUACGAUCAUGAAUUACAAUGGAGUAUUAUACAUAGAGGUUUAUAUUCUUUUAUAUUAAUUUAUUAGAAAUUAUAUGCAUAUUUAUACUAAAGCUCGAUCAAAUUGAUGCCUAAAUUAAUUUCCUAAAUUAAUUUUCAUUUAACUUGUGUCAUAUCUUAAAAUUAGAAACAAAUGUUGAUUUUCAACUGCAUAAAUAUUAAUUUUUUAAUUUGAAACGUAGAAUAAAUUUAUUAUUAUAUUUUAUAGAAAGAAAAUGAAUAAUAAUUUUGAGAUAAUAAAAUAAAAUAAAUAAAAAUUAUGGAACGGAAAGAAUAUUAUUUAAUUAUUUAAGUAAAGGUAAAUAAAUAGAAAUAAUGAAGCCGUGAAUAGUUUUUUGAUAGGAAAAAAAAUAAUUAAUGUCCAUGAAAUCAUUUUCUAUUUUGAGAUAGUUUAAUUUAUUUUAAAAGAUCUUAUAACAUAAUUAUUUGUUUAUAUUAUAUACAUAUUGUUUGACAAAUUCUUAAUAAGAUGAUUUAGAUUGUUUACAUAAUAAACUUAUUUUUUUAUAUAGUUAUAGUCUUUUUAGGUAAAUUUCAAUCAUAUAGGUUAUUCGAAUUUAUAUUAAAAUUUGUCUAAAACACUAAUAAUUCACUAUAUGAAAUUAAGAAAAGGAAAAAUAAAAGUAUGAAAAUUAAUUAGUAAGCAUGGUUAUUUGGCUUAAUUAAUAGAGAUAAUUUACUCAUAAAGCUUGCUUUAUGUUCACAUAUGGAACAACUUUAUUUAAAAAAAAUUAUUGUAAAAUAUAUAUAGCUUUUUGCUCUAUUUUCUUUGAGAGUUGCAAAUUAUAUUAAGAAAACAAAAAAUCUGAACUUUUCAUCAAGCUCACGAGAUCAGUUGGAAAAUUCUUAUCUUAAUUUCUUUGCUUUCUAUAUAUGUAUAUGCAAUGGUUCCACAAAUUAGAUAUAUACACUAACUAAAUAUGGCAUGCUAUGGUUUGCGUAGAUGACGAAUCUAGCUCAUACUUUGAAGAGAUUGAUCAAAUUGAAGAAUCUGGCCCAUUGCAUGAAAAGAAUUAUAAGGGUAUUAGGCCGAAGCCAAAUUCAUUUAGUGAACUAGCAGUGGCAAAUUAUAAGGGUGGGCUAAAGCCAUAUUCAUUCAGUGAACUAGCAAAGGCAACUGAUCAAUUCUCGCUUCAACGCCAAUUUGGCCAAGGUGGUUUUGGUCAAGCUUUUAUGGCAUCCUUAGAUGGUAAGAUCCGUGUUGUCAAGAAACUUAAUAAUUUUCCAGAUGUACAGUCUGAAGGAGAUUUCGAGAGGGUGAUUAUGGUUCUCAAUGGAGUCCGUCACAAAAAUCUUGUUAAGUUAGUUGGUUAUUGCAUUGAGGGAGCAAAUAGAUUGCUUAUUUCAAAGUUCUUUCCCAACAUGUCAUUGAGAUAUCAAUUAUACAGUGAGUCCCAUAUCCUUUCUUUUGCCUAUGUUCAUAUAACUAAUUAAUAUCACAUAAUUAGUCUUACAAAUUACAAAUGAUUUUGUAGGAAAGGGGAACGCUUUAGACUGGAAAAAAAGAAUGAAUAUUGCUAUAGGUUCUGCAAGAGGAUUAGAAUAUUUACAUGAAUACAGUGAGUACUUUUAAUUUUUGAGAGUGAUUUUUUUUUUAAAUUUUAUUUUUAUUUGUUUUAAUAAUUUAUUUCCUCUAAAAGUUUUAUGCUAAUAUUAUUUUCAGGUAAACUUAAAAUCAUACAUUUAUUUAUCAAGUCAGAUAAUAUUCUUCUUGAUAAUGACUUUAAUCCUAAGGUAAGAUAAUUUAUAAAUUUUAUUUAUAUCACUACAAUGUGGAAUCUUCAUCAUUAGAUUCCGAAAUUUUAUUUUUGAAAAAUUAUGUGAACCCAUUAGUUUGAUUGUUGUAAUUCAUUAAUAAUGAGGCUUAACAAGGUUUCUUGUCUUUUUUCAUGCUUUACUACUUUCUUAAUAAACCUUAUUGAAGUACGGAAAAUAGUGUAAUUUAUCAAGUAAAUAUAUAUAUAUAUAUUCAUGAAAUUAAGUAGUAAAUAACUACACCUUUAAAUUAAUAUAUACAUUAUAUAUAUGCACAGCAUAAUAAAUUUAUUAAUCUACUUAAAUCACAUGUCUUAGAUUUCAGAUUUUGAACGUUCCCUAUUCUUUAGGGAUGCUACUACUCAUGUGUUCAGAUCAUCAACUCUCGGAACUCACAUGUACGUAAAAAGAAAAAAAUUUCUUUUUAUCAUUCAAUUACAUCACUAUUAUCGUCUCUUUUCUUUCGGUACUAUUAUUAUCUAAUCUUAGAAUAAUUUGAAAAAUAAAAUAAAAAUUAAAACAAAGAAAAAAACACAUAAAAAGAAAUUAGGAUUCCUUAUUUGAAAAUAUUAGGUUUUUUAAAAAAAUCUUAAUAUAAAUUUUAAUUGUGAUGAUUCCAUUGCAGUUAUGCAGAUCCAUUGUCAACAAAAUUAGAAAAAUAUUCGGAUAAAUCCGAUGUUUAUUCUUUUGGUGUUAUACUUUUGGAACUGAUUACCGGAAGAAAGCUCAAGAUGGAUGAAAACAUUGACAUCGUUACUUGGGUAUGGCUUUCUUACUUGUAAUAAUUUAAUAUAAAAAUUGCAAUAUAAAAUUAUAAUAUAAGAAUCAAUAAGAUAAAAAAAAGAAUUAAAUUUAAAUCUCCAUUGGAUUGGAUGUAUGCAAAUAAAAUAAUAAAGCAUUCUUUAUAGUCACAUUAAAAACAUUGAAAAAGACAAAACUAUAUGCUAUAAGUUAAAUACAAAUGCACAUGUAACAUGCAGUUAUGAUUCAUUAAUAAUAAAUAACUUAUUAAUCAAUAUCUUGUAGGCACAACCUCUAAUAGAAAAGGCUUUGGAGGGAGAAUAUAUGGAUUUUGUAGAUCCAAGGUUGCAAUUGUUUGACGAUCAAGAAAUGCAUCGAAUGAUUUUUUGCUCUAAUGCUUGCAUAAAUUAACCGUUAAGAUCUCGUCCAUCGAUGAAAAUGGUAAAAUUUAUUCACAUAAUUAAUUUUGAUAUAUUUCACUAUUAUUGUUUAUUUUCAAUUAAUUUUAUAGAAACAUUGAGAGAGUACAUAUUUGACUUAUAAAUCUUUCUAUCAUUGAUAUGUCAUGUAGAUACUUCUAGCUCUCGAAGGAAUUCUUCCUUUAAAUUCUUUGUGAUGAGAUGAAUGACAACAAAUUGCGAUUGGAAGCUACUCAUAAAGGUCCGUUUCUUAUAAAGAAUGGGAAUAUCUAUUUCGAAUGUUAUUCAUUUUCUAUAGAUUUAUUAAAUAAAAAAAUUUAAAAGUAUACGGUUUGUUAUAUUUAUUCUAAAUUUAAAAUUUUGAACAAUAAAAUCAAUUUUUUUUACAUUUACUUCAAUUAAUUUUGAUAAAAAAAAUUUUAAUCUACGUGUCAUAUCACAUAGGUUUAUUUUUUGCAAGGCCUACUCAAUAAAAAAAUUCAAAAUUAACAUUAAAUUCAUAUUUAUAUUGAAAACUUUUGAACAAUAAAAUCAAACCUUUUUUAAUUUAACACAAUUAUAAUCAAUAGGACUAAAUAAAUUAAAUCUGAAAAGUUAAUGAUAAAUUACAAUAUAAUCCUUAAAAUUUUAUGUUAACAAAACAUAUAGUCUUUUAAUUUAACAUAUAGUCAUUUAUAAAUUAUAAUGUAGUCCCUAAAUUUAUCAUAUGUAAUAUUAAAUAUAUUAUAUUAAAUAAAUAUUUAUUAUAAAUAAAUUUUCAUUGCAUAAAAUAUCACAUACAAAUAUUAUAUAAUAAAAUAUUUUAUUGAAUAUUUAAACUCAAUAUUAUAAAUAUAUUCAUAUUAUUUCUUUAUUUAAAAGGAGUAGGAUAUGAACUUAAUUCACCUUUUAAAAAUAGAAGUAUCCGUCUCAGUUCAUCUACUUGGUGAUUUUGCUUUUUUCCUUUAAUAAUAUUCCUCUUCUUAUUUGAGAAGAUGGAUUGUUUUCCCAAACCCAUUGCCUUUUGGAGAAGAUGAAUAUGUUACAUUUAAUAAAACCUUAAACCUUUCUCUUCUUAUUUUUAAUAGACCAGAGUUUUCCUUAUCAUUUUAAGCUUUUCUCUUUUUAUUAUUUUCUUUAAACGAUGACUUAUUACAUUAUUUUCUAUAUUAAAUAUGACCAAGCUUAUAAAAUAAUCCUUUUUAUUUAAUCUCAAUAUCAAAUACUAUAUGAAAUUUUUUAAAAUAUCGAUAAAUUUUUUCAUUAGUAAUUCAAUAAAAAUCUAUUAGCAAAUAAUACAAUCUAUUUUUAAAAGUUUCGCUGGUAAAUUUUUACUAACAGAUUUUAAAUUUAUUAGCACCACUAUGAAAUUUACCAAUAUAAAUUCUCAUUUUUUAUUCAAUUCGGAUAGUAGUGUGGAAUUUUUCGGAUUGAGUUACAAUUUGAUGCAUAAAGAAAACAUACAUAAAAUUUAAAUCACAUAAAUAACAUAAUUUAUAUUCAAUAUUCAUUAAAAAUGUAAAUAUAUAUUUGGAAAAGAAAAAGAGUAAAUGAUAAAAUAAAGUGAGAAAAAUAGAAAUGAAAGAAAAUAAAAAUUAGAGAAAAGUAAAUAGCAUAAAAUGAGAAGAAAUUAUAAAAAAGAAAAAAGAAAAAGGAGAAAAACAAUAGAAAAGAAAAUUAUAGAGAAGAAAAAAAGAAUGAAAGAAGAGGGAAAGGAUUAUUAGAGAAGUGAGAGAAAAUAAAAUAAAUAAUUAGAGAAUAAAAUAAAUAAAGAGAAAAUAAUAGAAAAUAAUGAGUUGCAAAACUCACCCAUCUUUUCUUAUUAAAUUUUAUAAUUUUGCUAUCAUUUUCAUAUAAAUAAUUAAUUUUUAUUUGAAAUUUGAUUUUGAACGGAUUUUAAGGGAAAAUUAAGAAAAAAAAUGAAAAGAGGCUGAAUUGGAAGAUUUUCGGAUGAGAAUGUUACAACCUUGGAUAAACUUGUAGUCUAAGGCGAUGGAUAGCUCCACUUCACUCCGAUUAGUAAAUAGCAUAAAAUGAGAAAAAAUUAUACACAGAAAGAAAAAGGAGCAAAACAAUAGAAAAGAAAAUUACAGGAAAAAAAAAAAGAUGAAAGAAGAGAGAAAGGAUGAUUAGAGAAGUUUGAGAAAAACAAACAAAUAAUUAGAGAAGGAAAUAAAUGAAGAGAAAAUAAUAGAAAAUGAUAGUGGCAAAACUCACUUCCUUAUUAAAUUUCAUGAUUUUAUUAUAAUUUUAAUAUAAAUAAUUAAUUUUUACUUAAAUUUGAUUUUAGACAGAUUUUUAAGCAGAGGUUAAGAAAAGAAAUGAAAAGAGGCUGAAUUGAAAGAUUUUUAUUGGAAAUGUUACAACCUUGAACAAGCUUGUAAUAUAAAGCGAUGGACAACUUUAGAUUUUAAAAAUUUUCACUUCAGCCUGAUUUUUCCACUUAAAAUGAUAAGAUCAGUUUCAAAUUGGAUAAAAACUAAUCAGAUUAGAAUAGGAGUGAGAUAGGAGGAGUAGAAUUUAUUUUAAAUUAUUAAAUUUUAUCUUUUUAUUGAAGAAAAAAUCUAUAUAAAGUCUUUCCAAAAAUUAAAGCUACAUCAUAUUCUUAUCUUCUCUCCCUCCUCUUCUCUCUAAGCUGCCCCUCUUCUUCUCCUUCUUUUUUCUUUUUCUUUUUAUUUAGAUUUUUACAACUUUAUUAUAAUAUUUAAGGGCUAAAUACUCUCUUUUCAGUCGAAGGUUAAUCCAAAUUGAAGUUCUAUUUAAGUUGUGAGAUUAUAUACUUCUAUUCUUUUCAUCUUAUUUCUAUUUUCUAUUAAUUUCGAAUUUCGAGAAACACCACCUCCAUUUUUGUCUUUUUAAAAAUUCAAGAAGCCUAUUGAAUCUCUUGAAUAACAUAUUACUAAUUAAACUAAUUAAAUCCGUAAUUGUUUAAUUGAAUUAAUUAUAAGUACUAAUUAACAUAUUAAUUUAUGUUAAGAAAUUAAUAGAUUUAAUUUAAAUAAAUAGUGUAUUUUUAUUGAUCAAGUAGUUCUUUCCUUUAAAUGCAGUUACUAUUAUAUGCUAAAUAUGCACGUGACAAAUUUUUCCUAGAAGAUUCUGGAAAUUCUAUUCUAGCAGGUAAAGAUGAAACUUUUGUUUAUGUUUCCUCUUCGUCAUAUUGCUUGCUCAAGCUUAUAGAUACAUGAUCAAUUCUCCAACUGCAGUUCUAUGUCUUCAAGGUAUGUAAAGCUAGAUGUUUAUUUCUUCGGUGUAAUUCUUUUGGAGAUAAUUACUGGGAAAUUACCUGUUAGUGAUAUUAGUUCCUAUGAUUCCUUCAACUUAAUUGAAUGGGUACGUAUUAAUUUUUCUCUUUUAAUACAAAUUAAAAGAGCUUCUUCAUUUGAGUAUGUAAGGAUUUAUUUAUUUAUUUUUCUUAACGUUCAGGCUGUUCCUGCAAUUCAAAAUGAUUGGCCCAAAGGCAACUAUAAGUUUGUUGAUGAAAAAUUGGGGAGCAACUUUGACGAGGAUGAAAUGGAUCGAAUGAUAGAAUGUGCUUUAGCAUGUGUAGAGCGUUAUCCACAAAAUCGACCAGAAAUGAGUAAGGUAAUUUCAUAAAGCUUUGUAUUCUAUUUUAUAUUAUGCAUAUAUACAUGUGAGUUUUAAAUGAUUCAGCAUUGUGUUAUAUUUUAGUAUUUAGAUAUCAGUAUUUCCAUCACUGCUCAUAAAAUUAUUAUUUUAAAACUAUUAAGAUAACAAUUUAAAAUUGCUAUAAAGAAAAUUUAUUGUAUAUUCAUUAAAAUCAUAAUUUUAAUUCUAUUUUUUAUUCAUUAUGAAAAAAUAAUUAAACCGUUAUUUUAUUAAUUUAUAAUUACAGUUAAAAAUAUAAGAUAAUAAUUUAUAAUUAUCGGCUUAAAUUUAUUUUUAUAAUAAUUAUUAUGAUAAACUAAUAACAUUCCUGUGUUGUAAUCAUACUCUAAUUUGGGGAAGAAAAAAAACUCAAUUGCUAAAAGUUAAAUUUUUUAAGAAUUAUUAAUGAAGUUAGUUUAUUCCAUUUCUUGGCAGAUCCAGUACUUUUUUUUCCUUUUUCUAAUUACUUUUCUCGGCAAAGCAGGUUGUUGAAGUUCUAGCAGGAAACAUUCCUCGGAAAAAUCUCAAGAAUUGAGAUGAAAUGUUUGAAAAGGAAAAUUAUUUUUUUCCUUUUCACUAGAAGUUGGAAACUUCCUUGAAAGGCCGAUUGGACAUUGAAAUAAAAGAUAGACUUCAGUUGAAGUGGCAAAAGGAGUGUAACUGGAAGACUUUCUGAAUUUUGCUUGUAUUGAUCUGUCUUGGAGACUAUUGCAACUAAAAAAAAAAGUUCCGUUUGAAAUAAAUCGAAUGUAAAAAAGUGAUUUAACUUAGAGUAAUUUUUUUAAUUAACUCUUUUUAGUUAAUAAAAUUAAAAUUUUAGUUAUUAUGUUUCUAAAUAUACAAAUUAAAUUAAAUUCUUAUAAAUUUUUAGUUUUCAAACAGGAAAAUAAAAGGUUUUGGAAGGUUUGAAUCCAAAUAAGAACCUUGAGAGAAUUAUAUCACAGCCAAAUUGCUGGACUAUCUACAGUAGCAUUUCUUUUUCAAAAACAAUUGAAAAUGAGGUUACUUCUUAUUUUAUUAAUUAAAAUUUUUAAAAAAAAAUUUUAAAGGAAAUCGAAAUUUGGAUACAUUUAUCAUCGGACGAAAUUUAUAAGUGUAAUAUUUAUUAUGUUUUAAUUAUAAUUUAAGAAUUUAAUAAGCUAAUAAAAUGUAAUUGUAUAUUUAACAUUAUUUUAAUCUUUAAGUCAAAAUCAAUAAUUCAACUCCAACCAUAGGUUAUGGCACUAAUCAAGUAACAGAGAAAAAUAUUUUUAAAGGGAAAUACUUAUUUUUAAUAAAACUAAUUAACUCAGAGUUAGCUUCUUUUAUCAGUUUAUAUGAAUUUUAUUAUAUUAAUAAUAAAAAUAUAUUUGUUAAAUAUGACCAAAAUUUUAAAAAUGACCCUCUUUUAAAUUCCAAUAUUAAUUUAAUUCCAAUAAACUUAUCAUAUUUCUCCUUAUUAUCCAUAAUAAACAAUGACCAAGAUUUUAAAAUGACCCUCUCUAAUUUAAUUCUAACAUUAAAAAUGACCAAAUUUAUUAUCUAUAUUAAACAAUGACCCAGCUUUUUAAAAAUGAUCCUUUGUAGUUUCUUCAUUUAUUAAUAUGCAAGUGGGACAUAAAAAAAUCAUUACUUAAUUAAUUUAGUACGUCCUAUUUUAUAAUACACUGACGAAUCUGAAAGCUGAUUGGCCCCCACAAAUGGAUUAAUUAAUAAUUCAACCUUCUUAAUUAAUGCCGCCUUCAUUGACAGCCUGGGUACUGUUCUGAAACUAACAAUAUAGUAAUCUUACUAUUGCACCGACUCUGCAUAAUUUGUAUUUUUUUAGUACUCCCUACUUUCAAACUUUAAUUUUCGCUAUCGCUGUUUAUUUGAUGAAUUAAAUUUUAAAUUAAAUCGAUUUGAAUAAAUUAAAAAUUUAAAUUUAAAUAUUUAUAAAAAUAAAAUUAAAUUAAUUUUAAUUAAAAAUUAAAUUGAAUUGAAUCGUUGUGAUUUAAUUUGAUUCGAUUUAAUUGAUUUAAAUUUUUAAUAAAUUUUUUAUUUUUUAUAUUUUAUUUUUAAUAUUUUAAAAUUUAAUUAAAAUAUUUUAAUUUUAAUAUAAUCUAAUAUCUUUAUAUUAUUAAACAUAAUAUACUAUUAUCAUUAAUCAAUUCAGUUUGAUUUUUUUAUUUUUUCUGAUCAAAAUUAAAAUAAUUAAAAAUUUUAAAAUUAAAAAUCAAAACAAAUUGAAAUAAAUAAAAAAUUAAAUUAAAUUUUUAAAUUAAUUUAAUUUAAUUAAUUUUUUUAAUUUAAACCGAAUAUUACUCAAUCUAAUUUUUCUCAUUUGCUAUCAAAAUUAAAUAAGAUAUUUUCUUAUUAAAAAAAUAUUAUACACAUGUAAAACAUAUAGGUUAAAUAUAUAUUUUUACAUAUUUAUAUUUUAAUAAGAAAAUUGGCCAACCAGAUCGAUUGGCCAACCAGAAUGAAGAUUGCUUUGGGUAUAGCAGAAGGAUUGGCAUAUUUGCAUGAAGAAUGUGAGGUUUUAACUUAUUUAGUUUUUUUUUUUCCCAAGUUUUCUAUAUUGCAUUUUAUACUUUUUAAUUUUAUGCAUUUUUAGGUAAACCAGGAAUCAUUCACCGAAAUAUUAAAAUUGAUAAUAUUAUUCUCGAUGAUGAAUUUAAUUCUAAGGUAUGAUAAUAUACUCACAGAAGAGAUUUAUAAAAAAUAAUUCAACAGCUAAACAUUUUAUAAUUAAUAUUAAAAAUGUAAAUAAAGUUUACAUUUAUAACUAUUAACUGUUUUAAUUAAUUACAAGUAAUUUUAAUUAUAAAUAAGUGGCCUUUCAAAAUCUUGAUUUAAAAUACCUUCUGUUUAGAAUUAAAAAAAACUUGUAAGAUUCAUAUCAACUUUGAAUUUAAAUUUAACUUAUUAGUUAUAAAUUAAUUUGAAUGACACAAUAAAUUACUUCUAUCAACUUUUUUCUUUUCAGAUUAGAAAUUUUGGAAUUUCCAAAGAAUUUGCGGAUUCAAAAACUCACGUUUCCACUAUCCCAAUGGGAACUCCAGAGUAAGAUUCGUUCUUAUUUGUUUGCUAAAUUUUCUUUCUCAAAGAAAAUUGGUUGAAUUAGUAGUUCUCAUUUGAUAAACACUUUCUUUAAGUGCAGUUAUCUCGCUCCUGAGCAUUACACCCAAGAUGAUCAAAAUAAGAAGCUCACCGAUAAGUCUGAUGUAUUUUCCUUUGGUGUCGUACUUCUAGAGCUGAUUACGGGAAAAUUAGCUGCUUUUGAGAAGGAACGCAGGGAAUAUAUUUUCUUAACUAUUUGGGUACUUAAAAAUAAAGAAUUUGAUAUUUUGUAUAUUCAAUAUUCAAGGGUUUUUUAUUUUUUAUUAUUUUUUCCCUGAUGGAAUGCUUAACUGACCUUUGUACAUCUAUUUUGAUUAUUCACAGGCCGUGCCUCUAUUGAAACAAAUUUUGGAUGCAGACUAUCAAGAUUUGGAUGCUGAAAAUUGUAAAGAAAUUUUUGAUUCCAAAUUACCGAACAAUUUUGAGAAAAAUGAUAUGAAAAAGCUUAUUUAUUCUGCUGCUUCUUGUGUAUAUAAACCUGCAAAGUUACGCCCACAUAUGUGCGAGGUAAAUUCACAAAACCAAACCAGUUAUUUUUGGAUUAUGCUUUGCACGUGAUUAUCAGUAAAAAUAUAUGAAAUAUAAUUUAAAAAAUACGUAAAAAUUAUUUGAUAAUUUUGCAUAUGUUAUUAAAAAUUGGGAGGGUGACUGCAUGUGAUUUUUUGAUGCAGAGAGUUAAAGUACUAAAUGGAGAUAUGGAACCCAAAACUAUAUGGGUGAGAAGUGAUUGCAAGUACCUAUACAAUGGGUCACCUUACGCUCCAUUUCCUCAAGCUCAGGGAACCUCCAGCUCUUGAUUUCUAUCCAAUACAUGAAUUAACCUCCGCCUUGUAAUAAAAAAGUACGUGUUCUUGCUAAAUGCACGUGCUUUUCUAAGGGAUCAAUUAGUUAAUAAGAAUGUGUUCCUUGCUGUUUUUUUUUAAAUAUUAAUAAUGAUUGAUAUUGAAUAAUUUUUUCAUGUAUAUAUAUAUAUAUAUAUAUAUAUUGGCAGAAUAUAUAAUAUCCAUUAAGUAUUAUUUUAAAACAAAGAGAUAAUAAUUUUGACCAAACUGUCAAUUGCUUGAUCCCAUAAGAAGUAUUUCUGCAAAAAGAUUAAAGUAUAUGAGUAGUUAGUAAUUACACAUUUCAUAUUAUAGGUCAAAAUGCUUAAAGAAUUAUGUUUCACCUUGAAUUCCUGCCAAUAAAACUCCUUAGUGUCAUUUGGCACUGUCUUCCAACAGUGCCCUUCUGCGACCAAUCUUUCUUUUAUUAUCAGAGUAAUCCUGCGACUGUACAUCUCCAACGGAUGUAAACUACAUGAACAAUGGUGAGUUAGUAUAGGGUAACAUUGAAAUUAAUCGUAAUUAAGAAAUAAUUAAAUAUUACUUGUUAUUAAUGAGUGAAAUGGUCUAUUGGAAUGACUGUGUGCCGCCUACAGCAGUGGUCGAACCAGCUGAUGCUGGAGCAAAUGCUGGAGCAGAUGAUGAAGUAGAUGCUAAUGCAGAUCCUGAUAACUGAGAGUGAGUUUAGCAUCCAGGCCAUAAUUCUUGUUUAGAUGCAUUUAACAUAUCAUACAGUUUCUGUGCAGCAGAGUUUGACAUCUCAUAUGUAUCAUUAUUUAUUGCAUGAUAGCUUGUUGCAUCCAUGACCAUGUCGUCUAACCAAUUGAAAUUUGGGUGAUUAACACUAUCAGAAAUAUAAGACGUGUCUAAUAGUGCAUCACCAGAUCCGUCAUGCACUUCAGUUUCACCGUGCAAAUACCAAACAAGAUAAUUUUGCACAAAACUAUACUUCAUUAAAUGAUAUUUUACUGUAUUUUCAUCUUGAAAACUACAGUUCUGACACUUAAAUCGAUUGCAAGGGCAGUGAAUCUGAUCACCAUUUAAAUAAUAUGGGCAGUUCUUAGCCUUUUCUAUAAAUUCAUUGAUCCCCUCUAAAUAUCUGGGAUUAAAUAAAUCAUCUCUAAGACAGGCAUACAUCCAACUUCUUUUAGCAGUCAUAUUAACUACAAUAACGAUGUUGAUAUGAAAACAUAAAACUUAUAAACCCUAUCUUCAAACGAAGCCUGAAAAGUAACAAUUAAAUUAUGUAUUAUAUCUAAAAUAUGCAGUAAUUAUAUCAAUUUUCCUUGAGAGGAUAAUUGAUGCAAAAAAUGGAAUAAUAAUACAAAAAUCUGAAUUACAUGAUAAUUAAUUACUAAUAUCUUCAUAAUCACGCGUUUAAUUAAUUAUUAGGUCUGUAAAUUUAUUAAGUGCGCCAAAUUAUUUUAGAGAAGUGCACCUGUAGGUGCACUGGAAAGAAAUCACAAAUUUCAAGAAAUCACAAAUUUCACAAAAAUCAAAAAUUUUAAAAAUAUAAAACAUUUCACAAAAAUUUCACAAGACUGGAAUACAUGAUUAAGACAGAACAUGAAUCAGGUCAAACAUGAAUAAAAAAUCAAUCGGAACAUGAAUCAGGAAGAAAAUAGCGCACCUGUGGACACUGUCUGUCUAGAAUGGCAAGACUGGAGAGAGAGAGAAGGGUUCACUCGUGGACCAUGAUGCCGAGAAAGGGUGCACCUGUAGACGGUGGAUGGCAGGCGGUGGUGAAAGACCCAGAGGUUGGACGCAAAUUCGAAUUUCAGAGAGAUUUUAAUUUUUCAAACAUACGAUUUAGGGAUUUCAGUUAGGAUAUUGUGUAUUUGGGUUUAUAAUUCACUAACGGAUGAUUAGUCUGUUAGUGAAAAAAACAUUAGAUUAAAAAAUAAUAAAAUCACUUACGGAUUUCUAACAGAAAAAAUGUCCGUUAGUAUUUCACUAACGGACUUGUGACAGAUGGUUACGAACGUAUUCUUCACUAAUGAAAAUACUAACGGUUAUGUACUUCCGUUAGUAGAUAAUAAGUUUUCAAUGUUCCGUUAGAGAUAACCGUUAGUAUCAUUAACGGAUUUCAAUCUAUUAGUGAAGUCGGUUAGUGAUCAAUUGAAUUUUUGUAGUGUUUUGAAUACAAAAAUUUUAUAUUUUUUUUCACGACUCCAAUCGUGACUUAGCUGAAAAUUUUCGUAUUGCGUGUAAUACCCAUUAAAAUUAAUCCAAAUAACUUUUAAAUCUAUUUUUUAUUAGACCUAAAAUGAUUAACCCUAUUUAUUUAUUUAUUCAGUGCUUACUAUUAUAUAUAUAUUCUCAUUAUCCCUGUUAUAUAUUUUACCCAUGUGGGAUUGAAAUCUCAACUAAGGAGUAGGCACCACACUAUGAGCCAAAUUUGAUAAAAAAAAAAAAAGUGAAUAUGUGUUGAGAUAGGGUUUAAAUAUAAAUAGCCUUUCAACCAAUUUCAAUAUAAUUAAUCAAGUAAAUUAAAUAUUUUUAAAAAAUAAAAUAAAUGUGUAAUUAUCAAAUAUAUGUAAGGUAUAUAUGGAUAGCUAAAUGUUUUUCCUCUUCCCACGUUUAUUUAUACUAUAUUUUUUAACGUGCCUCUACACUUUUUAAACUCGUUCUGCAUAUUAUUUAUUCAUUUAAAUAGCCAAUUAAAUUUGAUAUUCUAUUAUUAUAAUAUUAAAUUCUUAUAACUAUAAUUUAUAUCUAACUAUAAUUAGAUAGAAAAAUUAUAAUAUAAUAAAAUAAAAAAGGUAUAUUAUUUUAGUUAAUUUUAUUAUUACAAAUAAAAUAUUAAAAAUUUGCAAGUAAAACAUGAAUUUAUUAUUCUUAUUCCUAGGGUCAACCGUCAACGUUAUAUUUUUUUUAAAGGAGAAUCCAAGACUGAACGCUAAAAUUUCCUACAGCUUUCUCUCAUUUCUAUGAUCUAAAUUUAUUAUAAUUAUAAGCAAAAUUCCGUAAAAAAAAUAGAAAGGUGAAAUUGUUAAAAAAGACACAUGAUUUUAUUUGAUAAUGAUAUAUUAUUUUGUAUUUUAAUUGGCUGAAAAAUAUAAAAAUUUAUUAUUGUUUAAAUAAUAAUUUCUUAUUUCAAUUUAAAUUCUAUAAUUUUACAAAGAAUAUAAUAUCACAAAUAAAAUUUUUGAUAUUUUAAAAGCUUGAAUAUUUAUUUAAGAAUUAUCAUAAUCUUUGUUGUGAAAAGAAAAACAUUUUAUUGUAUGAUUUAAUUAAUUUAUAUAUUUUAAUUUUUUUUUGAAAUUUUUCAAAAUAUUUUUUAUAUACAAUCAUUUUUUUUAUCUAAAAUAAAUGGAUCUUUAAUAUUGGUAAAUACGAUAUAAAAUGUGGUAGGACGUAAUAGAUUCAGAAAUUUGAUUAAAAUCCUGCUUUGUUCUUUUUAAGUGAAAGAAUAUUGAGAAAUUUGAUUACUAUAAAAUAAAUUUAAAUAACUUUUUAUAAAAUUAUUUAUGAUUUUAUUUUUAUAUAUAAUAAAAAAAUUUAAAAUUAAAAAAUUUUGAAUUCUUUUAUUUUAAAUAAAAUUUUAUAAAAAUAACUUCAAUUAAAUUAAAUUUUUAUAAAAUUUUUAAUUUCAAAAUGGAAGGUUAAAGUAUUUUAUUAGAAUUCAAAGUCUUGUGGUCCAGGUCUUUUAUUAUUCUUAUUAUUAUUUUUUUGUUCUGUUUUAUUAGAAAAUGUUAAUUCUAGAAGGCUGAAUAAUCAACGAUUGGACAUGCUUCCAUCUCAUUGGAUAGAUAGUCACCUUACGAUCCCAGCUCCAUAAUAAGGGGAGAUAUUUUAUCAUAGGACACGGCUUCAAAGCUCAAUAUCUUUCACACUUGUAAAUUAGUGCUUUUUUAGAUUUUAGUUUUUUAAUCUUACCAUGAAUUUUUAUUGUGCUUAUUUAACUGCAGCUAUGUAGCUACGUAUAUCCAUUCGCAAUAUUUCUAAUAAAUCAGAUUUUAUUUAUUUGAUAUUAUAUUUUUUAAAUUAAUUACCGAAAGAAUGUUCAUAGAAAAUGGUGUUGAUAUUGGAAAUUAGAUAUGUAAUAUACAUGUAGCAUACUCUAAAAAUUUAUGAUACUUAAUUAUAUAAGUAAAAGAUUUUUUUCUAUUAAUGCUAAAAAGGUAAAAAAAUAUAUAUAUUUAGUAUCUAAAAAGUAAAAUAAAUAUUCACAUACAACUUCUAUUUAUAUUAAUACAUUUGAAAUUCUAGUCUAAACUCAACUUAAUAAAAAUAUAUAUUUUUUAUUAAAUAUCUUACAGACAAAAUCUCGAAUUAAAAAAAUUUUGAUCGAAUAAAUUGUAGCUUUUGUAAAUUCUACAUUGAGGUUUGAUCACAAAACAAUAUAUUGAAUGAUUUUCUAUAUUGAUGCUUGUAUAAGUAACCCUUUAAAUUUUCGCCUAUCAGUAAAGAAAAAAAAAAUUUAUUCAUGUAUUGUAUUAAUAAUUAGUAAUAUAUAAAAUAAUUUCAUGGUUAUUAUGUCAUAUGGAUACUUCUAGCUUUCGAAGAAAUUUUAUAUUCUGGUGAAUUAUGUCACAAAAAGGUGUAGAUUAUAACUGUUUAGUUUUAACUUUAUUUCAGAAAUCUCACCAAUUUUAAUUUUUUAAAAAUUAAAAAAUUAUUAUAUCUGAAAUAAUUGUAAAAAAAAAUAAAAUAAUUUAUUUAUAAAAUAUACUGCAGAUGUAAAAAUAUGAUUAAUUUUAUUUUAAAAAAAUAAAAAUAAAAAUAAUUAAAUUAAUAUAUUACAUUCUUAAUAAUAAUAAAAAUAUAAAAAAAUUUAAUUAGUAUUAUAUUCAAAUCAAAUACAAAAAUUAAGAAAGAGAAUAUAAAAUUAGAAUUAAGAUGUAUAAUUGGAUACAAGAUAAUUAUUUAUUAAUUAAUUUAUAAAAAAUUAUAUAAAAUAUCCAAACCAAUCCAAUUGGUUGGUUUAAAUUAGGUUGGAUUUUGUGAUUCGACCUGAAGACUAAUAGCAACAAAUAAUUUUAAAAUUAAUUAAUUAAUGAAUGAAACGUCAUCAUUGAUUCUGAAAGAUGGAAAAGUUUAUCUUUCAAUUCAAAUUAAUUAUCCAUUGAUAGAGUCAUUAUCAUGAGUGUAGACAUUCAUAUACUGUAUGAGAGAUCAACCUCAUCUUCUCCGUUGUCUUAAAAAAUAAUUUAUUAAAAAACACCAACUUAAUUGUUAAUUUAUAUAACUUUUAUAUUUUAAAUAUUCUUUUGAUUAAAACAAAAAUAACAUUUUUUAAAUUAAAUUUAUACUAAAAAUUCAUAUAUAUUUAAUAUAUAAAUAUGAUAUAAUUCAAUAUUUAUUCAAAUUAUAAUAUACGGUGAUAAUUUUUUUUAAUCUAAAUGAUAAUAUGUUCGUAAUUAGAAAAUUCGAAUAUUCAGAUUUAAGUGUUCUCACGAUGUUUACCAAAAUAUUUGAUUUUACGAUGGCAAAGUCUCCUUGAGGCUUAUUUCUCACCGGUAAGGAUUAUUAUAAAUCAACCAUCAAAAAGUUUUUUUUUCAAAGAUUUUGAAUUACAAUAAAAAUUAUUAUAAGAAUUUAAACCAAAAAAAUGAAAAUUUUGAAAUUUAUACACUCAACAAUUAAUUAAAUUAAUAAAAUUUAGAUUAAAUUACUUUGAAUUUUUUAAAAAAUUUUAAAUUAUCUAUCUAAUAAAAUUAUUAUUUUUUAUUAAUAGUCAAAUAGAAUUUAACUAAAAUUAUCUAUUAAAAUAAUAUCAUCAAUAAAACUACAAGAAUAUUUAAAUAAUAUAAUACAAUAAUUAUUUUAAAUAUUUUGUUUAACUUUUUAAGCAUUUAGAUGAUAUUAAAAUUAGAAUAUUUUUUAAAAUUAAAACAAUCUCUUUUGAAUAUUAUUUUAAACUCAUCAAAAAAAUUAAAAUAAUCUCAUUAAUAAAACUAUAAAAAUAUUUAAGUAAAUUUAAAGUAUUCCGUUGCAUUCAUAUAUAUAUAUAUAGUUUUUAUAAAUGUCCUCAAAAUUUUCAAGGUAAACAUGCUUAACGAAUUUUUAUAUUUUGAAAAUAUUGCACCAUUGUUUUAUAAGUUUAAUUAUUAUUAAUUAAAUAUAUGCUUUUCAUAUAUAAUUAAUCAAUUUGGGAUGUGAUACCAUAGACGAAUUUUGCGCAACAUUCUCCACUUGAAUUUCUUUCGAUAAAAUUACCGCUAUUCCUUUUUUUUCCAUCAUAUACUAAAGUGGUUGUACAUGUAGGAUUGUCUGCAUGCUACAAUAACUCAAUAAAAAAUUAAUAAUUAUAUAAAUAUAGCAUAAUAAUAGAUGAAUAAAUAAUAUUUAAAAGUUUGUAGUCCACCAGAGUCUAAUACACAAGCCUAUCCUUUAACAUGCUACUCAAACUAUGCUCGGAUAGGCCGAGCAGAACGAGACUUGAGCCCAACGGAGAAGGAUCCAGCUCACCUUAUUUGAUGGGUCCGUGAAAAAUAGACCCCUUCACAUCUAGAACCAUGUCAGCAUGGACGCCGGAGGGAAUUAAUUAGCUACCUGACGAUGGAGAAAAAGGGUAGUACGUCCAUACAUACAGUUUUGUAUGAUUGCAGCAUGUGACACUGUAGUAAGGUGACAGUUAUACGUCAUUAAAGGAUAAAAAGAAAAAAAGAAUAAAGGAAAAAGACGUGAACUAUUCAGACUAAACUUACAUACACAUACCCAAAACUCUACCCUCUUCUAGAUCUCAUAUCAUAACUGGCGUCGUCUGUGGGAACGGAGGAGAUCUUUUCAUCACUAGAGUUCUCAUCUUGGUUACACUCACUGAGAUUCACAUGGUGAAUCAUGAUAAAAAUCACUUUGGAAAUACCCCAAAUGACCUAAGUUCCACCUAUGAAAGUCAACAGUUUUCAUUCUCCAAUUCUACGGCCUCAUCAAACCAAUCACCUGCAUUGUUUCACCCCUCGCUGAACUCGGCAGGAAACAUGUCUAGAACCACUCUUUCUGACCAAGAACUACAAAAUAUGGCUAUCCAACUACAGAAUACAGCUCACUGGCUGGAGCAAAUAUUACAGCAAAGGGGACUCAACACCCUAUUAAGUGUACCACCUAUAGCCGAGGGCUUCAACGUUAAUGAGUUCCAGCCUACCUUGAAUCACCAAGUCCCUCAGCAAAGCAGUAGGAGGAUAAGCGAAGGAGGCGAAGAGGCUUGCAGAAGAAAUGAGUCAACAGCUAGAACAAGGGCCUGAAUGAUUAGGGAGCUCAUCGAAAACGACGAAGUCAAGAGCUAUUCCUCCAAGAAGAUAGGAGGAUCGAAAAGUGAAGAGUUGGAAAGAGGCUACCGCUUGGAGAAACGGCCGAGAAGGGAAGAGGUGGAUGUGGACUAAAAGCUGGAAAGGUUGAGGAAGCAACUCUUGCCAGAACUGGGGGCACGAGAUAACAAUAACCCCCUGAUACCUAUCUCAUUACCGUUCGCGAGAUGGGUACAACAGGAGACUACUGCUAAGAAAUUCAUGAUGCCGCCGAUGACUGCAUCCGAUGGCAUGGGAAACCCCCGAGAAUAUGUCCUAAACUACAAAAUGUUUAUGGAGCUCUAGACCCAUUCUGAUGCUCUAAUGUGCAAGGUCUUUUCUACCACCCUCACCGAACCAGCCCGGACAUGGUUCAACAACUUAGAAGUAGUGGGCAUUAAGAGCUUCAUGGACCUGGCAAGUGUAUUCAUUAGCAGGUUCAUUGUAGGGGGUCCCGGCGGAAAGAAAAAUGAGCUACUUAAAGAUAAUCGGACAAAGGAGGAAUGAGUCUUUAAAGGAGUACAUAGCUAAAUUCAAUUUUAAGGCCCUACAGAUCCCUAAGCUUGAUGAGGCUAGAGAGGAUAGAGGCCAUGCAGAAAGGGACAACAUCCCAGGAGUUUUUUUGGCUCAUUAUGCAAAAAGCCACCCACUACCUUGGCCGAACUGAUGAAAAGGGUUAACAAAUACAUAAGGCAGGAUGAUGCCCUGACCACCAGUAGGUUUACCAGGGAAAUGGGAGAUAGGAGGAAAGUAGUAGAGGACAGACGACCUGAAAGGCAGGAGAGAAGACAGAAUUGGGGGCCCGAAGCAUUGAACAAGCACCAAUGGGAGAGGAAAGAGCAGAGGCUAUACCAACUCCUGAUUCCCGAGCUAAUCACUCUUGAAUGUGUCUAGGGCAGAGGUGCUUGUGGCUGUACAGGAUAAAGACUUUAUACAAUGGCCCAAGCCUAUGAAAGCCAAAGCCAGCCGAAGAGAUCCGAACAAGUACUGUCAAUACCACUGGACUUAUGGCCAUGACAACAAUGACUACUAUCAGCUGAUAAAUGAAAUAGAAAGGCUCAUUAAAAAGGGGCAUCUCAGGAACUUUGUGAAGAAACCAGAGGGACAGAGACCUCAGCAAAAUGCAAUGGCAUAGAGGCCUCACAGGCAGAUAAGAGGACUUGUGAAUGAUGACUCCAGUGGGAUGAUCAACAUGAUUGUGGGAGAAUCUGAGAUAAGAAUGAGAAGGAGGAGAAAGAAGAGGACCAGGAGUGGAGAAGGAAGUAGUGCCGAAAUCAUGUAGAUAGUGGAACAGUACCCUGUGACCAUCUCUUUCUCUCCAGAAGACGCCCAUGGAAUCCAAAUGUCUCAUGACGAUGCCCUGGUUAUUGAGGCCGUCAUUCACAACUUUCAGAUCCGCAAAGUCUUGGUGGACGAUGGGAGUAAGGUGAAUCUGCUACUUUACCGGGUCUUUCAAUAAAUGAACGUACCUGAAGUACAACUGGUCAGGGAUCAGGCCCCGGUUAAGGGGAUAGGUGGAACCCUCGUGGCAGUAAAAGGGAAAGUGAAAGUAGCCUUGAUGCUAGGAGAGCCACCCCUGUCCCGCACCCACUAUGCAUUAUUCCUUGUGGUGAAGCUGCCUCUGAACUAUAGCGCUAUUUUGGGAAGGCCGAUACUAUACGACUUCAAGGUUGUGACCAGUAUCCGGUACCUAACCAUGAAAUUCCCCACGGAGUUAGGGGUGGGCAUAGUGCGGGGAAGGCAGGAGGAGGCUUGAGCUGUAUAUUUGGCCACUAUGGAAGAACCGAGCACCCUGCCAGAAGAAAUAAACCAGGAGGUCAUGGAGGUCCAAAAUGAGAAAAAGGAAACCGGGAUAGAGCCAGUUGAUAAGCUGGAGACAUUCCCACUAUUUGAGGAGGAAAGCGACAAAGUCUUCAGUAUUAAGAGAACCUUGGAAAAGACUAAAAAGAGAUAGCAAUGACUCUUAUCGGAGGGCAUGCCUCAGGAUUUGCCUGGAGGCUUUCAGACAUGUCGGGGAUAGACCCUGAGGUGAUGAUGCACAAAUUGAAUGUCCUUCCUGAAGCCAAACUAAUAAAAUAGAGGAAAAGAGUGUUUGGGAAGGAGAAGCAACAAGCUACAAGAGAAGAAGUGCAAAAACUGGAAGAGGCAGGAUUUAUUAGGGAAGUCAUAUACCCAUAGUAGUUAGCCAACCCUGUGCUAGUCAAAAAGGCCAAUGGAAGUAUAGAAUGUGUAUAGACUUUACCGACCUAAAUCAGGCUUACCCAAAAGAUUGUUAUUCCCUUCUCGAUAUUAAUAAAAUGAUCAAUUCUAUGGCCAAUUUUGAUUAUUUGUCAUCCUUAGAUGAAAUAUCAGGUAUCACCAAAUUCCUAUGGACAGGUCGGAUGAAAAAAAUACGUCCUUCAUAACUGAAGAUGGGACAUAUUGUUACAAGGCUAUGCCGUUCAGACUAAAAAAUGUCGGGGCAACAUACCAACUAUUAGUGAAUAAAAUCUUCAAGGAUUAGGUAGGGAGAAAUGUGGAAGUAUACGUAAAUGACAUGGUAGUAAAAAGCCAAACCUUUCAACAACACCUAGCCAACCUGGAAGAGAUAUUCAGGAUACUGCAGCAGUACAAAAUGAGAUUGUACCCAACAAAGUGUGUAUUCUUUAUCAGGGGAGGAAAUUUCUAUGCUACAUGGUCAGCAAAAAGGGCAUAGAGCCAAAUCCAGAAAAAGUAGAAGCCAUAUUAAGAAUGCUCAAACCGACCUGUGUGAGAGAUGUGUAGAAACUUACAGGAAAAGUGAUGGCGCUCAAUCAAUUCAUGUUGAAGUUAGCUGAAAGAUGUUUACCAUUCUUCAAGAAGUUGAGGAAAGUUUUGAACUUUGAACGGGCAGAAGACUACUAAGAAGCCUUUAGAAAUAUCAAGCAAUAUCUCAGUUCUUUGCAUGUACUUAGUAGCCCUUUAGUUGGGGAGGAAUUUCUGAUAUAUUUAGCCGCCUCUGAAUAAGCUGUAAGCGCAGUAUUGGUGAGGGAUGAAGGUGGGACGCAUAAUCUUAUUUUCUAUGUCAGUAAGUUGCUCAAGGAUGCCGAGGUCAGGUAUAUGAACAUUCAGAAAUUGUCGUUUGCCUUGUUGCUGGCGGUAAGGAAGUUCAGAGUAUACCUAGAAUGCCACCAAAGGAUAGUGAUGACUGACCAACCUUUAAAGAAAAUGUUACACAGACUUGAGACCUCGGGGUGGAUGCUAGCCUGGUCUGUUGAAAUUAGCCCAUAUUGCCUCAUUUAUCGACCUCGGGCUGCCAUCAAAGCCCAAGCCUUAGUUGCCUUCAUAAUUGAGUGCUCUUUUAGCUUAGACCAUCAGGAACAAAGUGAGAGGUUAUCGAGCUCAGCCAAAGAGAAGGAAGGGGACCAACAACCGUGUGAGCUCAAAUGGGACCUAUUCAUGGACGGAGCAUCCAGCGCUGUGGGCAGUGGGGCAGGGAUACUUUUGAAAGGACCAUAUGGAUUCAGGGUGUGCUGUGUUUUGCAUUUAGAGUUCCCAGCAUCCAAUAAUAUGGUAGAGAAUGAAGCCCUCAUGGGGGCAACCGACCUGAAAAUAAAUAGUGACUCCCAGCUUGUGAUCAACCAAAUAACAAGGGUAUACCAGGCAAAAGAUCUCGUCAUGCAAAAAUAUAUGGCCAAGUUCCAAGCUGUAGAGGUCGAGUUCGUUGAGCAGGGGAUUGUUAUACAGUAUCAAAGAAUGCCUCGAGAGGAAAAUGAAGAAUGUAAUACCCGGCUAGAAUCCGGCACCGGAAUGCCUAUUGUCAGGUGGAAUCCGGGGUGUUGGGAUUCUAUAUAAGGGGAGGAGUUAUGUUUUCUAAGUGUUAUGAUGUGUUUUCUGGGUUUACAGUGUGAUAGUUUUGAGUUGCAAUGAACCAAGGCAGAGGAGCCAAGUUCGGCCGCCGAAGAUAAGUUCGGCCGCCGAAAGUGCCCCAUGUUCGGCUUCCGAAGGUACGUUCGGCCCCCGAAUGUUGCAUGGUUUUGCAUGCGAUUCGGCAGCCGAAAUUGAGUUGGCCAGCCAGCUGUUGGGCAUCCUUAGUCAGCAUUUUGGACAGGUGUUAUCACCAGAUCAUGUCCAGAAGUUGGCCACGUCUCCUAUGCUUUAUGUGCUAAGUUUGAGCAGCUCAUGCAAGAGGUUGCUCGUUUACCAAGUUGUGAAGGUUUUGAAGCAAAAAGUGAGGUUGAGAGAGUUUGAGAGUGUGAGAAGAGUUGGUCCGUUUUCCCUUGUUCAGAGUGUUUAGCUUCUUGCUUCAGGAGGUAAGUGAUGCUCUUGACUAGGGUUUUAUGUUUUCUGAAGGUUUUAUGGGAGUUGGGGAGAGAGAGAUGCAUGUUUAGGGAGUUAAUGGGAGAUUUGAUGCUUUAUGCAUGUAUUCCUGAUUAUGUGUUAUGUUUGUUUUGUUGUUUGGGGUUGUUAGAUAGUUUUGGACCCCUGUGACCAUAUACAUGAGUAUAUGUGAGUGGAAUAGAGGAGGUAGGCAUGUUUGGAGAGAUUGAAGGGAAGGAGGAGAUGGUUUGCCGUGGAAGCUGAGUUCUGGAUGAACUCAGGUUCGGCAGCCGAAGGAUCAUUCGGCCGCCGAACCUCCUGCAUGGUGACUUGGUUGCCACAGCUUGCCCCCGAGUGUUUUUGCAUGUUCGGCUCUGUUUGGGGGAUUCGGCCGCCGAAGGUGCCGCCGAAGGUGCUUGAGUUUCAUCUCUGGAGAGGACAUUCGGCCGCCGAACCUGCCGCCGAAAGUGUUCUGUCCAGCUUUUCUUUUGCAUGCUUUGCAUGGCUAGUUAAGUGAGUUUCAGGGGAUUCUUGGGGAGUUUAAUAGAGGUAUUGAUAAGUUAGUUUGGUCCCUCAUUUGAGUCUAUCUGUAUAGGUACAGACCAGAGGAACCAGAGAGAGCAGCAGUGAGUACUGCUCCAGAGUUUCAGAGCCUGCAGAGUCAGUCAGUCCAGAUAGCCGGAGGUGAGUGGAACUAAACUUAUGACUUUUAAUUGAACCACAAACUGCUUUUAGCAUAUCUCAUGCAUCAUGUUUAUGCCAUAGGGUGAUUGCAUUAGUAUCCACGAAUAUGUUGCAUUGCAUUGUUAUUUGAUGAUGUGAGGAAAUGCUGAAUGAUCCAAUAGUCUCAGACAGGAAGUCCAGGAGCCUUUGACUACGCCCUGGCAGGUAUAGAGAAGUCCAGGAGCCUUUGACUACGCCCUGGCAGGUAUAUAGUAAAGUCCAGGAGCCUUUGACUACGCCCUGGCAAUGUUACAAAGAAGCAUACCUUCUCAGCAAGCUGUCCAAAGAAGAACUAGAACAACUCCCAGACAAAGUGUACAUACAACACAUUAAUGCCCCUACUUAUGAAAAAUCAGCCCCAAUCAUGCAGAUCGGAGAGGAAAGGAGCUGGAUGACUCCCUAUUUGGAGUACAUGGAGGCAGGAAAGUUACAUGAGGACAAAGCAGAAGCAAGAAAGAUUGUACCUAAGGCUGUAAAUUAUCAAACAGUAAGGGGGACCCUGUACAAAAGGGGAAAAUCUAGCCCGAGGCUAAGGUGUGUGGACCUGGAAGAGGCGGCCGAAAUUGUUAGGGAGAUACAUCGAGGAGUUUGUGGAGUCCACGAAAGAGCAACCACGUUGGCAAACAAAAUAUUCCGGCAAGGGUAUUACUGGCCCACAGUUAAGAAGGAAGCAGAAGAGUUUGUCAGAAGAUGUGAUGUAUGCCAAAGGUCUGCUAAUGUCAUUAACAGCUCGACCACGCCACAGUUAAGUAUAUCUAGCCCUUGACCAUUCACCCAGUGGGGGAUCGAUAUACUGGGUCCUUUUUCAAAGAUGGUGGAGAAGAAGAGGUUCGUGAUAGUGGCUGUGGAAUACUUCUUCAAGUGGCCAGAGGCAAAAGCUGUACCCAAUAUCACAGCUCGCAAGGUGAUAAACUUUGUCUGGGGCAACAUCAUAUGCCAAUUUGGGAUAUCGAGGAUGCUCAUAUCAGACAAUAGCAAGCAAUUUGACUGCAGAUCCUUCAAGGACUUCACAAAAAAUAUGGGCAUAUGGCACAAGUUUUCUUUGGUAGCCCACCCUCAAACAAAUGAUCAAACAGAAGUAACGAACCAGGGUAUCCUCCAAGGACUAAAAAAAUGGUUGGAUAGAGCUAAAAAGAAUUGGCCAGCCGAGCUAAACAAUAUCCUAUAGGCAUUUCGGACUACCCCUCAGAUGCCGACGAGAGAGACUCCGUUUGCAGUAGCAUUCGGGACUGAGGCUGUAUUUCCCAUAGAGCUGCAGAUCCCCUCUCACCGAGUUCAGUUCCAUGAUGAGAAUACCAAUGGAGAGAAAUUGAGGAGUAACUUGGAUGCCCUGAGGAAGUCAGAGAAGAGGCUCAAAUAAGAACAACUACUUAUCAAUAGAAGGCAGCACGAUACUACAAUCAGAAGGGUCGCAAGAGGAGCCUAAAGGUUGAAGACUUGGCCCUGAGAAGAUUAGACGCAACGAGAAAGAGAACACAUGUGGGAAAAUUGGUGCUAACCUGGGAAGGCCCCUUCAGGAUAGCUAAAGUCGUCAAGCCCGGGGUGCACCGAAUUGAAGACCUACAGGGGCACUCAGAGCCUCACGCGUGGAAUAUCCAGCACUUAAAUAGGUAUUUUGCAUAAGAAAGAGCAUAAUAUAAAACCAUGUCCUUUGAAAUAUGAAUAAAAAUUGUUGUUUCUCCUUUUCUAUUUAGCAUUCCUAAGAGCAGGUAGAGAAGACCCAAGUGAGGUGGAUGACCGGUCUCGGAAUAUGACCAUCGACACCAAAAAACCGGUUGAGGGGAAGAAGACCCCAGUGAGGUGGGUGACCGGUCUCGAAAUAUGACCAUCGGCACCAAAAAACUGGCUGAGGGGAAGAAGACUUUAGUGAGGUGGGUGACCGGUCUUGGAAUAUGACCACCGGCACCAAAUAACUGGCUGAGGGAAAGAAGACCCCCGUGAGAUGGGUGACCGGUCUCGGAAUAUGACCAUCAGUACCAAAAAACCGACUGAGGGGAAGAAGACUCCAGUGAGGUGGGUGACCGGCCUCGGAAUAUGACCACGACACUACAAAAUCGAUUGGAAAAAAAGAAGACCAACAUAAGAAAAACGACAUUAAACAAAGGCCAUGAGCCUCCCAAAGAAAAAUUGAGCAAUAAAUAGUCGACCUAAAAUAGAACUUUGGCUUAAUUAAGACCCAGCAAAUAAGGAAAAAUCGGAUCCCAAGAAAAGAUCUCAGAACACCCAGGAAUGAUGGAUAAAAAUUUGAUUUCGACCUCGCCUAAAGGAUCGGAACACAGAACCACGAAUCAUAAACUCAAAUCCGACCUCAUUGAGGGAUACAGAUUUCAAUAACAUCAGAAAGGCCUAAAUCCAAAUCAAUUAAAAGGCUCGAACUACAGGAAAAAGAGGUCCCAAUACCAUAAAAAUGAGCUCAGCCCACUUAAAGUCCUUAGGCAAAUAAAGGGUAAAUCAGGAAAAUCCAGCCGAACGAGCUCACAAGCUAAACAUGAGAAAAAAACCUAAGUAUAAUAUAACCGAGCUCACAGCCCUAACGAGCUCGUAGGCUAAACAUGCGAAAAAAGUCUAAGUAUAAUAUAACCGAGCUCAUAGGCUAAACAUGCAAAAAAAGUAAUGCAAACGAGCUUACAGCCUAAGUAAAGCUCACAAAGCUAAAUACAUAAAAAUAUCUUAAGUGCAUUAAAACAAGUAAGCCAACAAAUUGGCAAGGCUUGCAGGCCGUGUGUGCAGAAAUAGCUUAAGUAAAUGGGUUAAGCGAGCUGAGAGGCUUGGCCGUUGCUUAAGUACAAAAGGGUAUAAACAUAAAUAAACCAAGUUCAAAGGGGCCAUUAGCUCGGAAAAAAACGCAGAAACUACACAUCCCGAAAUUUUUUAAGUAGGCAAGCAAAACACACGUUAAAGUCAAAAUUUACGAGCUACCAGCCUAAUAAAAGUUCACAAGCGAUUCAUACAAAACAAUUUAAAUAUAAAGUGAUAAAUAAAAUAGACACGAAUAAGUCAAGGAAAAAUAUAAACUUUAUUGAUUAUUUGAAUGGGUUAUAGAGGUAGCAGAGGAGGGGGAACCAAAACUAACUAAGUCAUUUAAAGAUUUGUCCACAGCAUCCUCUCCCUCAGGUCUGGAGGGCAAGCGAGGAGCACCUUUGAGCAAAGGAUUGUCGUCCUCUCCAUAACGCACCUCUUCACCAUCAGAGUCCAUUUUUGGAGCUCGUAGGUCCGCCAAUGGAGUGGAGGGGGCAUCCCUAGUAGACUUCAAGCCCUGGUUAUAGCCUGAGGCAAAAAUUUGAAAAGCCUUCUUAUAUAUAGCCUCCUGCAUAGGCCUUAUACUCCUCUAGUUGUGCUUCGCAGGCAAGAUGAAUUAUAUCUUUAAGCUCCAAAGAGUUUUUAUACUAUUGUAGGCACUCCUCGCAAGCCCGCUGGACCCUAUCCCUUGCGGCUCAGGCAUCCUUCAACAAGGCAGAACAUCUCUUCUCCAGAGCAGUGACUUUUUGGUGGAGUUAUUGUUGCUGAAGGUGAGACUCCUCCGCUGCCAAGGCCAUGCCUUUCAGGUCCUCGAUGUGUUUAUUGAGCUCCUAUUGGAGGACUGCAACGCGAGCUAUGGCCUCAUCACGCUGGUCCCUAGCCUCAUCACGCAAGUUGACGACCGGACUCCUCUAAAGAGGACAACUAUGAUAAGGCAUCGUCUCAUUGAGACUCAGCUGCAGAAGCUCGGCGGGAAGCUGACGGGAAGCCCGGGCGGCCUCCUCUUUCAUAUUCCCCAGCUUGAGUAAGGUCCUUAAUGACUCCUUUCAGCUCGACAAUGUAAUACCCGGCUAGACUCCGGUAUCGGAAUUCCUACCGUCCGGUGGAAUUUCGAGUGUCGGAAAUCUCUAGAAGGGUAAAAUCAUGUUUUUAUGAAAUGUUUUAAUGUAUUUUAUGGUUUUAAGUAAAGAGAAAGUGAGUUUUUGCAUGAAAAUUUAUCUUGGAGGAAAACCCAGGUUUGGCCGCCGAACCUCAAGUUCGGCCGCCGAACAUGCAUGCACUUCGGGAGUGCUUUAGGCCCCCGAAGGCAUAAGUGAGGAAAGCCCAGGUUCGGCCGCCGAACCUUAUGUUCGGCCGCUGAACAUGGCAUGCAUGCGGAGGCACGUUAGGCCCCCGAAAGUGGCCUGGCCAGCCACCUAUAAAGGGGUCCCUGCCGAAAAUGCCGAAACAGGCGAGCUUUCUCCCCAUUUUUGGCCAAGUGAGCUUCCGUCAUUUUCCCUUGCCGAUCUAGUGUUCUUCCUUCAAAUCCCCACUGUUUUCUUGAGUUUUUAACUUUGCAUUGAAGUUUUUUUGAGCUAAGAGCAAGUUGUGAGGCUUGAAAGACUCAGGAGCUCAUUUCUUUGGAUCUCCCAAGUUAGGUCGUCUCUCUCUCGAUCUUCAAGAGGUAAGAGCCGAUCUUAAGCUCAUUUUAUGUUUUUAACAAGUUUAAGUUGAUUCAUGGGGUAGAAAUGCAUGUUUAGGAUAGUUGAGCUUUGAUAAGGUUUAUGUAGUUUUAUGGACAAUGUGUGUUGGAUAUGCAUGUUUGAUGUGUUGUAGUUGGGGUUUAGGAUAGUUUGAGACCCCUAGGUGUUGAUGUAUGAGUGUAUGCAUGUUUUGAGAGGUUUGGAUGCAUGAUUGAAUGUUUUGGAGGCAAAUGUGCAUGUUGGAGCAGAGUUUCUGCCCAUUUGAGAAACUCAGGUUCGGCAGCCGAAAGGACUUUCGGCUGCCGAACCUGCCAGUGAAGGCAAGCCCUUCGGCUGCCGAAGCCUGUCCCUGAAAGUGGACUUUCGUCUCUGGAGGGGACUUUCGGCCGCCGAAGGUGCCGCCGAACAUGCAUGAGUUUCGUCUCUGGAGGGAACCUUCGGCCGCCGAAAGUGUUGCCGAAGGUGCAUGACUUUCAGCUCUGGAAGGACUUUCGGCCGCCGAAGGUGCCGCCAAAAGUGCCCUGUUCAGCCAUUUCUUACAUGUUUUCUAUGAUUGUUUCUAGGUGUUUUUAGGGGGUUUUUGGGGGAAUGUUUAGACUAUGUCAGUAUAUGUUUGGUCCUUCAUCUGAGUCUACCUGUGUAGGUUCGGACCCGAGGAACCGAGGAGGUCAGCAGUGCUAGCUGCUUCAGAGUCCUUAGAGCAUCAGCCAGAGGUGAGUAGAACAGAACUUUGACUUAAAUUUUAAUAGAAUGUUUAGCAUGACCCCAUGCAUCAUAAAUGCCAUGCUUAUGUAGGUUGUCUUGCACUAGUAUUCACGAAUAUGAUGCAUUGCAUUUUUAUUGUUGAUGUGGAUGGAUGUUGGAUGACCCACUAGCUCUCAGUAUGUAACCUAGAAAGUCCAGGGCUGCCCAUGCCACGCGUCCGGGCAAAUGCAUGAUUGUUUAUGAGAAAUGAGUGUUAUUGGUGACAAGUCCGUCCUUGAUGUGAAAUGUCUGUGUUAUGAUGCAUUCCAUGAAAGCAUGAAUAAUUAUAAUGUUUUAUGGUUCUGCUCACUGGGCUUUUUAACUCACCCCAUUCCCUUAACCCCACAGGUUUGCAGGUACGAGGCAGUCAGGGAAGUCAACUAGAAUAGCAAGGUUUCUUGGUUAUGUAAUAGUUUAGAUGUGGACAUGAUAAGUUGUAAUGUAAAAGUAUUAUGUAGUUAUGGGAUGUAAAAAUGUUAUAGAGGUUUAAAAUUGGUGCUUGACCCUAGUAUGUUGUAAAUCCCCUUUUAUAUACAUGAUCUUUAUAUUAUGAUGUUUUGAUAGACCAAGCUUAAAGUAUGUUAUGAUAUCGCAUUGGAGCAUUUGAUGAGGGCUCCAGUGUGUGGUUUAUGCUUAUGUUGAUGUGCAUGCACAGGUUAAGCUUGGCAAUAGGAAAAGAAAAAGUUUAUAUGUUUAUGAUAUGUAUGAUCAUGUAUGGGAUUAAACAGGUUUACAGGUUUAUGUUGGCUUGCUACGGGUCCCGGCGACCUUAUGUCGAACUGGAUCCUAGCGCCGGUAGCGGUCCGGAUUUCCGGGUCUUUACAGACAAUUUGCCCUUGUUCCUCACCAGUGGCAGUAAUAUUCUCGUCCCUGCACUCCUCAGUGAUGCGCUGCACCAUCGAGCUCUAGAAUGACCAGUUUUGAGCAUCGAUCUCGAUAAACACUCCGAAAGCCUGCCACAAAGAAAGAAAAAGACAGAGUUAGAAAAAUCAAGGGAGAUAUAAGUAUUCUCAAGAAAAACACAAUAGCUUACCAUAAGGAGCAUCUCCCUUAGGCUAUCUUCGAGGUCGUCUAGGGAGCAAGCACUGAAUGUUGCUUGCUGCAUAGUGGAGCAGGCAAGGUGGCUGACGAAGGCUAGGAAGUGAGGAUCUAAAGCGUUUGGAGCACCACCAAACAUUUUAUUACAAAGCUCCUUGGUGGUUGAAGCUGGUGUAGAUUCAAGAGUCACAUCGGCAUCGUUGAGGGAUUCAUUGUCAAGGGCUGAGGAUAGUAGCUCCACAACCCUUUUUCCUUUGUCAGCAGAAGGGGGAGGCACGGUCUUGGCAGGAUCUGCGGCCUGAGCCCUAUUAGCAGCUCUACCUUCAGGAGUGGGCUCAGAAGUCCACGCCCGCUUACCGGUGGCCCCUCCAAUCACAACAGCAGUGAUGGUCUGAAGAGGUUGGAUGUCCAAAGGAGCGACCUCAGCACCUCCCUUAGAACCGCCCUUAGCAGAUUCACUGAUGGUGGUAGGCUCCUUGGAGGUCCGCUUAGGAGCUGCCAGGGACUUGGCCAAGGCCGACGCAUUGGCAGGAACAAAGGCCUUUGAAGUUGCAGAACGAGAGCCUUUUGUAGUAGAUGUCAACGCUAGAGCAGGGGCAGAAGCAAGAGUUCGGCUUGCAGAGGUAGGGGCAAUAACCUGGAAAACCUCACGAGUCAUGUCCGCCACAGACUUACCGGCCUUGAAGGCUUCCAGCGUGGCCUUCAUGCUCUCCCUAGAUAGGGUAAAAUUCUUCGGCAAUUUGAGGUUGUCCAUGGGCGAGGCAAAAGCUAAAAAAGAGAAAACAAUACAAGUCAGAACUCAGGAUAACAAAAAAAAUACAAUUAGAAGAGAAAAAUAAGAAAGCAAUAAUUAACAAUACCAGCUUCUCGGUAGUCCCGGAGGUUAGAUAUGAACAUGCACUUCUCGAUAUCACACUUCUCGAUAUCGCACUUCUCGACAUCAUACUUCUUCUGUAUAGAGGUUAGACAUGAACAUGCACUUCUCGACAUCAUACUUCUUCCGUACAGAGGUCAAUCGAAAAAGGUAGAUCUGGUCAACCAGGAUCAGCCAGAGAAGGUCAUUGCAGCCCUGAGGGACCUCUCUCCAAGAGAGAUCAACAUCUCAGCUGAUCUCCUAGCUCUCCUUUAGCUCGACCAUCACGAAGGUCUUGGUCCAGCCUUUUAUUGAAUCUUUAUACCCAGCAAAGAUGGACAACCCCCCUUCCCCUUAGGAGCAAAGUAGUAAAACCUAUGGUUAGCCCAGACGAGGCAGAAGAAAGUGGAGAACAGAGCAACGGAAGGAGCAAAACCCUAACACAGCAAACAAAUUCAAAGGAGCACAUGAAGAGAAUGGAAUUUGGGGAUAACAUGCGAGGGGUCACACUAAAAUACUGAAAUGGAUAAAAAUCUCGAUGAAAAAAGGGGUGAAGGGGAAGGUCAACCCAAAAUCACAUUGCUUAACGAAAAAAAUUAAGUUGCGACCCUGCUGGGGUCUGUCAAGCUCGCCGAAGGUGGAUUGGGAAGGACAAUCCUCUCAUUGUCUAGAGGAGCCCUAAUCCUAUAAAUGGAGGUAUCGAUGUACUCGCUGGAGAAAAAAUUAGAAAGAAAAGAAGGAGUGACAAAGGAUAUCAAAUCUAUGACCUCAGGAAUAGAGUGGGACGUACCUCAGAGCAGAGAUUGCAGAGGCGAAGGAGAACAAUUUAACGGGAGGAGAGUGAGAAGAAGAGUCGAAAGCAAAAUCGAAAAUACGAAUUUGAAAUGGGUAAAGCCGGAGAGAAAAUGUUUUGAUAAGAGUCGCGCGGUCAUAAUUGAAGUUUUGAGAUUUUCCCUCAUUAAUCAUGGAAUAACUAAUGAGCAGGUAAAGGAGCACUUGAUGAUCGCUGGGUCUUUGCUUCCCGGCCGCAGUCAAGCCCAUGUAGGAGAGCAAGGUCAUAACCCACUAGAGCCCAAUACGCAAGUCUAUCCUCUAGCAUGCGGUCCAGAUCACGCUUAGGCAGGACGGGCAAAAUGAGGCUCGAGCCCAACAAAGAAGGAUCUAGCUCACCUGACUUGAUGGGUCAGUGGGGGGAAUAGACCCCUCCAUAUCCAGAACCAUGUCAGCACGAGCAUCGAAGGAAAUUAAAUAGCCGCCUGAUGAUGGAAAAAGGGAGCAGUACGUCCAUACGUACGGUUUUGUAUGAUAGCGGCAUGUGGCACUAUAAUAGGGUGGCAGUUAUAUGUCACUAAAAAACAAAAUGGAAAAAGAAUAAAGGAAGGUGUGAACUAUUCAAACUAAGCUUACACGCACAUACCCAAAACUCUAUCCUUUUCUGAUCAUCAAUAAAAAUUUACCAAAAGCCUAAAAAUCAAAAUCAAACCAAACAAACAAGAUCAACUCAAAAAUGGAACCCAAUUAAACCUAAACAAGAAAAACUAAAUUCAAAUCAAAUCAAAAUGAGAAACCAACAAAAGCACCGACCCUAAUAGCAAUCUCCAUCGGCACCGACUCAAGCCUCAAUCCGUUAUUGGAAUCGAAGAGAACAAAGCGCUGAAUAUAGCAACCAAGGCCUACGCGAACAAUACCAACCACAGACAUGUAAGGAAAGAAAAGAAAGCAGACAAGCACCAAAUCCCACAAACAUCAAGGAAAGAGAGUACAACAAGCCAAUCACUGGAGAAACUAACGAAAAAUACCCAAGGUAGAAUAAACCCAAGCAGCUUUAAAAUACUAGACUCAAAGGGACGACGCGACAUAACUCUCAACAAAAGCGAUGGUCACCAAACGUAAUGUUGCAGACCUAGUUCAUGGAUAUAGUCACUGAGCAUAAGUGUAUACAUUUAUAUGUGUAGGUGGAAAUCAAGUUAAAUUUCUCGUUUAUCUUAAUAAACAAUAAAUAACUUGCUAUUUUUAUGAGACUUUUAUAUUUAAUUUUUUAUUGCCCUCAACACGAAAUUAAUAGGUCAAUUAUUGAAUUUGACUCAAUUUUUAACCCUUGAAUUGGAUCUUAAUAUAAAGUAUAGAGAAACCUUAAUCAUUGAGAUUUUUUUUUUCUUAAAAGAAAGUAAGAAGUAAAAUGUACUUUAGAAGCCAUGCAUAAUACACAUAAAAAUAUAUCAAUAGGGAGUGAGGUUUUAAAAAAUUUAAUAAUUUGAAAAAAAAAUAAAAAAAAGAAUAACUAUGAUAGAUAAAUGAAGGGAAAAGAAAAAUUGAUAAACUACUUUUACCUCUUACUUUUCAUCUAUUUAUAUUAUUUUUCCUCUUUUACUAUUUUUUAAAUUGAAUUUUCUAUUUUAUUUUCCAUUGAAAUAAAAAGAAUUAUAAAGUAUAUAUCAAAACCCCAAUCAAAAUAAAGUAAAUAAAUUUUAUUAAAAUUAUUUAUUUAGAAGAGAUAAAAGGGCGGAAAGGAUAAGAACAACAUUAUUUAUAAAGCAAUUAAUAAAAUGUCACUAUUAAUUAUUUUUUGGUUUAAAUAAUGGAAACUUUCUGAUUGUUGCAUUAAGUCAUUGAUGGGACCCAUGAGCCCAUGUCUAUUUAUCACUAAAAAAAUAUUUACCACUUGCUGCGCAUUAAUAAAAACGAAACUCAUUAAUAAAUUUAUAUGCAUUGCACAAAAUGAAAUUGACUCGCCGCUGGAGUCCACAUGCUGCCCAUUUUACGCCAACUUCAACAUUAUAUAUAUAUUAUAUUUUAAAGGAAAACGAAGGUCUGAAUGCUAAAGUUACCUACCGUCUUCCAUCACCCUUUCCACAUCUCCCUCUCUAUCUCUGACCAUUCAUUCACACUGAAUAUACUUGCAAGAAAGUUCUGGUCGUGGUUGCAUAAGUCUGCAACUUCUGACGACCUCUAGCUUGGGGCUGAACGGGGCAGAUCGCCGGAUGGAUACUAGAGGUAUUAAUUGUUGUAGCUGAAACUGUGGAACCAAAUAGUAUUAGUUUCAUAGAGCUUUCAUUUCAUUUCAUCAACUAAUUGAGGCAUGUUGUUUAUUCUAUGGUCACUAAGCACAGAUCCGAAUGAAUCUGCCUUAUCUCCGUCUGCAUCUGAGAAUUAUGACCGUAUUGGGCCAAAGCCAUAUUCAUACGGUGAACUAGCAAAGGCAACUGGUCUUUUCUCGCACAAUAACCUAAUUGGUCGAGGUGGUUUUGGUCAUGUUUUUAAGGCAUCCUUAGAUGGCGAGACUCGUGCUAUCAAGAGACUUGAUUAUCCGGGUAUAGAGUCCGAAGGAGAUUUGGAAAGGGAGAUUAUGGUCGUCAAAAGCAUCAGUCACAAAAACCUCGUUGAACUGGUUGGUUAUUGCAUUGAUGGAGCCAAUAGAUUGCUUAUUUUAAAGUAUUUUCCAAAUGGGUCUUUGAGAUCUAAAUUAGAUGGUGAGUCCCAUAUCCUUUAUUUUACGUUUCAUGUAACUAACGCGACAUAAUUAAUCUUGUAAAUUACAAAUGGUUUUGGUUUUGUAGGGAAGGAGAAUGUUUUAGACUGGAAAAAAAGAAUGAAUAUUGCUAUAGGUUCUGCAAGAGGAUUGGAAUAUCUACAUGAACACUGUAAGUAUGUAGUACAACAUAUUCCUACUUGGCAGGAUUUUAGCUUUAGAGAGUGAAUUUAUUUUUUAUUUUCUGUUUUUGUAAUAAUUUAUUUUCUCUUAAAAUUUUAUAUUUUCUCUAUAUCUUUUUCAGGUGAACCUAAAAUUAUACAUUUAGAUAUCAAGCCGGAUAAUAUUCUUCUUGAUGAACAUUUUGAACCUAAGGUAAAAUAAUUUUAUAUUAAAUAAAUAUUUUAUUUAUAUUUAUCACAUUUAUAUACAUAGUGGAACCUUGAUCACUGAAUACUGAAAUUUUAUUUUUUGAAUUGAACUCGUUGUUUGUAUAAUAUGAUUGUUGGAAUUAAUUAAUAAAUCAGGGUUCUACUUCUGUUUUGGUUUGGCCAUAUAUUUUUGGCUUUUUUAAUAAAAAUUAUUGCUUAUAGGUGAAGGCAAAAGUUGAAGGAAAGUUUGAUUUUCUUUUAUAUCUUGGAUCAGUAGCAGUACAUGUAUAUAUAUACAGUGGGUACAAUAGACUUGACUUAAAAUAGGUUUACAAAAAAUGUAAUACACAUGAAAGAACUGAAAACAGUUUUUCUAACCUAACUUUGGCGCCAUUAUUUUCCACGUGGCUUAACAUCCCCUGCAAAUUGAAGAGUAUAUAUCAAACAUCCCCAGCUUGGAUAAUAUUUCUCGAAAAGGAGCAAUAGGUAUGGGCUUUGUGCAAAUAUCAGCGAGUUGGGCAGCUGAUGGUAUUGGAAGGAGCUUAAUCAACCCAGAGAGCAGUUUUUCACGAACAAUAUAGCAGUCUAUCUCAAUAUGUCUUGUACAUUCAUGAAAAAUAGAAUUCGCAGCAAUCAAUCCAGAGAGCAGUUUUUCACGAACAAUAUAGCAGUCUAUCUCGAUAUGUUUUGUACGUUCAUGAAAAAUGGAAUUCGCAGCAAUUUGUAUAGCAGGUUUGUUAUUGCAAUAGAUAAUGGCAGGUUGAGGUGACUGACAAAUAGGUCAUGAAGAAGAUACAAUAGCUACUGUACUUCACAGGUGAUAGUUGCAAGAGCUCGAUAUUCAGCUUUAGAGGAGCUCCGAGAAAUGGUGGACUGCUUCUUUGCCUUCCAAGAAAAUAGAGCGGAUCCUAGAAGGAGUCAAAAUCUUGUAACAAACUUUUGGGUGUCAGCACAACUUGCGCGGUUGAACUAGUAGAGAAGAAAAGACAUGCACUCGGGAGCUCUUGAUAUAAUGUAAUAUUCGAUGGGCUGUUUGUAAAUGAAUAGAGGUGGAGCGAUCCAGGAACUGACUAAGUUGUUGAACUGCAAAGGAAAUACCAGGUCUUGUGGAUGUCAAAUAGAGUAAUCGCGCUAUCAGUCUUCUAUAGGAAAGGAUAUCAUCCAAGGGUGUGCCAAAAUCAAUAAUAAGCUUAGUUUUGGAGUCCAUAGGAGUGGGAGAUGGUUUGCGAUCUAAAAAGCCAGAGUCAUUAAGGAUGUCAAGGGCUAUUUACGCCGACAAAGAGAGAUGCCAGCUUAGUUCUUGCUACUUCCAACCCCAGAAAAAACUUCAAAUCACCAAGGUUUUUUAUUUUGAACUUGUUAUCAAGAAAAGAUUUAACAGUGUUAAUUUCUUGUAAAUUUGUGCCAGCUAAGAUAACAUCAUCGACAUAAACCAAUAUCAGAGUGAUGUGAACAUCAUGUUUCUUAUCAAAGAGGGAAUAGUCCGAGAUAGACUGUUUAUAACUCAGGGAGACAAGAGCAUUAGACAAUUUUGAAUACCAUUGAUGAGUGGCUUACUUUAAACUAUAGAGUGACUUGUUUAAGUGACAAACUUUAUUAAAUUGAGAGGUAGUAAAGCCUGGAGGAAGUGUUAUGUAUAUUUUUUCAUGAAGAUCUCCAUGAAGGAAUGCAUUAUUGAUGUCCAACUGUUGUAAAAACCAUCCAUUAGCAGCUGCAAGAGCUAAGAGAAGUUGCACAGUGGUUAUCUUAGUAAGAGCUCUUGAUAUAACGUAAUAUCUGAUGGGUUGUUUGUAAAUGAACAGAGGUGGGGGAGAUCCAGGAAUUGACUAAGUUGUUGAACUGCAAAGGAAAUGUCAGGUCUUGUGGAUGUCAAAUAAAGUAAUCCCACUAUCAGUCUUCUAUAGGAAAGGAUAUCAUCCAAGGGUGUGCUAGAAUCGAUACUACGUUUAGUUUUAGAGUCCAUAGGAUUGGGAGUGACUGUGCGGUUGUCGAAGCAGGUCAAAAAUAACCUUUUUGGUUAUCAACAAUUUUACAACUGUAGAUAGUGGCAAAAGGAUGAAAUCCACAGGGAAUUGAUACUUACUUAUUUUCCUAAUCAAGACCAAGUAAAUAAAUAGACAAUAAGAGUAAAUUGGGAGGGGGGUUUUGAAGAUUGAUGACUAAACUAGCAAUAAAGUAAAGCAAAUAAUAAAAUAAAGGAAAUUCAAUAAUGAGAAAGGCCUAGUUGGAGAGUCAGAUCCACUUUAGUUGUUGGGGUUGAUUAUUGAUACUUAUAUUCUUUUAAUUGACUCAAUAAAUUAGUUAUGGAGGUGGAAGAUACUUCUCACCUCCAUAUCCCUCCUUAAGCAUAGAUUAAUUAGGGAACGUCCUCUAAUUAAUCACUAAUUAACAAGUUGCCAAGGAACAUCCUUGGGGCUUUAAGCAUCUAACAACUGUCAAUUGCAUUAAGAAAUAGAGAGACCUAAUUCUAGCUACCCAAACGUAUGGUGAUGUUGCUAGAUCAUGCAAUUUCCUUAGUUUUUACACCAAGAGUUACUUUUGUUUGAAUAAUUCAAGAAAUUACGGACUUAAAACUAUCCAAACUAACAAAUUAUUACCUUGUAAUCAAGAAUCAAUAGAUCCUAGUGAUCUAAAUAACAAAGCAACAAUAGAAUUAAGCAUGAAAUUGCAUAAAUAUUGAUAAAUAAAAGAUUAACAUAAUAUGUUCAAAUCUCCCAAUCCAUAAACAACUAAAGUUUCACCUAAUCUUCAACUAGAAAAAAGGGUUUCAGCCACUCAUGGCUGAAACAAACAUGAAAAAUAAAGAAAGAAAACCAAAGAAAGGAAGAGGAAGGCCAAUCCGCCGGCUGGAGUGGUAUGCUGGUGGCGCGCGGUUGCUAUGCAGCUUCUGCCGAAGAUGAAUGAUGAUCCAAAGAUGGUUCUUUGCUGGUUUGCUUGUCCUUUUAUAGCUGAGGAGGUUGCCCUAGGUUUUCUUGUUGAGAUGGGAUUCCUUUUCCUACUUGGAGUUGAAUUCUUGAAAGCAAUUGUAUCUUCUUGAGAUUUGGCUUCCUAAAUAUGUAGGAUAGAGAACUGAGGUGUAUUAUUGACUUGCUAAGUUGUCCCCACGUGUUUGGUGUGCAAAAGACUUCUUGAAGACUUGGAUUCCAAGUUUCCCGCAACUGCUGUCUUCUGUCGUAAGUGCUUGUUUGCCCGGGUUGUGUGGGCAAACAACUCAGGCAAACAGUCUGUCUUGCCUGUUGUCUGUGCACUGCUUCUGCCCUAUGGGCUUGUUUCCCUAGUUUGCCUGGACAAACAAUAUAGUCAAACAGCAAGUCUGUAUUUUCCUUAUUCCUCUCCCAAUUCAUCUGCAACUUGGUUUGAGCAAACAACUUGGGCAAACCAGACUUGUUCUCUUUUGCUCUCUUUUAGGCGGAUUUAAGGCCAUUUUUACCAAAUUACCCUUUUACUCAAUUUUCUGCAAAAUAAGAUCAAUACCACAAAAUUAGGUAGAAAAUGUGUAAAUCAACAUAAAUAACAAAAUUAGUUGCUUGCAUCGCACAUGAUUUCAAAGGGAAAGUUCCAAUCAGGUGCUUGAAUGAUUGGGGCAGUCACUAGUAAUUCUUUUAUUAGAUCAAAUGCUAUCUUGCAAAUUGCAUCAAAAUCAAAUGUUACAUCUUGUUGGAGAUGGUUGGGUGAUUUUGGAGAAAUCUUUUAUAAAUCUUCUGUAGAAUCCUGCGUGGCCAAGGAAGGAACGGAUUUCUCUAACAUUUGUGGGGUAGGGCAGAUUUUUUAUGGUGUCCACCUUGGCUUUGUCCACUUCAAUUCCUUUGGCUGAAACAACAUGGCCUAGGAUCAAACCUUGGUUAACCAUGAAGUGGCAUUUUUCAUAUUUAAGCAUAAGAUUUGAUUCAAGGCACCUCUGUAGGAUUUUUUUCAGAUUAGCAAGGCAUUCUUCGAAAGAGUUACCGUAUACCGUGAAGUCAUCCAUGAAGACUUCAAUGAUUUUCUCCACAUAAUCAGAAAAUAUGCUCAUCAUACAGCGUUGGAAGGUAGUAGGCGCAUUGCAUAGUCCUAAUGGCAGUCUUUUGAAUGCAAAGGUGCCAAAAGGAAAAAUGAAGGUGGUCUUUUCUUGGUCUUCUGGGGCCACUGGAAUCUAAUAAAAUCCUGAAUAACCAUCCAAACAGCAAUAGUGUGACUUACCUGCAAGCCUCUCUAGCAUUUGAUCAAUGAAGGGUAGAGGGAAGUGAUCCUUCCUUGUUGCUGCAUUUAGCUUCCUAUAGUCCAUGCAUACUCUCCAUCCAUUCUUAACACGAGUUGGAACAAGUUCUCCCUCGGAGUUUGGAACAAUGGUGAUCCUAGUUUUCUUCGGGACUACAUGUACAGGACUUACCCAUUUACUAUCAAAGAUUGGGUAGAUGAUUCUUGCAUCUAGUAGUUUGACUAUCUCCUUUUUCACCACUUCCAUCAUAGGGGGGUUUAGUCUCCUUUGAGCAUCUUGGACAGGCUUGCAGUAUUCUUCCAUGUGUAUCCUAUGCAUGCAUGUGGCAGGUGAGAUGCCUUUUAUGUCGUCAAUGGUCCACCCUAUUGCUCCCUUCUAUUUCUUUAGUACUUGAAGGAGGUUUUUUUUUUCUUCUUGUUGGCUUAAUUGAUUUGACAUUAUUACUGGAUGUGUCUUUUCAGCUCCUAAGUACAUGUAUUUCAAGUGUCCAGGAAGAGGCUUCAAAUCCGGGUUUGAAAUUUUCUGAUCUGCUGGUUGCUAUUUGGGCAAACACAAUUCUGCCUCAUCUUCCUCUGCUGGUGGUUUGGUCGAACAACAGCUCACUUGUGCUAUCAAUCCGGUUGUGCUGGAUUCUGCCCUCUCAUGCUGUUUGGGCAAAUAGCGAAUUUCCUCAUGUUCCUCUGCUGGUUUUUUAGGUAAACAGUGUUCUGACUUUCCAGGUGCCUUUGCUUCAGUCAAAUGGUAUUCUGUCGAAGCUGUUUGCCCAAUUGGUUUGGGCAAACUGUGUUCUUCUUGCUGAAAUGGUAUGGGCAGGCUACAAGCUGUCUGCGUCUGCUGAACCUGUUUGGGCAAACAGCAGUUUGCCUUGCCUUUCUCUGCUGUCUGUUUGGGCAGACAAUAACCUGCCUGCUGAGUGCAGCAGAUUGCUUCUGUCCGUUUUAGCUUUCCUUGGCUUCCCUCAUUUUCUUGGCUGGCCUCCCUGCAAAAAUCAUUAUUUAGCAUAUCAUUUUGAUUCAUAUCAAAAAUUUCUUGGCUUAGACAAUCAAUGAUAUCUAAACCAUAAAUAGGGAACAUGUCAUGGGGAUAUUUCAUAGCAUCAUAGACAUUGAAUUUAUUACUUCCCCUUCAAAUUUCAUGGUCAAUGUGCCAUCAUGCACAUCAAUCUUAGUCCUGGCCGUGCUCAAGAAGGGUCGUCCAAGCAAUAUGUCUGAGGUAGUGUUGCUAUUGUCUUCCUCCAUAUCAAUCACAUAGAAAUCUGCUGGAAAGACAAGUUGAUCUAUUUGGACUAGAACGUCUUCUAGAAUGCCUUUUGGGUAUACCACGGAUCUAUCAGCCAAUUGGAUAACCACUCUAGUGUCCUUAAGUGCACCUGCAUUCAAAGAAUUAUAAAUAGAAAGAGGCAUAACAUUAAUUGAUGCACCUAAGUCACACAUGGCUUUCUUGAUGUCAACAUUGCCAAUUUUGCAAGAAACAGCAAACAUCCCUCGAUCUUUGCACUUGGCUAGUAGUUUUCUCUUAAUGACAGCAGUAACUACUUCACCUACACUUACCUUUUCUUUUUCAGCAAGCUUCCUUCAGUUUGUGCACAACUCUUUCAAGAAUUUUGCAUACCUUGGUAUUUGUUUUACCGCAUCAAGCAAAGGUAUGUUAAUCUCCACUUUUCUAAAGGUUUCAAGGAUCUCUCUUUCUUCUUUUUCUUUUUGUGAUUUUUCAAACCUUUUUGGAAAAGGAGGUGGAAUCUUGAAGCUUACUUGCUGGUUUGUAUUCUGCUGGUGUACUAGUGUUGUUUGCCCAGUCUGUUUGGGCAAACAGCACUCUGGCUGCUUGGGCAAACUGUCCCUAUCCUGCUGUGUAUGUUGUCUGCUUGUUUGCCCAGUCUAUUUGGGCAAACAACAGUCUGUCUCAGUUUCUGGCAGAUUUUCUUUAGCCACUUGUCUUUGCAAUUCUGAACCUCUAUCAUCAACCUUGACAUCUUGAAGUUCUUUCCCACUUCUUAACAUUAUGGUACUUACAUUUUGCUUGGGAUUGGCCUCGGUUUGGGAUGGCAACUUUCCUUUAGAUUCAAGUUUACUCACAGAGGUGGCUAUUUGACCCAUUUGCUGUUGGAGACUUUGCACAAUGUUCACCAAUGACUUCAUCAUCUCCUCAAGGUGCGUAUUGGACCUUGGAGGUGCUAUUUGGGCUGGAUUUCUUGGAUAAUUUUGGUAGUUGUUAGCCCUAGCAUAGCUGAAGUUCGGAUGGUCUAUCCAACCGGGAUUGUAGGUGUUAGAAUAUGGAUCAUCUCUUGGUUGUCCAUUAAAUCCUCCAAUGGCAUUUACUUGCUGGUCAUCCUCUUGAAGUGUAGGACAUUGAUCAGUUGGGUGUCCCACAUGUGCACAUAUCCCGCAUGGCCUUAUUUGCUGAAGUUGUUGAGCUUGUUGGGAUUGACUUAUAACAAGACUUCUCACAGCAGAGGUUAGUUCAGAAAUUUGAGAUGUAAGAGCAGAUGUAAGAGCAGAUGUACUUACCUCAUUGACUCUCCUUGGCAACUGUAACAGCCCGGGAAUCCAGACCGCUACCGGCGCUAGGAUCCAGAUCGGCGUAAGGCCGUCGGGACCCGUAGCAAGCCUGACAUCUAACCUGUAAACCUGUAAACAUUUGCAUAUCUCAACCAAGCUCAACCUGUACAUUACAUAAUCAUAAACAUAAACCACCACUGGAGCCUUCAUCAAAUGCUCCAAUGGGGUAUCUCAUCAUAUGUUGAGCUUGGACUAUCAUGAACAUCAUAAACAUAUCUAUAGAUCAUGUAUCAAAAGGGACAACAAUACUCAUAUGGUCAAGCACAACUAUAACCACAAUACAUAACAUUACAUAACUGUUCUAUACUCUUACAUUUCAUCAAUUACAUUUGUCAUGUCCACAAUCUAACUAUUACAUAUGCAUACUUCAAGACUCUGGCUAACCUCCUGGUCUACCCUGUACCUGCACAUCUGGGGUUAGGAGAGAGGGGUGAGCUAUAUAGCCCAGUGAGCAGAAUAUAGAAAACAUAUAUUAAAAUUUCAUGCUUUCAUGAAAUUCAACACACCACAAACAAAUCACAUAAGGAUGAACUUGUCACCAAUGGCCCUCUACAUGGUCCAAUGAGGUCCAACUGUGCCAGAACGUAGAAUGGGUCCUGGUCUUUCUCUUACUCUGUGCCAGGGACGUAGAAUGGGUCUUCCUGGACUUUCUCUUACUCUGUGCCAGGGACGUAGAAUGGGUCUUCCUGGACUUCCAUACCAUAUCAUCAUAAUAUCAUACUAUACGAGGACCAAUGGAUCAUCCAACAUUCAUCCGCAUCAACAACAAAGUAUGCAAUGCAACAACUUCGUGAAUACUAAUGCAAACACCCUAUAAUAUCACAUGGCAAAUAUGAUGCAUGAUCAUGCUCAAAAAGUUAUAUCUCAUUUAUUUAAAAACUUAAGGUUUAUUCCACUCACCUCUGGCUGAAGCUCUAAAGACUCUGACAAUCUCUGUAGCAGCUGGCUCACUGCUGGGGUCCUCGGUUCCUCGGGUCCGAACCUACACAGGUGGACUCCAAUGAGGGACCAAACAUACACAAACAUAACUCUAAUGUACUCCCCAAAAACCCCCUGAAACAUCAUGAAAAAACCAUAGGAAUACAUGCAUGAAAUGGCUGAACAGGGCACUUUCGGCGGCAGGUUCGGCGGCCGAAAGUCCCUCCAGAGCCGAAUCCCAGGCAGGUUCGGCGGCACCUUCGGCGGCCGAAAGUCCCAGACAGAGACGAAAGUCUCUUUUCGGGGGCAACUUCGGCAGCCGAAAGGCCUGCCUCCCCAGCCAUGUUCGGCGGCCGAAAGUCCUUCGGCUGCCGAACCUGGUUUCUGCCAAAGGGCAGAAACUUGGCUCCUCUGUGCACAUUUCGCCUCCCAAGCUCAAAUCAUGCAUACCACUCAACCAAAACAUGCAUACAAGCUCCUAGGGGUCUCAAACAAACAUAUACCCCAACUACAACACUUCAAACACACACAAUCAAGCCACAUUGUUCAAGAAUCACAUAAAACCUAACAUAGCUCAACUAAUCCUAAACAUGGAUUUCUACCCCAUAAAACUUUAUAAAACUUGUUUAAAACAUAUAUUGAGCUUAAGAUCGGCUCUUACCUCUUGAAGAUCGAGAGAGAGACGACCGAAACUUGGAGGUCCAAGCAAAUGAGCUCCUGAGUUUCCAAAGCUCCGAAACUUGUUCAAAACUUGAAAAUCUUCAAAACCAAAGUUACAAACUUGUAAAAAUCAUGGAAAAUGAAAGGAAAAACUCAAGAUUUGUGAAGGAUGGCGGAAAGCUCACCUUGGCCGAAAUGGGGAGAAAAAGCUCGCCCGUUUUCGGCUAAGGGACCCUUUUAUAGUGGCUGGCCAGACCACGUUCGGGGGCCGAAAGUGCUUCCGCAUGCAGGCCAUGUUCGGCGGCCGAACUUGAGUUUCGACGGCCGAACCUGGACUUCCCUCACUCAUGCUUUCGGGGGCCUAACGUGCCUCCAAAACGCAUGCAUGUUCAGCGGCCGAACUUGACUUUCGGCGGCCGAACCUGGGUUUUCCUCCAAAAACUUUUCAUGCAAAAACUCAUUUAAUUUCAUACUUAAAACCAUUAAAAACAUGAAAACAUUUUAUAAAAACAUACUUUUACCCUUCUAGAGGUUUCCGACAUCCGGGAUUCCACCGGACGGUAGGAAUUCUGAUACCGGAGUCUAGCCGGGUAUUACAUUCUCCCCCCCUUAAGAACAUUCAUCCCCGAAUGUUCCUCAACUAGCGCAUGCAUAACAUACAUAUACAUCACAUAAACACAUAAAUACUAACCUCUAAAAGAGAUGGGGAUAUUGCUGGAGCAUGGACUCCCGUGUCUCCCAAGUGCAUUCUUUCAUAUUGUGGUGGUUCCAAAGGACUUUCACCAUCGGGAUUUCCUUGUUCCUCAACUUUCUGAUCUGGGUGUCCAGAAUCCGCACUGGCUGUUCAACAUAGGUGAGAUCCUCUUGGAUCUCCACAUCAGGCUCACUAAGAACCUUGCUCGGAUCUGACACGAACUUUCUUAACAUGGAAACAUGGAAAACCGGAUGGACUCUUUCCAUAGAUGCAGGCAAGUCCAGCUUGUACGAUACAUUCCCAACCUUUUGCAAGACCUCAAAGGGUCCGAUGUAUCGUGGGGCUAGCUUACCUUUCUUACCAAACCGAACCACCCCUUUCAUAGGAGACACUCUGAGCAAUACCAGAUCUCCCUCCUGAAACUCUACUUGUCUUCUGCGAAGGUCUGCAUAACUCUUCUGUCUGCUCAUAGCAGUCUUAAUCCUUUCUCUGAUCAUGGGCACCACCCUGCUGGUGAUCUCUACAAGCUCAGGCCCUGCUAAGGACCUCUCUCCAACCUCUUCCCAGCAAACGGGUGAUCUGCACUUCCUCCCAUACAAAGCUUCAUAUGGAGCCAUCCCUAUGCUGGCAUGAUAGCUGUUAUUGUAGGCAAACUCCACCAAGGGUAGAUGUUGCCUCCAAGAACUGCCAAAAUCCAGCACACACAUUCUGAGCAUGUCCUCUAUAGUCUAGAUGGUCCUCUCUGACUGUCCAUCAGUCUGGGGGUGGAAGGCAGUACUGAAAUCCAACCUGGUACCCAUAGCACUCUGCAGACUCCGCCAAAACCUGGAGGUGAACUGGGGCCCUCUAUCUGACACUAUAGACACUGGGACCCCAUGCAGUCUGACAACUUCAUCCACAUAGACCUGCGCUAACUUAUCCACAUAGUAGUUGCUCCUGGCUGGAAUGAAGUGAGCAGAUUUAGUGAGUCUGUCCACAAUCACCCAUAUGGAGUCUAAUCUGUUGGAUGUUGCCGGUAACCCCACUACGAAGUCCAUAGCUAUAUUCUCCCAUUUCCACUCUGGAAUAGGUAGCGGGUUAAGCAUCCCAGCCGGCUUCUGAUGUUCCAGCUUCACCCUCUGACACACUUCGCAGGCUGACACGAACUGUGCCACUUCCCUCUUCAUAGCUGGCCACCAAUAAACUCUCUUCAGAUCUUGAUACAUUUUGGUGGCUCCAGGGUGAACAUUGUAUUUUGCAUUAUGAGCCUCCCUCAUAAUGUCUCCUUUCAACCCGAUGUCAUCUGGUACACAUAGUCUGUUCCCAUAACGGAGGAUCCCCUUAUCAUCAAAUCUGAACUCCUCAUUCUUGCCCGACUGAACAAUCCUGGCAAUCUUCACUAACUCUGGGUCCUCGUGCUGUUUCUGAGCCACCUGCUCCAGAAACACAGGUGCUACUUUCAUCUGGGCUAUCAAAGCACCUGUACCAGACAACUCCAUCUGUAGACCUUCCUCAAUGAGCUUGGAAAACUCCUUCACCACCGGUCUCCUCUCUGCUGUGAUGUGGGAUAGGCUGCCAAGUGAUUUCCGGCUUAAGGCAUCAGCUACUACAUUAGCCUUACCCGGAUGGUACUGGAUCUUACAAUCAUAGUCACUGAGCAGCUCUACCCAUCUCCUCUGCCUCAAAUUCAGCUCUCUCUGGCUCAAAAUGUGCUGCAGGCUCUUAUGAUCUGUGAAGAUCUCACAUUUUACCCCAUAGAGGUAAUGCCUCCACAUCUUGAGGGCAAAGAUAACUGCUGCCAUCUCAAGGUCGUGUGUGGGGUAAUUCAACUCAUGCCUCUUCAGCUGUCUAGAAGCAUAAGCUAUCACCCUUCCAUUCUGCAUUAGCACACAACCCAAACCUACUCUGGAUGCAUCACAGAACACUGUGAAGUCCUCAUUGCUAGUCGGCAGAGCUAACACUGGUGCUGAAGUCAACCUCUUCUUGAGCUCCUCAAAGCUUUCCUCACACUGGUCGGUCCACACGAACCUCUGAUUCUUUCUGGUCAAUCUGGUUAGAGGAGCUGCUAUCUUAGUGUAUUCCAGGAAUGCAGAGGAGCAUGCCCAUCAUCUGAGGAUAGUUCUACAGACCUUGAGGGAACAUGGCUUGUAUGCCAAGUUCUCCAAGUGUGAGUUCUGGUUGAGAAGCAUCUCAUUCUUGGGGCAUGUAGUGUCAGAGAACGGAAUUGAAGUAGACCCCAAGAAGGUAGAAGCUGUAACUAACUGGCCUAGACCCACCUCAGUGACAGAGAUCAGAAGUUUAUUGGGUUUGGCUGGUUACUACAGGAGGAGAAGUCCUGCCCGGAAAUUCGGACCGCUACCGGCGCUAGGAUCCAGAUCGGCGUAAGGCCGCCGGGACCCGUAGCAAGCCUGACAUCUAACCUGUAAACCUGUAAAUCCCAUACAUGAUCAAACAACUCUAAAGAAUCUGUAAACAUUUUCAUAUCUCAACCAAGCUCAACCUGUACAUUACAUAAUCAUAAACAUAAACCACCACUGGAGCCCUCAUCAAAUGCUCCAAUGGGGUAUCUCAUCAUACGUUGAGCUUGGACUAUCAUGAACAUCAUAAACAUAUCUAUAGAUCAUGUAUCAAAAGGGACAACAAUACUCAUAUGGUCAAGCACAACUAUAACCACAAUAUACCUCAAUACAUAACAUUACAUAACUGUUCUAUACUCUUACAUUUCAUCAAUUACAUUUGUCAUGUCCACAAUCUAACUAUUAUAUAAGCAUACUUCAAGACUCUGGCUAACCUCCUGGUCUACCCUGUACCUGCACAUCUGGGGUUAGGGGAGAGGGGUGUGCUAUAUAGCCCAGUGAGCAGAAUAUAGAAAACAUAUAUUAAAAUUUCAUGCUUUCAUGAAAUGCAACACAUCACAAACAAAUCACAUAAGGAUGAACUUGUCACCAAUGGCCCUCUACAUGGUCCAAUGAGGUCCAACUGUGCCAGAACGUAGAAUGGGUCCUGGUCUUUCUCUUACUCUGUGCCAGGGACGUAGAAUGGGUCUUCCUGGACUUUCUCUUACUCUGUGCCAGGGACGUAGAAUGGGCCUUCCUGGACUUCCAUACCAUAUCAUCAUAAUAUCAUACUAUACGAGGACCAAUGGAUCAUCCAACAUUCAUCCGCAUCAACAGCAAAGUAUGCAAUGCAACAACUUCGUGAAUACUAAUGCAACACCCUAUAAUAUCACAUGGCAAAUAUGAUGCAUGAUCAUGCUCAAAAGUUUAUAUUUCAUUUAUUUAAAAACUUAAGGUGUAUUCCACUCACCUCUGGCUGAAGCUCUAAAGACUCUGACAAUCUCUGUAGCAGCUGGCUCACUGCUGGGGUCCUCGGUUCCUCGGGUCCGAACCUACACAGGUGGACUCCAAUGAGGGACCAAACAUACAUAAACAUAACUCUAAUAUACUCCCCAAAAACCCCCUAAAACAUCAUGAAUUAACCAUAGGAAUACAUGCAUGAAAUGGCUGAACAGGGCACUUUCAGCGGCAGGUUCGGCGGCCGAAAGUCCCUCCAGAGCCGAAACCCAAGCAGGUUCGGCGGCACCUUCGGCGGCCGAAAGUCCCAGACAGAGACGAAAGUCUCUUUUCGGGGGCAACUUCGGCAGCCGAAAGGCCUGCCUUAAUUGAACCUCCACAUGCUACAUGAAUGAAUUUCCUUUUGGAUGGUAGCAAUCCUCCAUAGAAGUAUUCUAUGAGUGAUUUAUCUGAGAUGUCAUGUUGAGGGCAGCUUGUGCAUAGUCUCUUGAAUAUUUCCCAAUAAUCAUACAAAUCUUUAGUCUCUUUUUGCUUGAUGCCACUUAUUUCUCUCCUUAUGCCUAUGGCUUUAGAAGCUGGAAAAUAUUUAUUCAGAAAAGCUCUUACCAUGCCAUCCCAAGAGGUGAUUGAUUCGGGUGGUAGGUAGAAUAACCAAUCUUUGGCAUAAUCAUCAAGUGAGAAUGGGAAUGCUCUUAAUUUCACAUGUUCUUCGGAUAUGCCUUGCGGCCUCAUGGUAGAGUAUACUAUGUGAAAUUCCUUCAAGUGUUUAUGGGGGUCUUCAUUUUUCAAACCUCUGAAUUUAGGUAGUAGGUGUAUCAAACCUGUUUUUAGCUCAAAUGGGGCUGUCAAGGGCGGAUAGGUGAUGCAAAGAGGUGCUUGAUCACCUAUAGGGGCUGCUAACUCUCUUAAUGUUCUUUCUCUUGGAAUUGGUGCCCUUAAUGCUUGAUUUUCUGGUUCAAAUUCAGCAUAGACAGCAAGUUCUGCUGGUCUUCAAACAGGUGCAGCAGGUUGCACAUGAAAUUCAGCCAUCUCAACGGCUGUUUGGGCAAACACAACAGUGUAGCGCUCUGUUUCUGCAAAGGGCUGUUCUAUUUCUGCAGUGUGCUAUUAUGUUUCAGCAGUAGGUGUUGCUGGUCCUGCUGGUACAGCAGCUUCUGGUGCAAUUGCGGAAGUUUCAAUAGGUGUUGUCCCUUAGACAGCAACAGCUUCAGCAGUUGCUGUUUGGACAACAGCUGUUGAUGAGGAUGGCUUUGAGGCUUGGCUCUUCGGAUUGGAUUGCUUCCUUAGUUGUUUGGCUGUACGCUCAUUUUCUGGGUCGUAAAGUAGAGUAUAUUUGUGUCUAGUCCUGGUCAUGAAAGAAAAAUAAAUUAGUUAAAUCAAUUCCCCAGCAACGACGCCAAUUUUUGACUGUGCGGUUGUUGAAGCUGGUAAAAAAUAACCUUUUUGAUUAUCAACAAUUUUACAACUGUAGAUAGUGGCAAAAAGAUCGAAUCCAUAGAGAAUUAAUACUUACUUAUUUUCCUAAUCAAGACCAAGUAAAUAAAUAGACAAUAAGAGUAAAUUGGGGGGAGGGUUUGAAGAUUGAUGACUAAACUAGCAAUAAAGUAAAGCAAAUAAUAAAAUAAAAGAAAUUCAAUAAUGAGAAAGGGUUAGUUGGAGAGUCAGAUCCACUUUAGUUGUUGGGAUUGAUCAUUGAUACUUAUAUUCUUUUAUUUGACUCAAUAAAUUAGUUAUGGAGGUGGAAGACGCUUCUCACCUCCAUAUCCCUCCUUAUGCAUAGAUUAAUUAGGGAACGUCCUCUAAUUAAUCACUAAUUAAUAAGUUGCCAAGGAACGUCCUUGGGGUUUUAAGCAUCUAACAACUGUCAAUUGCAUUAAGAAAUAGAGAGACCUAAUUGUAGUUACCCAAACGUAUGGUGAUGUUGCUAGAUUAUGCAAUUUCUUUAGUUUUUACACCAAGAGUUACUUGUGUUUGAAUAAUUCAAGCAAUUACGGAGUUAAAACUAUCCAAACUAACAAAUUAUUACCUUGUAAUCAAGAAUCAAUGGAUCCUACUGAUCUAAAUAACAAAGUAACAAUAGAAUUAAGCAUGAAAUUACAUAAAUAUUGAUAAAUAAAAGAUUAACAUAAUAUGUUCAGAUCUCCCAAUCCAUAAACAACUAAAGUUUCACCUAAUUUUCAACUAGAAAAAAGGGUUUCAACCACUCAUCGCUAAAACAAACAUGAAAAAUAAAGAAAGAAAACCAAAGAAAGGAAUAGGAAGGCCAAUCGGCCGGCUGGAAUGGUAUGCUGGUGGCACGUGGCUGCUGUGCAGCUUCUGCCGAAGAUGAAUGAUGAUCCAAAGAUGGUUCUUUGCUGGUUUUCUUGUCCUUUUAUAGCUGAGGAGGUUGCCCUAGGUUUUCUUGUUGAGAUGGGAUUCCUUUUCCUACUUGGAGUUGACUUCUUGAAAGCAAUUAUAUCUUCUUGAGAGCAAUUGUAUCUUCUUGAGAUUUAGCUUUGUAAAUAUGUAGGAUAGAGUGCUGAGGUAUAUUAUUCACUUGCUGAGCUGUCCCCACGUGUUUGGUGUGAAAAAGACUUCUUGAAAACUUGAAUUCCAAGUUUCCCGCAACUGCUGUCUUCUGUCGUAAGUGCUUGUUUGCCCGGGUUGUGUGGGCAAACAGCUCAGGCAAACAGUCUGUCUUGCCUGCUGUCUGUGCACUGCUUCUGCCCUGUGGGCUUGUUUGCCCAGUUUGCCUGGGCAAACAAUCUGGUCAAACAGCAAGUCUGUAUUUUCCUCAUCCCUCUCCCAAUUCAGUUGCAACUUGGUUUGAGCAAACAACUUGGGCAAACCAGGCUUGGUCUCUUUUGCUCUCUUUUGGGCAGAUUUAAGACCAUUUUUAUCAAAUUACCCUUUUAAUCCAUUUUCUGCAAAAUAAAAUCAAAACCACAAAAUUGGGUAGAAAAUGUGUAAAUCAACAUAAAUAACAAUAUAAAAAAUGGGUCUAAAAUUUGCUUGAUCAGGGAGCUGGUUUACAAUCUGAAAAGCCAGAGUCAUUAAGGAUGUCAAGGGCUAUUUACGCUGACAAAGAGAGAUGUCAGCUUUAGUUCUUGCUACUUCCAACCCCAGAAAAAACUUCAAAUCACCAAGGUCUUAUUUUCAACUUGUUAUCAAGAAAAGAUUUAACGGUGUUAAUUUCUUGUAAAUUUGUGCCAGCCAAGAUAACAUCAUCGACAUAAACCAAUAUCACUAUGAUGUGAACAUCAUAUUUCUUAACAAAGAGGGAAUAGUCUGAGAUAGACUGUUUAUAACCUAGGGAGACAAGAAUAUUAGACAAUUUUGAAUAUCAUUGACAAGUGGCUUACUUUAAACCAUAGAGUGACUUGUUUAAGUGACAAACUUUGUUAGACUGAGAGGUAGUAAGCCUGGAGGAAGUUUCAUGUAUACUUUUUUAUGAAGAUCUCCAUGAAGGAAUGCAUUAUUAAUGUUCAACUAUUGUAAAAAUCAUCCAUUAGCAGCUGCAAGAGCUAAGAGAAGUCGAGUAAUGGUUAUCUUAGUAACAGGUGAAAACAUAUCAAAAUAAUCAACACCUUCAGUUUGUAUAUAGCCUUUUGCCACUAGACGGGCCUUAUACCUUUUGAUGGAGCCAUCAGCUAUCAGCCUGAUGUUUGAUUUUAAAUACCCGUUUACAUCCUAUGGGAGUAACAUCUUUGGGUAAAUCAACAUCUUUCCAGGUAUGAUUAGCUUUCAGGGCUAGAAUUUUAGCUUGCAUUGCCUGUUUCCAACAGUCAUAUUUGAUGGCUUGGUUGUAAGUUUUUGGCUCAGUGGUGGCAGAUAUUGAUAAGGCGAAGUUUCUAUGAGAUUGAGAUAAGUGGAUAUAAGAAAGGGCUGAGGAAAUAGGAUGAGGACUAGUAAUGGAAGAAAGGUUGCAAUGCUAGUCUUGGAGGUCGGAGGUUGGUUUGCAAGUUCUAUUGGAAACAGGAAUAGAGGAAGGAGAAGGAGAAGAUAUAGGUGGUAUAUAAGGAUCGUCAUAAUCUGAGAGAGUGAAGUCUUGUGGAAGAGAUGGAGGGGCUGGAAUUGUAGAUUGAUGAAAAGGAAAUAUGUUUUCAUAAAAGGUGACAUCUCUUGAAAUAAAAACAGCCUAUGAAUGCAAAUCAAGCAAGAAAAAUCCCUUUAUACCAGAUUUGAAGCCAAGAAAAAUACAUUUGUGGGCCCUUGCAUCAAAUUUGGUCCUAGUGGCUUUUAAAGUAGAGGCAAAGCACAGUGAUCCAAAGACCCUCAGGUCAUUAUAAUUAGGCAUACAAGAGAAAAGGACUUCAAAAGGAGACUUGUUAUGAAUCAGAGGACUGGGCAAUCUGUUUAUCAAGUGAACAGAAUGCAAGAUAGCAUAGGACCAAUAUGGAAGAGGUAACUUGGAUUGAAAUAUCAAGGAUCUUGCGAGGAUGUGUUGGUGCUUCCUCUCUGCUGUACCAUUCUAUUGAGGAUUCUCAACAUAGGAUAUUCGGUGAAUGACUAAAAGUCUGGUAUUGGAAAUUCAACUCCAAUGUUACUUCUGAUUUUUUGGAUCUUAGUAGAAAAUUGAGUUUCUACAAGAUUAAAAAAGGAUUGAAGGCAAGACCUGGCAUCAGAUUUAGAGUGCAAUAAGAAAAUCCAAGUGAACUUAGUGAAAUCAUCCCCAACAGUUAAGAAGAAUUUGUGACCAGUUAUUGAACAUACUGAAAAUGGCCCCCAAAUAUCUACAUGUAUUAGUUCAAAAGCUCUAUUUGUAGUAGAUAUGCUAUCAGAAAACAAAAGCCUUUUUUGUUUUGCAAAGUGGCAAAACAAUUUCUAGAAAGAGUAAGCUUAGACACAGAUAAGAAUGAAAAGAGCACCAUUCAGUAUCAAUUUGUCUGUCAAUUGAACUGUGCCUGCAACUUUUGUAAGAAGCAUGGAUCCAUUUGGAAGUGUAACAACAAUGGAUGGAAUGUUGUGAUAAGUACUGAAAAGAUGCAGUGAAUGUGCAAUAUGGUAUAUUUCACCAGUGUCCACUAUCCAAACAUCAGAACUGGCAGAAAAAGAUAAUGCCAAAUGUGUACCUGGUUGAGGAUCAAAGGCAGAUACCAAGUUUGUAACAGGAGUAGAGAUUGCCUGAGAGUUGUUAGAUGUUAACUGUGGAUAGGAUUUAGCUUCAAGAUGAGAAUCAUUGAGGAGUGCUAGUAAGCCAUGAUAUUAUUCUUGCGUUAAUGAGAAUCUUAAUUUCUCAAUUUUUGUCUGAGGCCCAAUUGAACUGAUGGCUUGAACCUCAUCAACAGCGAUAACAUUGUUGACGGUCACAUUUGAUCCUCUUGGUUUAUAACCGGGGGAUAUCCAUGUUUCUUAUAGUAAGUUUCUAUUGUGUGCCUGUACCUUCCACAAAAUGUGUAGUAUCUAUUGUCUCCAGAGGAGUUAACAAUAGAUUUUUCAGCUGAAUGAAACUUGUAAUUGUAUGAAGGGACAAAUCUAAAACUGGACAGAUUAGAUUUUGCAAUCGGACUAAUUAAAGCCUUAGAUUCAUCAAGAUGCAUCACAAGAGGGGCUAUUUUCCUUUCCCUUUUCUUAUUGAAUGACUUAAAAAAAAACCGUUAUUGAUGGAAGGAAAGGAGUCUAACAUUAUGAUUUGUGUCCUUACAUUCACAUAUUGUUCAUUCAGACCCUUUAGGAAUCGAAUGACAUAAUCAUGAGAGAGUGAAGUCUUGUGGAAGAGAUGGAGGGGCUGGAAUUGUAGAUUGAUGAAAAGGAAAUAUGUUUUCAUAAAAGGUGACAUCUCUUGAAAUAAAAACAACCUAUGAAUGCAAAUCAAGCAAGACAAAUCCCUUUACACCAGAUUUGAAGCCAAGAAAAAUACAUUUGCGGGCCCUUGCAUCAAAUUUGGUCCUAGUGGCUUUUAAAGUAGAGGCAAAGCACAGUGAUCCAAAGACCCUCAGGUCAUUGUAAUUAGGCAUACAAGAGAAAAGGACUUCAAAAGGAGACUUGUUAUGAAUCAGAGGACUGUGCAAUCUGUUUAUCAAGUGAACAGAAUGCAAGAUAGCAUAGGACCAAUAUGAAAGAGGUAACUUGGAUUGAAAUAUCAAGGAUCUUGCAACAUUGAGGAUGUGUUGGUGCUUCCUCUCUGCUGUACCAUUCUGUUGAGGAGUCUCAACAUAGGAUAUUCGGUGAAUGACCCCUUUAGAAGCAUAAAAGACUGGUAUUGGGAAUUCAACUCCAAUGUUACUUCUGACUUUUUGGAUCUUAGUAGAAAAUUGAGUUUCUACAAGAUUAAAAAAGGAUUGAAGGCAAGACCUGGCAUCAGAUUUAGAGUGCAAUAAGAAAAUCCAAGUGAACUUAGUGAAAUCAUCCCCAACAGUUAAGAAGAAUUUGUGACCAGUUAUUGAACAUACUGAAAAUGGCCCCCAAAUAUCUACAUUUAUUAGUUCAAAAGCUCUAUUUGUAGUAGAUAUGCUAUCAGAAAACAAAAGCCUUUUUCGCUUUGCAAAGUGGCAAAACAAUUACCAGAAAGAGUAAGCUUAGACACAGAUAAGAGAUUAAAGGCAAAUUCUGGAAUGAAAAGAGCACCAUUCAGUAUCAAUUUGUCUGUCAAUUGAACUGUGCCUGUAACUUUUGUAAGAAGCAUGGAUCCAUUUGGAAGAGUAACAACAAUGGGUGGAAUGUUGUGAUAAGUACUGAAAAGAUGCAGUGGAUGUGCAAUAUGGUCUGUUUCACCAGUGUCCACUAUCCAAACAUCAGAACUGGCAGAAAUAGAUAAUGCCAAAUGGGUACCUGGUUGAGGAUCAAAGGCAGAUACCAAGUUUGUAACAGGAGUAGAGAUUGCUUGAGAGUUGUUAGAUGUUAACUGUGGAUAGGAUUUAGCUUCAAGAUGAGAAUCAUUGAGUGCUAGUACGCCAUGAUAUUAUUCUUGCAUUAAUGAGAAUCUUGAUUUCUCAAUGUUUGUCUGAGGUCCAAUUGAACUGAUGGCUUGAAUGUUAUCAACAGCGGUAACAUUGUUGACGGUCACAUUUGAUCCUCUUGGUUUAUAACCAGGGGGAUAUCCAUGUUUCUUAGAGUAAGUUUCUAUUGUGUGCCUGUACUUUCCACAAAAUGUGUAGUAUCUAUUGUCUCCAGAGGAGUUAACAACAGAUUUUCCAGCUGAAUGAGACUUGUAAUUGUAUGAAUGGACAUAUCUAAAAUUGGAUAGUUUAGAUUUUGCAAUUUGACUAAUUAAAGCCUUAGAUUCAUCAAGAUGCAUCACAAGAGGGGCUAUUUGCCUUUGCCUUUUCUUAUUGAAUGACUAAAGAAAAAGUGUUAUUGAUGGAAGGAAAGGAGUCUAACAUUAUGAUUUGUGUCCUUACAUUCACGUAUUGUUCAUUAAGACCCUUUAGGAAUCGAAUGACAUAAUCAUGUUCUACAUAUUGCUUCAUUUUGCUCAAGGCACCAUAUGAACAAUUAGGUUCACAUGAACAGGAAGGCAUUAGUCUGAAAUUCAUCAAUUCAUCCCAUAAAAUUUUGAGUUAAGUAAAAUAAUUAGUGAUAGACUUCUCACCUUUUUUUAGUGCAUAGAUCUCCUCUUGCAAAUCUGAUACUCUCAAGAUAUCUCCUUGAGAGAAUCUUUCUUUUAAAUCUUUCCAAACAUCCAUGGCUUUGUCAAUGAAUAAUAUGUUUUGUGUGAUUGAUGACGAAAGGGAUCACAUUAUCCAAAAUAGAACCAUCAUAUUCCAUCGUUCCCAAGUAGAACACAACAGAUCUGUUGCAGCAGGAGCUUGUAUAAUGCCAUCUACAAAUUUCAUUUUAUUCUUUGACAAUAGGGCCAUCUUCAUUGCUCUUGACCAAGUGUGAUAAUUAGGACAUGUUAAAACUGGAGAAAUAAGAACUAGUGCAGGAUUCUCAUUCGAGUGCAAGAAAUAUGGACCGGAUGGACUUUGUGUUGGAUCGCUACUAGCAGAAACAACCAUGGAUGGAAGAAAAAUUAAAGGGAGGGAAAAAUGAUUUUCUUGAGAGAGAGAAUUAUAGAAAAAAAACUCUAUUUCGGAGCUCGACGAAGGUAAAAAUUAAAGGAAAAAUUGAUUUUCUUUAAGGGUGUAAACGAACCAAACUGUUUGUGAGCUAUUCGAGACUCAACUCGAUAAAAGUUCGAUCGGACUCGGCUCGUUUUCUAAACGAGCCAAGUUCAAGCUCACUUUUUAGGCUCAUUCCGAACUUGAGCUUAGCAGUAUUCAGCCCGUUUAGGCUUGUGAGCUCAGCUCGUCCUGUCAACCUCUAGCAGCCUACUAACAUCCAACAAGACUGCCAGACUGGGAAAGAUUCUAGAAUCGGGGGAAGCUUAACCAGCACAAGACUUCUAGGCUGGAGGAAGAUUCCAGAAUUGGGGGAAGCUUGACCAGCAGACCGUAGCUGGCAGAGAAGUUCUCCAAGAAUCAUUAAAUAAUGCUUGUCUUAGCCUAUAAAUAGGGAAGUCCCACGAAUUUGUAAACAAGAAGCAGAAUAUUAGAGAUUACUUGCAUUGAGAAAGCUCUUAUAAUUUGUACAACCAUUCUCCAAAAAGCAUUAAAUAAUGCCUGUCUUAGCCUAUAAAUAGGGAAGUCCCACGAAUUUGUAAACAAGCAGAAUAUUAGAGAUUACUUGCAUUGAGAAAGCUUUUAUAAUCUGUACAACCAUUCUAGUGAAAUAUACUUCCUCUUUGUGUAAUUCUCUUCUCCUUUGCAAGUGUGUGAUUGUCCCAAUUCGUUCCUUGUGUUGUUGGUUGGUUGGAUAGGCUUACUUUUGUUGGUUUUGGGGAGAGCAACCUCACAAGUGCCGCACGUUGGCAAGCUGAAAAGUCUUGUAGCGUGACACGUGGUAUCAAGCCGACUCGUGAACAAGCUCGCGAACAAUCUCAUGAGCAAGCUCGCGAACAAGCUCAUGAGCAAGCUCGCGAACAGGUUCAUGAGCAGGCUCGUUCGCAAAUACCAAUCCCACAUCGAAAGUUGAAGGGAUAUGGAGGAUUAUGACUUCUCUAUAAAAGGACAACCCUUCAACAUUUUUUUUAUUAGUUUUGGGUUUGAGAGAUUUCAAUUAAAUUUAAAAAAUUUAAUUUAAAAGUCUCUUAAUGAUUUUAUAAUUUAAAUUUCUUAAUAAUUUAAAUGAAUUUGAAUUAUAUUGAGCUUGUUUAUAAUAUAAUCGAGCUCAAAUUCGAGCCUAAAUGAUAAAUGACUAAUUAGACUCCGUUAGGAGUUUUAACCAAUAUCAUUUGACUAUUUGACUAAGACGAUAUAAGAGAAAAGAUAGACUGAAAAGACGAACAGUCUUAUUGAAAUUUUUCAAAAAUUAAAAAGUGGAUUUCUAAUAACUAAGAGAGGCUAUUUAUAAUAGAAAAAAAAAUCAUAAUAUGCAAAAUUAUAAAAAUAUCCAAAAAAUAAUUAAAAUACAAAACUGACCCCCUAAACGAUGAAAUUUUCAUAUUGAACUUUAUAAUAGGCCUGCGACCCUUGUCACACUUUUGAAAGUCAUGCGUCUCAAAAUUCCCUUUUUGAAAAGCUAUCGUGGGUCUCCAUCGGACGUCGGCAGUAAAAGUUAGGCUCAGUCCAAGUCUGCUGUAAAGUCCAAGACUAAUUGCUCCAUAUCAUUCCCUUCCAUUUGUAAAGAAUUCGACCUCGAGUUGUCAUCAGUAGGGUAGUACUGAAAUAGAUUCACCACGUUAAAUGUCUUGAAAAUUUUCAUCUCAUUUGGGAGGUCAAGAACAUAGGCAUUGUCAUUAAUCUUCUAAAUGAUCUGGAAUGGACCAAUCUUCUUGGCGUCAAGCUUUUUUUGUCCUCCACCAUGCUCCUUGCGUAAAUACACUAUAACUUAGUCUCCAACAUUGAAGGAUUUGAAACGCCUAUGUUUAUCAGCUAUAACUUUAUAUUUGUCAUUAACUUCUAUAAGGAAUUGUUGUACCUGUUUCAAAACAUCCACAUGCUACUUUGCCAAGUUGCUUGCUGCUAUACUGUUGUGAGAACCUGUAGAAAGGGCAAUAAGGUCGACUGUAUGUGCUGAGACUUUCCUAUACACAACUGCAAAUGGUGACAUCUUUGUGGAGUUGUGAACAUCACUGUUGUAAUCAAAUUCUGCUUGCACAAGAGCAAGAUUCCAAGUAGUUUUCUUGUUACUACAGAUACGAUGCAAAAGAUUGUGAAGCUUGCAGUUCACUACUUCAGUUUGGGGAUGGGCAGCACUAUUGUAUCGAAGUUCAGUUCCAAAACGUUUCCAUAAAGUCACCCAGAAGUGAGCUAGAAACUUCACAUCUCUGUCAGAAGUAAUGGUCUUUGGGACACCAUGUAGACGAACAACCUCCUGAAAAAACAGUUUUGCCACAUGAGAAGCAUCAUUAGUUUUCUUGCAAGGAAUGAAAUGCACCAUUUUGGAGAACCUGUCAACAACAAUAAAAAUGAAAUCAAAUCCACGUUGAGUACGUGGAAGGCCAAGAACAAAAUUCAUAGACAAGUCCUCCCAAGGAUGUGCUGGAAUAGGCAGUGGAGUGUAUAAGCCCGUAUUCUGCGAAUGUCCCUUCUGAGUUUGACAAAUUGGGCACUUCUGGACCAUCCGACCUAUAUUCCUUUUUAAUUGUGGCCAGUAAAAAUGCUCCUCCAACCCAGCAACAGUCUUAUCACGCCCCAAAUGUCCACUCAAACCUCCUCCAUGGACCUUCCGAAUAAGUUUUUCCCGCAAAGAAGAUCGAGAAAUGCAUAACUUGUUCUCCUUAAAAAGAAAGCCAUCAUAUAUUAAGAACCCAUCAGCAAGCUAGUGAGUCUAGACUCUAGCCCAUAUAUCAGAAAAGUCAUCAUCUGUAGCAUACAAAUCCUUUAGGAAUUCAAAACCUACAACUUCCUGAUUAAUUGUAAUCAAUAGAGCAACCCUGUAAUACCCGGCUAGAAUCCGGCACCGGAAUUCCUGUUGUCUGGUGGAAUCCGGGGUGUUGGGAUUCUAUAUACGGGUAGGAUCGAUAGUUUUGAGUUGAAAUGAACCAAGGCAGAGGAGCCAAGUUCGGCCGCCGAAGAUAAGUUCGGCCGCCGAAAGUGCUCAAUGUUCGGCUUCCGAAGAUUCAGGUUCGGCCCCCGAAUGUUGCAUGGUCUUGCAUGCGAUUGGGCAGCCGAAACUGAGUUGGCCAGCCAGCUUUUGGGCAUCCUUAGUCAGCAUUUUGGACAGGUGUUAACCAGGCUUAACAGGUAUGAGAUAACCCAUCUAGAGUAAGCUCUAGUCAGGGAUACAGAGUACAGAGUACAUGAGUACAGAGUACAUGAGUACAGAGUACAGAGAUAGUGCAUGCACAGGUUAAGCCUUGGUUCAGAAAAGAGUUUUAUUUUCACAGAAAAUGUAUGAUCAUGUAUGAGGUUUACAGGUACACAGAGAGUAUAGUAGGCUUGCUACGGGUUCUGGCGGCCUUAAGCCGACCUGAAUCCUAGCGCCGGUGACGGUCCAUUUUGGGGUCGUUACAAACCCUACUACUCAAAGCAUCUGCCACCUUAUUACUAUGGCCAGCCUUAUGUUUUAUGACAUAAUGAAAGGCUCCAAAAUAAGUUGCCCAUCGACCAUGCAUCUUAUUCACAUGUUUUUAAGUUUUAAAGUGGAUCAAAGAUUGAUGAUCCGUGUGAAUAAUAAACUCUCAUCCCAUCAUAUACUACUCCCAAGUUUUAAAAGUCUGGAGUACUACAUAUAGCUCUUGCUCAUAAGUAGACCACUUCUUCCUAACUUCAUUCAGUUUCUCACUAAAGAAGGCAAUAGGCCUUUUAGACUGCGACAACACUCCGUCAAUCCCAACUCCACAAGCAUCACAUUCAAUCUCAAACAGUUUAUCAAAAAUAGGUAGAGCAAGAAUAGGGGCAGAAGUAAGCUUAUCUUUAAUCUCUUCAAAUCUCUUGUUGAUAGUGUCAGUCCAAGCAAAUUUCUACACUCUCUCUUUCUUCAAGCAAUCUGUGAUAGGGUAAUGAUGCUGCUAAAAUUUCUGAUAAACCGCCGAUAGAAAGUAGCAAGGCCAUGAAAGUUGCGAACUUCAAAAAUAGUUUUGGGGAUGGGCCAAUUCCGUAUUAUUUCUACCUUCUUCUCAUCAAUAUGUAUUCCUUUUGCACUAACAAUGAAUCCCAGGAACAAAACGCGCUCUGUCAUAUAAAUGCACUUUUUAGAUUAAUAACCAUCUCACUUUCUUGCAAGGUUGUCACGAUUUGAUGGAGAUGCUGUAAAUGUUCUUCUUUGCUGCGACUAAAAAUCAAGAUGUCAUCAAAAUAAACAACCACAAAUUUGCGUAAGAAAGGACGCAAAACCUUAUUCUUAAGUCGCAUAAAGGUGCUAGGUGCAUUCGUCAAACCAAAGGGCAUAACCAGCCACUCAUACAAGCCUUCCUUAGUCUUGAAGGCGGUCUUCCAUUCAUCUCCCUCCUUGAUCCGAACUUGGUGAUAGCCGCUUUUAAGGUCGACCUUAGAGAAGACUUUAGACCCGGAUAACUGAUCUAGCAUAUCAUCCAGUCGUGGAAUAGGAAAUUGAUACUGAACUAUAAUUUUGUUGAUGGCGCUGCUAUCCACGCACAUUCCUCAAGUCCCAUCUUUCUUUAGAACUAAUAGGGCAGGUACUUCGCAGGGGUUAAUGCUCUCCCGAAUAUUCAAUACUUCUUCAACGUGUUCUUGGAGGAUUUCACUCUCCUUUGGACUCAUAUUAUAAUGAGGCAAAUUCGAUAAUUUUGAUCCAGAAAUGAGAUCAAUCUGAUGUUGGAUAUUCCGCAAAGGUGGAAACUUGGAUGAUUCCUCCACUAUCUUAGGAAACUCCUUCAACAGCUCUUUGACAGGUGGUGGUAAAGAUGGUGCAUCCUCCAUUACACCUUUUGCUCUCACCAAUAAAGCCAGUGUGCCUCCAGAUUUUUCAACUGCGCCUGAUAGCCUCUGCACUCCCGUGGAAAUAGCAACAACAUUCUUCCUUUCUACUUUAGAAUGUUUCGCAGAACCAGAAGGCAAGAUAGUAAUCUUCUUUUGAUUCCACGUGAACAUGUAUAAAUUCUCCUUCCCCUUAUGCAAAGCAUCAACAUCAAACUGCCAAGGGCUACCUAGCAAAAUUUCACAGCAAUCCAUAUCCACAACAUCACAAUUAACAGGUUCAGUAUAAGAUUUACCGAUCAAGAUAGGCACGCUAUAGACUCUAUUGACCUCAAUUGUCGGACCUUCCUUAAUCCAUCUGACUUUGUAUGCGAAGGGUGUGGCUGUGUAGGCAACUGCAAUUUUCCCACCAAUUGCUUAGCUAUCAGAUUCUCACAACUGCAACUAUCUAUAAUUAGCCUGCAAAUUGCCUCUCAUACUUGACAAUUUGCUUGGAAAAUCUUCCUCCUUUGCGUCUCAUCCUCCUGUUUUGUUGAGCAUAAGAUUUUCUUCACCACAUAGGUGAUCUCUCCAUCUUUUGAACUAGCAAUCUGAAUGUACAUGACAUUCAAAUUUCACAUUAAGACAGCAAAGNNNNNNNNNNNNNNNNNNNNNNNNNNNNNNNNNNNNNNNNNNNNNAAAAAUCUAUCAUGAUGGAAUAUGGUAGAGACUUACAUCUCCACUCCUUUCCUUCACUUUCUUAAUUAUAAUUAGGAACAUCUUCAACUUCAAUUCAAGUACGUACACAAAUAAAAAAAACUUAAUUACACGUAUAAAACAUUACCAAAUUUCAACGAAUCUAUCAUGGCGCAUCAACAUGUUUAUUCCCAGUGGAACACAUGGUUGAACCAAGAGUACUAUAAUUUAUAUAUCGGCUAGGAGCUGAAGUUCUAUGAAAUCCUUUCGGCAAACAAUUCGUCAUCCACGUCUUCCUCAGAUUCAGCCACCGGCUCAACCACAUUAACCUAUCAGUGAUCAGUAUUAACUCCUCUAUGUUCUGAACAAUUAUUCGAUCGAUGACCAGGUUGCCUGCAGCGGUAACAUAUGUCUCCCAUUGGCUUCUGAUAAGGAUUGGUCUACCUCCUUUGUCUAUUGUAGUAGUGACUGCCUUUCCUUUACUGUCUCUCCUUUCUUCCAUAAUAUUUUGAGGAUUGCCAGAAUUUACAACCUUAGAAGACUGCUCGCUGUUAUUGCCUCUAUACUGCUAUGUCCUUGUCGAACCAAAAUUUCUAUAAUUAAAAUUCCGGUUGUACUACUGUCGUAGUUGCCAAUCAACACGCUCUUCUACUCUUUUUGCCAUCUCGAUGGCGUCUGUCAAAGUGAAAAUCGUAGCUUGAUAGUGGUUGUCGAAGCUGUAAAAAAUAAACCUAUUAUCAAUCAAUAAAAUAAUUUGUAGAUAGUGGCAAUAGGGUCGAACUAUAGGGAUUUGACACUAAAGAUCUUCCUAAUUAUGACUUGGACAAGUAAAUAAAAAUAAAUAAAAAGAGGGGGCUUUGUUUUGAUGAUAAUGAAUUAAAACUAAAUAGUAAGAGAAAGUAAUAAUUUAAAAAGAUGAGUAAAUCAAUGGGAGAAAAGCUCUAGUUGAAGUAUGGAUCUGUUUCAAUUGUUUAGAAUUGAUCAUUGAUACUCCUAUUUAUUUUAAUAAAUUAGUUUAGAUUGUGGAAGACGCUUCUCAAAACCAAAUUCCUCCUUAGUUUUAGUUUGACUAGGAAACGUUCGCUAAUCAAACACUAGUUAACAAGUUGCCAAGGAACGUCUUUGGGAUUUUUUACUUUUCAACUGUUAACUGCAUUAAGACUUAGAGAAACCCAAUUCUAAUCUUGCCAACCGCGUGGUCAAGUUUAGAUUAUGCAACCAAGUGUGCUUGUGUUCAAACAAUCUAAGGAAUUACGGACCUAAAUUAUUCAAACUAACAAUUUAUUACUUAUGCAAUUAAAAGCAACAGGCCUUAAUUGAUUCUAAUAACAAAGCAAUAAUAGCAUGAAGAUCAAGUUGCACAAAUAUUGAAAAUAUAGGAGCUUAACAAUGGAGUUUUAAAUCUCUCAAUUCAUCACAAACUGAAAUUUUCCAACUUCAACUAGAAAAGAAGGUGUUUAGCCACUCAUGGUGGACAAAAAUACACAAAAAGAAAGAAGAAAAGUAGAAGAAGAGAGCUGUUGUGUUGCUUGCUGACUUUCUGCAGUAAAUUCGAUGCCUUUUUGCUGGUUUUGGUGCUAUCCCUUUUAUAGGUGGAGAUUCCUAAUUCAAUUAGGACUUGGAAUCCUUCUUUGAAUUGGUUUCAUGAUGGUCUUUUAAUUCCUCCUUGCUUUCGUAUUUUAUAAUGAAUAAAAUUCCUUUGGUGAAAGAUUUUCUUUGGUGUGGCUUUUGGAGUUGUCAUAAGAUUGAUCUUGUAGUGUUUGAAGUAGGAUAGGACUUCAAUGCUUUUGAAAUUUGAAAUUUGAAAUUUUUCUCGAGCUGUUGUUCCUUGUUUGCGUCAGUUUGAUUUGGGCAGUUGAUUUGCCCAAAUCGCUUGCCCAGAUCAUUUCUGCAAUUCAGUCCCAGUUUUCUGCUUCAGCUUCCUGCGAGUGAUUUGGCCAAAUCACUUCGACCCAAUCAAUUUUUCAGCUUUUUCUGCACUUUUUCUCUAACUUUCCAUUUUCUUCAUUUUCUGUAAAAAUAUCACAAAAACAUAAAUUAAAUUAGAAAAAUGUGUAAUUAAACAGUAAUAAAAAUAAUAAAAAUGUGACUAAAUUAUGCUUGAACACAGCUACUCCUAUCAUACAACGAAUUUCGUGAUUCAGGCCCCUCUGAUAAUGAGCAACUUGCUGGGCUUCGUUCUCACAGUUUUCACACCUCGCCUAUAAUCUCAAAAACUCCUCGGUAUAUUCAUUCACCCUUCGGUUCCCCUGUACACAGUCAUGAUAUCGGUUAUACAAAACCUGAGCGUGAUCGUUUGGCAAGAACCGUUGUUUAAUCAUCUGCUUCAUUAACACCCAGUUUCGUAUGGGUUCCAGCCUCCUCUGAUAGCAUUCAUUUUGAAUCGAAUUCCACCAGGCUGCUACACCUCCUUUUAACUUAUAGGCCAUAAUCGAAACCUUGCGAUCCUCUUUCACGUUUAUAACUUCGAAGAAAUGUUCAACCUCUGCCAGCUAAUCAAGAACAGAUUCCACAUUCAACGAACCAGAAAAGUUUUGAAGGUCUAUAUUGAUCUUGUAACCUUCCUGAUAAUUCUGUUGGGGAUUUGCAGGUACAGAAUUGGCGACCACAAAAUUGGCGGCCACAGGAUUGGUGACUGGCUGGGGGUGUGCGACGGCGGUGGGUUGGUGUAUUCCCUACUGCAGGGCCAGCUGUCCUAUCAUCUCCUUCAAUUCUGCCAAAGAUGCCUCAAUCGCAGCAAGUCGUACCUCUUAGUUGUCUGCCAUGGUCAAACUUUGCUCUGAUACCAAUCAGAUAAAGGACUAAUUAGACUCUGUCAGGAGUUUUAAUCAAUAUCGUUUGGCUAAGACGAUAUAAGAGAAAAUAUAUGCUGAAAAGACGAAUAAUCUUAUUGAAAUUCUUCAAAGAUUGAAAAGUGAGUUUCUAAUAGUUAAGGGAGGCUAUUUAUAAUAGAAAAAAACUCUAAUAUGUAAAAUUAUAAAAAUAUCUAAAAAAAUAAUUAAAAUACAAAAUUGACCCCUAAAAGAUGGAAUUUCCAUAUCGAACUUAGUGAUAGGCUUACUGCCCUCGUCACACUUUUGAAAGUUGUGCGUCUCAAAAUUUCCUUUCCGAAAAGUUAUCGUGGGUCUCCAUUGGACGUCGGCAGCAAAAGUUAGACCCGGUCCAAAUCUGCCAUAAAGUUCAAGACUAGUUACUCCAUAUCACUAAAUGAGCUCAAAUUUACUCCAUAUCACUAAAUGAACUCAAAUUCAAACUUUUUGAAUAGAGUUUGAGUUGGCUCGUUAAUGUGAUAAACGAGUUUAUUAAGAAUCGAGUUCGAGCCGAAGAAUCGAGUUCGAGCUUAUAAAUGAAACUCGAGUCAAGCUUGAAUUCGAACUUGAACUUUUAAAUUUAUUUUCUAAUUGAAUUUGAGUUUAUCAAAGCUCGGCUCAACUCGACUCGAUUAUGGCCCUAAUUUCUUGUAUAUUUUGGAUCAGCAGCCAUACAUGUAUAUAUACAGUGGGUACAAUAGGCUUGACUCAAGAUAGGUUUACAGAAAAUGCAACACACUUGAAAGAACUGAAAACAGUUUCUCUAAUCAACCUUAAUAGGUUUCUUGCUUUUUUUUUUCAUGAUUUAAUCUUAAACCUUUUUGCAGUACGAAAAAUAGUGUAAUUUAUCAAAUUAAAAAAAAAAGUCUAUUCAUGAAAUUAAGUGCGAAAAUAACUUAUUCACCUUUAAAUUAAUAUAUACAUUAUAUAUAAAUUGCAUAAUAAAUUUAUUAACCAACUUAAAUCAUUUGUUUAGAUUACAGAUUUUGGACUUGCUCAUGUUUUUACGGACGUUGCUACUCACAUAUCCAAAUCAUCAGUUAUGGGAACCCGAGUGUACGUAAGAUAUAACUUUCUUUCUAUAUUUAAUUGCAUUGCUAUUUUUUUUCUUAUAUAAACGAAUUGCAUUGCUAUUAUUAUCUUUUUUAUUUUCACUCUCAUUAUUAUCUACUCUAAAAUAAAAAUUAAAAUAAAAAAAUACAUAAAAAUAAAUUAAGACUCCUUAAUUUGAAGAUAUUAUUUUCUUAAAGAAAAUCUACAUGAAUUUUAAUUGCAAUAAUUCCAUUGCAGUUAUGAAGAUCCACUAACGACGAAAUUGGGGAAGUAUUCUGAUAAGUCUGAUAUUUAUUCUUUUGGUGUUACACUUUUAGAGUUGAUUACCGGAAGAAAACCUCUAGAUAAUGGCACUGAUAUUGUUACUUGGGUAUGACUCUAUUUGCAUUAAUAAAAACUAUGAUAUAAUUUUUUUUUUAUCUCAGUGAUAUAUAGUCAUUUAAAAAAAGUAAAGUCUUGAAUUUAGAUUUCAAUGGAGCUAUUUAGAUUUCAUUCCCAUGCAUUUAAGAUCCAUUAAUAAAUAUUUUUUUUAUCUUGUAGGCAAAUCUUCGCAUUAAAAAAGUUUUAGACGGAAAAUAUGCAAAUUUUGUAGAUUCUAAAUUACAUUCUUUUGAUGCCGAACAAAUGCAUAGAAUGGUUUCUUGUAUUAAUUCUUGCUUAAAUCAACCUCCAAACUCUCGUCCAACGAUGGAAAAGGUAAAAAUUGUUCCCAUAAUUAAUUUAAUUUCAGUAUCUUUCAAUAUAUAUAUAUAUAUAUAAUUAUGUAGAAGCCUAUUGAUUUGUAAUUAUUUUUUUGCUAUAAAUGUCACACAGAUACGUUUAGUUCUUGAAGGAAAAUCACCUCUAGAGGAAUUAUAUGGUCACGAAGGAUUGCAGCUGAGUAUGAUAUAUAAAGGUUCAUAUUAUUUUAUGUUAAUUUAUUAUAAAUUAUAUGCAUAUUUAUACUAAAGCUUGAUCUAAUUGCUGCCUAAAUUGUCAUUUAAUUUUCAACUGCAAAAAAUAAGUUUUUUAAUUUGAAAUUUAGAAUAAAUUAGUUUUUAACCAAAAUUGAUACAUAUUAAUUAAAUAUAUUUUUUAAUCUUAUAAUUAUUCAAACAAACUGUAAAAACAAUGAUGAAAGCUUUAUCUUAAAGUUUUAAAACAUAAAUCUAAAAGUUCAUAAAUAAUUUCUUAAUCGUUAAUUUUGUUAAUCAUUGAAUUAAAACGUAUAGUUAAUAUAUAUAGUAUUGAAUAGUUUCAGGAUUAAAAAUAUAAUUUUAUUUGAAUAUAAUUAUUUAUAGGGUUAUGAUUUAUCUUAUUAAUUAUUUUUAAUAAUUAUAGGAGACAAGAACAAAAAAAUCAUUUAUCAACCGAAAACCUCCUUUGUCCCAUAUAUAUGAAAAGUGUAAAAUUAAGAAUUACUAUAUUUUAUUUAUUAUUUCAUAAAAAUGAAUACGUAAUUACAUUUACAUUUAAAUCGGUUAGAGUUUUUUAGAAUUAAAAAAUAAAUUAUAAAUAUUUAAUUUAUUAAUUAGGAAUCAAUAUAUAAAUUGGAUGUUUGUAUUAAAUAGUUAACAUUUUAGUCAAUUUACAAGUUCAUUGACUUAUUUAUAAUUUUACAUAUUAUUCUUUUAUUAUUUAAGGAAAAGUAAAUAAAUAGAAACAAAUCUUCAUAAGAAAAAAAUAUAUAUUAUCAAUGGCCAUGAAACCAUUUGCUAUUUUGAAGUUGUUAAAUUUUCUUUUGAAAGAUUGUGAAACGUAAUGAUUUACUUAUAUUAUAUACAUCCUGUUUGACAAACUUCUAAUAAAUUGAUUUAGUUUGUUUAAAUAAUAAACUUAUGAUAUUUAUAGGUUACAGUGUUUUUAGGUAAAUUUCAAUCAUAUAGGUUAUUUGAAUAUUAUUAAAAUUAGUACAUAACAAUAAUAAUAACUCAAUGUAUAAAAUUAAGAAAAUGAAAAAUAAAAAUAUGAAAGUUAAUACGAUCAUUUCUCGUUCACUAAUCUAAUUGGUGAAGGUGGUUUAGGACAAAUUUUUAUCGGAUCUUUGAAUGGUGAGAUCCGUGCUAUCAAUAAACUUAAAAAUCUGCCGGAUUUACAAUUCGAAGGAGAUUUUGAGAGACAGAUUAGGGUCUUUCAUAGUAUCCGUCACAAAAAUCUCAUUGAACUGCUUGGUUACUGCAUCGAUGGACCCAAUAGAUUUCUUAUUUUAGAGUAUUUUCCAAACGGAUCUUUGAAAUAUAAAUUACAUGGUGAGUCCUAUAUCUUUUAUUUUAUAUUCAUAUAACUGUUAUGACAUAUAUAAUUAAUCUGACAAAUUAGAAAUGGUAUAUUGUAGAAAGUCAGAAUGUUUUGGACUGGAAAAAAAGAAUGAAGAUCGCUAUAGGUUCUGCAAGAGGAUUGGAAUAUUUACAUGAACAAUGUGAGUAUAUAUUAAUAGAAUAUAUUUAUGCUUGGUAGGCUUUGUAUUAAUAAUUUAUUUUCUUUAAAGUCUUAUCUUCUCUUUAUGUCUUUUUCAGGUAAUCCUAAAAUCAUACAUUUAGAUAUCAAACCAAAUAAUAUUAUUCUUGAUCAUAACUUUGAACCUAAAGUAAGACAACUAAAUAAUAAAUAAAAGUUUUGUUUAUAUCAUUAUAUAUUUAUAUUAAAACCUUGAUUGUUGAAUUUUUAAAAAAAAAAAUAUAUUAAAAAAUAUGUGAACUCAUUAAUUUGAUUGUUGUAACUAAUUAAUAAAUUAACCUUUAUAGUUUUUUUUGUCUUUUUCCUGCCUUAAUAUUUUCUUAAUAAACCUUAUUGAAGUACGGAUAAUAGUGUUAUAUGAUCAAAUAAAAAAUAAAAAAUAAAAAAAGAAUAUAUUCAUGAAAUUAAGUGUUGAAAAUAAUUAAAUAUUUAAAUUAAUAUAUAUAUAUAUAUAUAUAUAUAUGGCAUAAUAAAUUUAUUAAUCUACUUAAAUCAUUUGUUUAGAUUUCAGAUUUUGGACUCAGCACAUUUUUUACGGACGAUGAUAGUGACAUAGACGAAUCAUAUAUUGGAUGGACCCCAGGGUACGUAAGAUACAACUUUCUUUCUAUCAUUUUAAUUACAUUGCUAUAUAUUAUUGUAUAUUUCUUUUUUAGUGCCAUUAUUAUCUACACAUAAAAAGAAAUUAGGACUCUUUAAUUUGGAGAAAUUAGUUUUCACAAAGAAAAUUUUAACAUGAAGUUUAAUUGUGAUCAUUCAAUUGCAGAUAUACAGAUCCGGCCAUAUUUCAAUCGAAAAAGUAUUCUGAUAAAUUCGAUGUAUAUUCUUUUGGUAUUACACUUUUAGAGUUGAUUACGGGAAGAAAGCCCAUUCAUAAAGGACUUGACAUUGUUACUUGGGUAUGACUCUAUUAGUUUAUAACGGUAUAAUAUAAAAAUUGUAAUAUAUAUUCUUUUAGCUCAUUGAAAAAAAAUAUAUACAUAUAUACUAUAAGUUAAAUAUAAAUUUACAUGCAACAAAUAUUUAUGAUUUGUUAAUAAAUAUUUUUUUUUCAAUAUCUCAUAGGUAAAUCCUCUAAUUAAAAAGGCUUUAGACGGAGAAUAUGUGAAUUUUGUAGAUUCCAGACUACAAUCUUUUGACCACAAUGAAAUGCAUCGAAUGAUUUUUUGUGCUAAUAGUUGUAUAAAUCAAUCUCCAAAAUCUCGUCCAUCAAUGAAAAAGGUAAAAUUUAUUCACAUAAUUUAAUUUUGGUGUAUUUUAAUUAAUUUUGGGGAAGCAUUAAAAGAUUACAUAAUUGAUUUAUAUAUUUUUAUACCAUUGCUAUGCCAUGUAGAUAUUUCUAGCUCUUGAAGGACUUUUGCCUCUAGAGGUUUUAUGGGAUGAGAAGAACAACUACUUACUAGAGAGAGCUGCAAAUGAAGGUCCGUUUCUAGUAAACUAUGGGAAUAUCUAUUUCAAAGUGUUGUUCAUUUUCUUUAUAGAUAAAUUAUAACUUAAGGAUAAAGUGAGAUCAUAUUAAUGUGAAAAAAAAAAAUCUUACUAUUAUCAAUUAAAUUUUAAUUUGUUUCAGCUACAUUUUAGAAUAAAUUAAAUUAUUUUUUAAAGCAAAUUCAAUUAAACUUAAGAUUGGUAAUCAAAUCAAAAUCAUAUUUUAGUGAAUUAAAUCUUUUUUUCUUUAAGAUAAAAAGUUACAAAAUCUAAAAGUAUAAAUUGUUUUGAAUUGCAUUUUUAAAAUACUUAAUUUAUUUAAUUCUGAUUGGCAUAUAAUUCUUAAUUUUGUCUAUUUAUUUUCAUUGAAAUAAAAUGAUUACUUUAGAUACAGCUUCACAUUUGCUUCUCAACCAGUUUCACAUUUUUUUAAUCUGUUUUGAUGGAUUUUUUAUCCAAAUUUUUUUACUUAGCAUGAUUGAUCAUAAGAUGGAUAUAUUAAAAAGUCUGAUAACCGAUUUUAAUUAGAUUUUUCAUGUUAAAUUUUUUCUUGUCUUAUUAAUAAAAUGCUGCUUAUCAGAAAAAAAAAACCAGUACUUACCAUUUUGUUUUUUAAUUCCAUUUCUUGGCAAAGCAGGUGAUCCCGUUGGAGUUCGAGCAGGAAAUAUUCCUCUGAAAAAUCUCAAGAAUUGAGCAGAAAUGUUUAAAAAAAGAAUUAUUUUUUUCCUUUUAAAUAGAAGUUGGAAACUUCAUUCAAAGGCCAAUUGAACAUCGAAAUAAAAGAUAGGCCUCAGUUGAGUUGGCAAAGGAAGACUUUCUGAAUUUUGCUUUGCUUGUAUGAACAUGUAUGUGGAUCAUUCUAUGUAUUGAUACGUCUUUGGAGUACUAUUGCAAUUUUUUUUUUAAUUAAAAAAAAAAGUUGGGGUCUGAAAUAAAUAGUAUACAAUGAAGUGAUUUAAUUUUUAUAAAAUCAUAUUAUUUUUAAAUUAAAUCUUUUUAGUUAACAAAUUUAAAUGAAUUUAUCCAUCUCAAUCUUGGAGAUAAGGUUGUUGUUGAAGGUGAAGGAAAUGAUAGGCCAAAAAGAUCUCAAUGUGUGCUAUGUAACAUGAGACAUGGACACACCUAUAUGUGCAACAUGAUGGUAUACUUGCUCAUGCAACAUGAAAAAGAAUGUGGCUUUAUUUGUUGAUUUACUUGCUUCACGUGGGAUUAGACCAAAUUAUUAUCUAUUGUUAUUUUUUUUCACUAUAUCAUGAAGUUAGGAGUAGUUAUUGAUUCCAAUUUAUAUUUAAACUCUUUCUCAUUUAUCAAAAAGCCAUGCAUUAUUUUAAAUAAAAUCUCCUAAUUUAUUUUAACUAUAAGCAAAAUAUUAGUUAUUCUUUUUAAUUUUGAUUCGACCUGUCAUCCUGGGCUCUUCAGUUUUUGCAUUGAACCGAAUGUAUUUGUAUUUGAUGCUGGACGCUGGGAAAAUGGGGUAUGGAUCUGGAAUCUGCUGUGGACAACUAUAUAUACACAUGAUAUUGUAUCAACGGGAGAUUGAACUCCUAGUCCAACUAUUGGCUUCUAUUAGAGGUGUAAAUGAAUCAAAUCGUUCGUGAGCUACUGGAGAUCCGGUUCGAUAAAAACUCGACCAAGUUCGAGUUUAAUUUUUAGACUCAUUUGAUAAACAAACUAAAUUUGAGUUCCAUAGUAUUCGACUCGUUAAAACUCAGUGAGUUCGGCUCGUUUCUGAGUUAAUGAGCAGGCUCGCGAAUAGACUCGUGAACAGUCUCAUUAAGUAAGUUGAAAUUAUUAUCAUAACAGCAAUAAACUCAAAUCCUACAUAUACUUUCAUUAGCCAAACUUAAAUUUUUUAAAAUUCAGCUCAAUAUAAUUUAGUUAUACUUUUAAAUUUACAUAUAUUUGGAUCAUUAAAAUUUUAAAGUUUAUCUUUAUAAGUUUACGAGUUAAUUUGUGAAUAUACUUAUUUAACUAAAAUUAUUUUAGUUUUAAACUUAUUCGUUUUAAAUUAAAACUCAUUAUAUAUGUAAAUAAAUUGAAUCAUUAGUUAACUAUUCGAGACUAAACUCGAUAAAAGUUCGAUUCAGCUCGAUAAAAACUCGACUCGUCUAAAUUCGUUUGCUAAACGAGACAAACUUAAACUUUUUAAUACUCGACUCGAGUUCGAAAUGAGUAAAACUCGAAUUCGGUUCGAAUUUAAAAAAAUUUUAACGAACCAAAUUUGAGUUCUUCAAAAUUCGACUCGACUUGAUUCGUUUACACUUCUAACUUCUAUUAAUACAACUAGACCAUAGACUGAAAAAUCAUCGCCUCAUUUAGAAAGUUUAAUGUUACAAGUUAUUUCAAUUGCUAGUUAGUUCUCUUUAUUAAUUUAUCUAAAUUAAAGAAUGAAUAAUUAAAAAACCAUAAUCAUAUGAAUUAGAUAUGAGACCAUCCAGAUCGUUGACUUUGAAAAAAAAAUGUUAAUACUAAUUAAAUUCAAAUGCCAUGAUUGUUCAUUGAUAGAGUUAUUAACAUAAGUACAUCCAUUCAAACGUCCAGGUGGAAAUCACGUUAACCUUAUGUCUUAAUAAACAAUAAAUAACUUGUUAUUUUUAUAAGACUUUUAUAUUUUUAUUUUUAUUCUCAUAAUCUUUUGUUGCCCACUACACGAAAUUAAUUUGUCAAUUAUUUACAUCAGAUAUCCUGCAUAAAAUCACUAAUAUAUUAUAAAAUUACUCUAAUUACAGUGUGAAAACAUGAAAUUCCCAUACUCAUUCUGUAAGAAAGCCCCAUUAAUUACAUUUUUUAUUAUAUAUUUUAAGAAAAGAAAUUAUAUCCACCGUAGGUUUACUGAGUCGAACUCAUUAAUAAAAGACCCUCAUUGAAACUUAGAAUAAAGAGAAACUCAUUAAUAAAUUUAUAAUAUGCAUUACACAAAAUGACAUUAACUGGAGGCCACAUGCUGCGAAUUCUACGCUCAACGUCAACGUUAAUUUUUUUUUUUUUUUAAAAAAAAGGAAAACGAAGGUCCUAACUGUCUUCCUUCAUCCUUCUUACAUCUCCCUCUUUAUCUCUGACCAUUCACAUUCACACUCUAUAAGAACUCUAUUAUAUAUACUUGCAAAAAACCUCUGGCCGUGGUUGCACAAGUCUGCAACUUCUGAUGGCCAAUCGCUUGGGGAUGAACGGGGCAGAUCACCGGAUUGAAACUAGAGGUAUUAAUUGUUUUUAGCUGAAACUGUUGUACCAAAUAGUAAUAGUUUCAUGGAGAUUUCAUUUCAUCUAACUAAUUGAGGCAUGUUGUUUAUUGAUUGUCACUAAGCACAGAUCAGAAUGAAUCUGGCUCAUCUUCUGAGAAGACUAUUGGGCCAAAGUCAUAUUCAUACGGUGAAUUAGCAAAGGCAACUGAUCAUUUCUCGCACAAUAAUCUAAUUGGUAAAGGUGGUUUUGGUCAUGUUUUUAAGGCAUCUUUAGAUGGUGAGAUCCGUGCUAUCAAGAAACUUGAUUUUUCGGAUGUACAAUCCGAAGGAGGUUUGGAGAAGGAGAUUAUGAUCGUCCAAAGCCUCAGUCACAAAAACCUCGUUGAACUGGUUGGUUACUGCAUUUAUGGAGCCAAUAGAUUGCUCAUCUUAAAGUAUUUUCCAAAUGGGUCCUUGAGAUCUAAAUUACAUGGUGAGUCCCAUAUUCUUUCUUUUACUUUUAUGUUCAUAUAACUAAUCAAUAUGAUAUAAUUAAUAGGAAGUGAUAAUGUUUUGGACUGGGAAAUAAGAAUGAAGAUCGCUAUAGGUUCUGCAAGAGGAUUAGAAUAUUUACAUGAAAAUUGUGAGUAUAUACUACUACAUAUUCUUAUAUGGCAGUAUUUUAGCUUUUUGAGUGUAAAUUUAUUUAUUUAUUUUUAUUUAUGUUUGAUAAUUUAUUUUCUCUUGCAGUUCAUAUUCUUUUUAUAUUUUUUCAGAUAAAUCUAAAAUUGUUCAUUUAGAUAUUAAACCAGAUAAUAUUCUUCUUGAGGAAGAUUUUGAACCUAAGGUAAGAUAAUUUUAUCAUAAGAAAAUAUUUUAGUAAUGUCAUCACAUAUGUAUAUAUAGCGUAACUUUGAUGAUUGAAAUUUUAUUUUUGAAUAACAUUAAAAAAUUAUGUGAAUCAUUAAUUAUAUAAUUUAAUUAAUAUAUAUAUAUAUAAAUGGCAUAAUAAAUUUAUUUAAUUAACUUAAAUAAUUUGUUUAGAUAACAGAUUUUGGACUUGCUCAAUUUUUUACCGACGGUGCUACUCAUAUAUCCAAAUCAUCAGUUAUGGGAACCCAUGUGUAAGAUAUAAUUUUCUUUCUAUCAUUUAAUUGCAUUGAUAUUAUUUUCUAUUUUUUCAAAUGCUAUUAUUAUCUUCUCUUAGAAUAGUUUAAAAUAAAAUAAAUAUUGAAAUAAAUAAAAUAACACAUAAAAAAAUAUAAGUGCUCCUUAAUUUGAUAGUAUUAGUAAUCUUAAUCUUAACGCACUCACAGAUUUAAUCUGGUGGUAAGUGCAUUUGAGUAAAUCUGAGAGAUUUCAUAUUCUACUUUUCAAAUCUCCAAUUCUCAGUUCAAAAAAAUAAAAGUAAUCUUAAUCUUAACAAAUUCUAUUGCAGUUACGAAGAUCCACUGACAACAAAACUUGGAAAGUAUUCUGAUAAAUCCGAUAUUUAUUCUUUUGGAGUUACACUUUUAGAACUGAUUACUGUAAGAAUGCCUAUAGACAAUGGUAUUGACAUUGUUACUUGGGUAUGACUCUGUUUGCUUUAAUAAAACUAUGAUAUAAAUAUUCUAUUUACCAUUUAUAAAGUUUUGAAUAUAGAUCUCAAUUGGAGUUAUUUAGAUUUCAAUCCAAUGCAUUUAUGAUUCAUUAAUAAUAAUUUUUUAAUUAAUAUCUUGUAGGCAAAUCCUCUAAUUAAAAAGGCUUUGGAUGGAAGAUAUACAAAUUUUAUAGAUUCCAAUUUACAAUCCUUUCACCACGAACAAAUGUAUCGAAUGGUUUCUUGUGUUAAUUCUUGUCUAAAUCAACCUCCAAGCUCUCGGCCAACAAUGAAAAAGGUAAAAUUUUUCACAUAACUAAUCUCAAAACCAUAUAUAUAUUAUCUUAAACCUUGUAAUCAUUUUAUUGUUAUGUCAUGCAGAUACGUCUAGUUCUUGAAGGAAUAUCACUCCCGGAAGAAUUAUACGAUCAUAAAUUGCGAAAGAGCAUCAUACAUAAAGGUCUAUAUCCUUUUAUGUUAAUUUAUUAGAAAUUAUAUGCGUAUUUAUACUAAAACUUGAUCAAAUUGAUGCCUAAAUUAAUUUUUAUUUAAUUUGUGUCAUAUCUUAAAAUUAGAAACAAAUGUUGAUUUUCAACUGCAUAAAUAUUAAUUUUUUUAAUUUUAAAUGUAGAAUAAAUUAGUUUUUUAGUCAAAAUUGUUAACAUAUUAAUGAAAUAUAAUUUUUAUCUUCUAAUUAUUCAAACAAACUGUAAAAACAAUGAUGAAAAUUUUACCUUAAAGUCAUACAUAAUUCCUAAUCAUUAAUUUUGUCAAUUAUUGAAUUAAAUCAUAUAGUUAAUAUUUAUAGGAUUGAAUAGUUUCAAGAUUAAACAUAUAAUUUUAUUUGAAUUAGAAGAAUAGAAUUACUUAUAAGAUACAGUUCUUAGAACACUUAACAUUAUAUUAUGAUUUACAUAGUCUGUUAACCAAGUUGGUUUCCUAGUAGAACGAGGCUAACCUCUUUCAAUAGGUUGGAUUUCCGGUGACCAGCAAUUUGAUGUUGCAAGUCAGAUUCUAAAAGUUGUACAAGUUGGUCAUUUUGAUUCUCUAUUUCUUUAAAGGAGACUCAUAUAGGUUGCUGUUGUGACUCAUUUUUAUCCUAAUUCCAUGUGUUUUCUUCGUAAAAACUCACAUCUCUACUGAUCACAAUCUUUUUAGUGUCUGAAUUUAAUAAUUUAUAAGUUUUAGAGACUUCACUUAAGAUAAGAAAGACACAUUUUUCACCUUUAUCAUUUAACUUUUUUCUUUUCUCAUCAGAUAUAUAUAUGCAUAUUUGAUGCAACUGAAAAUUCCACAAUGAUCAACAGUUGGUUUUCUUUCACUCCAUAUUUCCUUUGGAGUCAUAUUCUGUAUUGAAAAUGUUAGACUUCUAUUCAGUACAUGGAUACUCCAAUUAACUGCCUUAGGGCAAAAGUUUUUCGGAACAUUGCCUUUAGCCAGCAAUCUUCUCACCAUAUUAAGUAUUGUUCUAUUUUUCCUUUCCAAUACGCCAUUUUAGUAUGGUAUAUAGGCAGCUGUGAGUUGUCUUUGAAUGCUUUAUUCAUCACAAAAUUGUUUAAAUUUCUUUGAACAAUAUUUUCCACCAUGAUUAGUACGGAAAGUUUUAACUGCCUUCCCUUACUCAUUUUCAACAUGCACUUUGAAGCUUUUAAAUGCACAAAAAGCUUCUGAUUUAGCCUGCAAAAAGUAAAUCCAAUCUUCCGAGAAAAAUCAUCAAUGAAAGUGAUUAAAUAUUUAUUACCCCCAUUGGAAGUUGAAUUGAUUGGAACACAUAUAUCGAAAUGGACCAGCUCUAAAAAAUUUUUCGCUCUCUAUUAUUUUCCUUGUGGAAAUUGAGAGCAAUGUUGUUUACAAACACACACUCUUCAUAAACACGAGAUGGAAUAGUAAUUUGAGGAUGACCAUUCCCCAUAUUCCCCUGUUGGAGAGUUCUUAAUCCACCGAAAUUCAAGUGGCCGUAACGGAAAUGCCAAAGCCGAGAUGGAUUCUUCAUUUCAGCCAUCAAAUUGGUUUGGGCAACUUGAAUUUGCAAUGGAAACAACCUGUUUGAGCUCAUUUAAAUAAUUACAAUAGCUUCUCUUGAAGGAUCAUAAAUUUUACAAGCUCUCUUUUGAAUGAUUAUCAGAUAGCCCUUCUCUUGCAAUUGACCAGCACUAAGUAAAUUAAUUUUCAAAUCAGGAACAUAAAACACACUAGAAAUGGUCUCCAUAAAACCAUUCUUAGUUUUAAUAUCAAUAUCACCUUUUCCCAUCACAUUUACUUUAGAACUAUCACCAAAGCUCAUAGUUGAAUGAAAAGUUUUAUCUAAAUGGGAAAAGAGAGACUUACUACCACACAUAUGAUUACUACUGUAACGACCCAGAUUUCGGACCAUUACCGGCGCUAGGAUCCAGAUCGGCAUAAGGCCGCCGGGACCCGUAGCAAGCCUCCUAUACUCUCUGUAUACCUGUAUAAAUCUCAUACAUGAUCAAACAUUUCCUGUCAAAAUUUUGUUUUGUUCCUUGGCUUAACCUGUGCAUGCACUAACUCUGUAACCUGUGUAUGAACCCCCUAACCAGAGUACUCAUCAAUGCUCUAGUUGGGUCCAUACCAUAUGUGUUAAGCCUGGACACUCAUACUCAUCCAUGAAACAUAAACAUAAUCGACCAUGUACAUAAAGGGGAUUAACAUAAAACUGGGCCAAGCACAGUACUAUACAUCAUUCUUAACAAUACUACACAUCAUUCUUAACAGUUCUAAACAUCUCUUUAAAAGUUUACAUCAUAUACAUCAAUUACAUGUCCACCACUAGCUAUUACAUUAUCAGAACUCCUCUAACACUAUCAACUCCCUGAUCUGUCCCACACCUGCAAACUGGGGUAAAGGGAAAACGGGGUGAGCUAUAAAGCCCAGUGAGUAGAAACAUGGGGCAUUUUCAUAUAAACAUGCUCUCAUGGAAUGCAUCAUAACUCAAACAUUUCACGUAACGGAUGAAUCUUGUCACCAUUAGCCCUCUCAUCCUAUGCCCGGCCCUCGACGGGGCUCCGCAGGCUAUCACUUUAUAUCAUGCAGUUGCCAAGACGCGUGGACAUGAGGCAGCCCUGGACUUUCAUCAGCAUGCAAACAUAGGGCGGUGCCAGGACGCGAGGACAUGGGCAGCCUUGGACUUUCAUCAUCAUACAUAGGAGAGCUAAUGGGUCACUCAAAAUUCAUCCACAUCAUCAACAUAGUAUGCAAUGCAUCAACUUCGUGAAACUAAUGCAAAACAACCUAAAAUAUUCAUAGCAAUCAUGAUGCAUGAGAUAUGCUUAAAUUUUAAAACAUAGUUUAGUUCUACUCACCUCAAACUGACUCUGCUGCAGCUGACCUACUGCUGUGGUCCUCGGUUCCUCUGGUUCGAACCUACAUAGGUGGACUCAAAUGAGGUACCAAACAUAGACUAUAAAGACUCUAAACAACUCCCCGGAAACCCCCUAGAACAUCAUAAAACCAUCAUGUAAAACAAGCAAAGAAAGGCUGGACAGGGCACUUUCGGCGGCAGGUUCGGCGGCCGAAACCCCCCUCCAGAGACGAAACUCAUGCAUGUUCGGCGGCACCUUCGGCAGCCGAAAAUCUCGUCCAGAGACGAAACUCAUGCACCUUCGGCGGCACUUUCGGCGGCCGAACCUUGCCUCCAGAGACGAAGGUCCCAACUUUCGGAAGCAAGCUUUGGCAGCCGAAACUGCCUCCACAAGGGGUUCGGCGGCCGAAACUCCCUUCGGCGGCCGAACCUGGUUGCUUCUGUAAGGCAGAAACUCUGCAUCUCACAUGCACAACUCCCCCAAACUCAUUCCAACUUGCAUCAAACAUAACACAACUAGCAUAUACUUAAGUAUAUGCAUAAAGGGGUCCAAAACUAACAUAAAACCCCAAACAACAAACACAAACAACCACAAAUCAUGAAUAUACACAAAACCCUCCAUAACACCCUCCUUAACCUAACAUGCAUUUCUACCCAUAAAAACUCCAUGAAACCUUCAAAAAUCAAGAAAGGAAGUUCAGGAUCUUCACUUACCUCUUCCAAAUGAGAGAAUAAACGAUCCCAACGUGGAGUGAUGGAGAAAUCUUCCCUCAAAACCUCCAAACUUCCUAACUUUGCUCUUUUACUCAAAAACUUCAAAACAAACAUAAAACUCAUCAAAACUUUGAAUGAUUUGAAGGAAACAUGAAAAUCACCCAAGGAGAACCUCAGCCUCACCUCUGGUUGGCAAAAAUGGAAAAAGUGAUCCAAAUCACCGACCUUUGACCAUUUAUAGGUGGCUGGCCAGACCACCUUCGGCGGCCAAACGUGAAGCCGAAUGCCAUGCAUGUUUGGCGGCCGAAAGUAACCUUCGGCGGCCGAACAUGGGCUUUUCUGCCUUGGUGUUUUUUCUUUCAAAAACUCAUUUCUUUUUAACACUUUAAAACAUUAAAACUCUUUUAAAACAUGUAAAAACAUAACCCGAACCCUUCUAGGGCAUUCCGACAUCGGAAAUUCACCGGACUACAGGAAUUCCAAUGCCGAACUCUAGCCGGGUAUUACAUUCUCCCCCCCUUAAGAACAUUCGUCCUCGAAUGUUCCUCGAACACAUAACACAUAGAUACGGGAAAAAACUAACUAACCUUAAAACAGAUAUGGAUACUGCUGAAGCAUAGAUUCCCGUGUCUCCCAGGUGCAUUCCUCUAGAUUGUGGUGGUUCCACAAAACUUUCACCAUCGGAAUUUCCUUGUUCCUUAGCUUUCUGAUCUGCGUGUCCAAGAUCCGUACUGGCUGCUCUACAUAGGUGAGAUCACCGAGGAUCUCUACAUCAGGUUCACUAAGAACCUUACUCGGAUCAGGCACGAACCGUCUCAGCAUAGAAACAUGGAAAACCGGGUGAAUUCUCUCCAUAGAUGCAGGUAAAUCCAGCUUAUACGAUACCUUCCCGAUCCUCUGCAAGAUCUCAAAGGGACCAAUGUACCGCGGAGCUAGUUUACCCUUUCUUCCGAACCUAACCACUCCCUUCAUUGGAGACACUUUCAGCAAAACCAUAUCCCCCUCCUGGAACUCUAACUGUUUCCUGCGAACGUCUGCAUAGCUCUUCUGUCUGCUAACUGCAGUUUUCAUCCUUUCUCUGAUUAUGGGCACUACCCUGCUGGUAAUCUCUAUUAACUCUGGCCCUGCCAGAGCCUUCUCCCCUACUUUUUCCCAGCAAACAGGUGUUCUGCAUUUCCUCCCAUACAAAGCUUCAUAAGGAGCCAUCCCUAUGCUAGCAUGAUGGCUGUUGUUGUAGGCAAACUCCACCAAAGGUAGAUGCUGUCUCCAAGAACCGCCAAAGUCUAACACACACAUUCUGAGCAUAUCUUCUAUGGUUUGGAUGGUCCUCUCUGAUUGACCGUCUGUCUGUGGGUGGAAAGCAGUACUGAAAUCCAAUCUCGUGCCCAUAGCAGCUUGCAGACUCCGCCAAAACCUGGAGGUAAACUGAGGUCCUCUAUCCGAAACUAUAGACACAGGAACUCCAUGCAGCUUUACUAUCUCUUCUACAUACACCUGCGCAAGUUUGUCCACAGAGUAGUUACUCCUAACCGGAAUGAAGUGAGCAGAUUUAGUCAGUCUAUCCACAAUCACCCAGAUGGAGUCUAGCCUGUUAGACGUCACCGGUAACCCCACUACAAAGUCCAUGGCUAUGUUUUCCCAUUUCCACUCUGGAAUAGGCAGUGGGUUAAGCAUUCCGGCCGGCUUCUGGUGCUCUAGCUUCACCCUUUGACAUAUCUCGCAGGCUGACACAUACUGUGCCACUUCUUUAUUCAUCGCUGGCCACCAAUACACUCUUCUCAAAUCUUGAUACAUCUUAGUGGCUCCAGGGUGAACGCUAUACCUUGCAUUAUGAGCUUCCCUCAUAAUGUCUUCCUUCAACUCUCUAUCAUCUGGUACACAUAGACGAUUCCCGUAACGGAGGAUCCCUUGACCGUCAAACCUGAAUUCUGCACUGUUGCCUGACUGAACAGUCCUGACAAUCUUCACUAGUUCUGGGUCCUCGUGCUGUUUCUGAGCCACCUGCUCCAGAAAAACUGGUGUUACUCUCAUCUGUGCUAUCAAAGCACCGGUACCAGAUAACUUUAACUGCAGCCCUUCCUCCAAGAGCUUAUAAAACUCCGACACCACUGGUCGUCUCUCUGCGGUUAUGUGGGAUAAGCUGCCAAGUGACUUCCGGCUUAAGGCGUCUGCCACAACGUUCGCCUUACCCGGAUGAUACUGAAUUUUACAAUCGUAGUCACUAAGUAGCUCUACCCACCUUCUUUGUCUCAAAUUCAGCUCUCUUUGACUCAAGAUAUACUGUAAACUUUUGUGGUCUGUGAAGAUCUCGCAUCUAACCCCAUAGAGGUAGUGUCUCCACAUCUUGAGUGCAAAGAUAACUGCUGCCAUCUCCAGGUCGUGUGUGGGGUAAUUCAACUCAUUCUUCUUCAACUGCCUAGAAGCAUAAGCUAUCACCCUAUCAUUCUGCAUCAAAACACAACCCAGCCCUACUCUAGACGCAUCACAGAAUACUGUGAAGUCCUCACCACUGACUGGCAAAGCCAACACUGGUGCUGUCGUCAAUCUCCUCUUAAGCUCUUCAAAACUUUCUUCACACUGAUCUGACCAAGCAAACUUCUGAUUCUUCUUGGUCAGCUUGGUCAUAGGAGCGGCUAUUUUUGAGAAAUCCUGCACAAACCAUCUGUAGUAGCCGGCCAAACCCAAGAAACUUUUAAUCUCCGUCACCGUAGUGGGUCUGGGCCAGUUAGCUACAGCCUCUAUCUUCUUGGGGUCUACCUCGAUUCCGUCUGCUGAAACAACAUGCCCCAAGAAAGAAAUGCUCCUUAACCAGAACUCACACUUGGAGAACUUAGCAUACAAGCUAUGCUCUCUCAAGGUUUGCAAAACUGUCCCCAGAUGAUGGGCAUGCUCCUCUGCAUCCUUGGAGUACACUAGAAUAUCAUCUAUAAAGACAAUCACAAAGUGAUCCAGGUACUCACUGAAAACUCUAUUCAUGAGGUCCAUAAAUGCUGCAGGGGCAUUAGUCAACCCGAACGGCAUUACCAGGAACUCAUAGUGCCCAUAUCUGGUCCUGAAGGCUGUCUUGGGAACAUCUUCUUCUCUAACUCUUAACUGGUGAUAUCCCGAUCUCAGAUCUAUUUUAGAAAAACAACCUGCUCCAGCUAGCUGGUCGAAUAGAUCGUCGAUCCUCGGCAAGGGAUACUUAUUCUUGGUAGUGACCUUAUUCAACUGUCUAUAGUCGAUACAAAGUCUAAGGGAUCCAUCCUUCUUUCUAACAAAAAGCACUGGAGCACCCCAAGGUGAGGUACUAGGGCGGAUGAAACCCUUAUCUACCAACUCUUGCAGCUACUCUUUCAGCUCUUUCAAUUCUGCUGGUGCCAUCCUGUAGGGAGGAAUAGAGAUCGGUCUGGUACCAGGCGUCAACUCUAUCUCGAACUCUAUUUCCCUAUCAGGUGGUAGUCCUAGAAGCUCUUCCGGGAACACAUCUAAAAACUCAUUAACUACUGGUACCGAAGCUGGUUCCCUAACCUGUUUAUCUAGCUCUCUCACAUGAGCUAGAAACCCCUGACAACCCCUCCUCAACAACCUGUGAGCCUGAAGGGCUGAUAUCAAGCCUCUAGGCGUCCCCCUCCUGUCUCCUCUGAAGACACAUACUGACCCAUCCAGAUCCCUAAGACUAACUACCUUGUCCCUGCAAUCCAAGGUAGCACCAUAUGUAGAUAGCCAAUCCAUCCCUAGAAUGACGUCAAAAUCUAUCAAAUCUAGAACCACCAGGUCAGCUGGAAGGCAUCUACCUUCUAUAAACACUAGACUGUACCUGCAGACUGACUCUGCUACUGAUGGGUCACAUUUGGGUCCACUGACCCAGAGAGGACACUCUAACCCAGAAACUAUCAGACCCAACCUCUCUACGGCUCUAGAAGCAAUGAAAGAGUGAGUAGCACCGGGGUCCAUUAAAGCAUACACAUCAGAACACCCAAUGAUGAGUUUACCUGACACCACCGUGUUAGAUGUGUUAGCCUCUUCUUGCGUCAUCGUGAAGAUCCGCGCUGGGGCUGCAGGACCUCCACCUCGGGAACCUGCUGCUGCUGAAGAAGAGGCUGCUCCUCUUCCUCGACCUCUGCUACUAGCCUGAGUUUGUGCUGGUGCUGCUGGCUGAGCUACACUGCCAGAACCCGUCUGCUGAGACUGUGCCAUAGAAACUGUUCUAGGACAAUCCCGAGCCAUAUGCCCCUCUUGUCCACAUCUAAAACAUGCAUUUGUCCCAGCUCGACAAACUCCUCUGUGUAACUUUCCACACCUCAUGCACACCUGACUUCCCGAACCAGGGUUUGAACUACUUCCCAUUCCUAGUCCGGACUUCAGCUUGUUCCAAAACUUACUCUUUUUAGACUUGGACCUGUCCAUUUUUCCACUUCCUGAUGCCUUGGGUACUGAAGUUUGAGCCACUGACUGCCUAACCUUCCCUUCAAUGAUCGCACUAGCCUCCAUUCUCCGAGCCAUAUCUACUAUAGCAUGGAAGCUCUCCCUCUCAGCUGAUUGUAUCAAGGAGGAAUACCUGGAGUUUAACUUCAUAAUAAACCUCCUGGACUUCUUCUGAUCAGUAUCAAGAGAUUGCCCUGAAAAAGGCAAGAGCUCCAUAAAUUUGUCAGCGAGAUCAUCUACGGUCAUCUCAUCACUCUGCCUCAGUUGUUCAAAUUCUAACAUCUUCAUCUCCCUCGAGCUAUCGGGAAAAGUCCAUCCCGCAAACUCGUUAGCAAACACCUCCUAGGUGAGACUGUCUAUCCUCGGUUCUACAUAGCUUCGAUACCACUCUUUAGCUUUCUUACAUUUCAAUGAGAUCCCUGCCAUCUGAAUGGCUCUGGUAUCGUCAGCCCCUAGCUCAUCUGUAAGCGUCUUCACCGUUUUGAGAUACUCAAACGGAUCGUCACCUGUAUCAAAUUGGGGAGCACCCAACAUCAGAUAAGCAGUCAUUUUGACCUUUCCCCUUCUAGAUGAACUAGGCUGUGAUAUUGGAACUUCUGGGGCUAUAGGUUCUUCUGGUGGUGAUGGAGGUGCAACAUUUUCUGGUAUAGGGUGUACUGUUUCUGGAUGAUAAGAUGGGGGUGGAUACAUAGGAUACUGUGGGUAUGGUGGAUAGAAUGGUGGAUAUGUCAUAUAAGAUGGGUAAGGGUUAAAACUAGGAUGAUCCGACAUACCUCCCAUCGAAUAUCCCGGAUACUGUGGAUAAGGUGGGUAUUGAGGUGGUGAAACAAACUCCGAGGCCUGAGUGCCUCCCUGAGACUCACCCAUGCCUUCCUCAGACAUACCGACACCCAAAUUACUAUCCAUCUGCUGCUCCACAUCCCAAUCAUCCUCCACUUCCAUAGAUACUCCUCCUUGCACUGUUCCUCUUCUGCUUCCAUCAAAAGACCUUCUAGGGUCCCUUGACGUUCUUCCUCUGCUAGGCCUACUUGAUAUGGACCUAGGCAAAACAGGAGGAUGGGCAUCUGCACCCUCGUCCUGAGAUGGUACUCUAGUCAAUCGGGUAGAUCGACGAGUUCCUCGCAUCUUGUUUUCUGAGAAAACAACACAUAGCACAAAACAUCAGUAUCAUAUGGUCCAUGUGGAAACACACAUGAACCCUCAUCACAUAUAAAACAUGCAUAUCAUAACAUCAUCAAAGGACAAAACUCAACAUCCUACCCUAGUGGACAUGUUUUUCCUACUGUGCUUGCCCUUCUAGAACAUCUAUGAGCCCUAUACACUCUAGGUCCGACCUUACGAACCUAGGGCUCUGAUACCAAUCUGUAACGACCCAGAUUUCGGACCAUUACCUGCACUAGGAUCCAGAUCGGCAUAAGGCCGCCGGGACCCGUAGCAAGCCUCCUAUACUCUCUGCAUACCUGUAUAAAUCCCAUACAUGAUCAAACAUUUCCUGUCAAAAUUUUGUUUUGUUCCCUGGCUUAAUCUGUGCAUGCACUAACUCUGUAACCUGUGUAUGAACCCCCUAACCAGAGUACUCAUCAAUGCUCUAGUUGGGUCCAUACCAUAUGUGUUAAGCCUGGACACUCAUACUCAUCCAUGAAACAUAAACAUAAUCGACCAUGUACAUAAAGGGAAUUAACAUAAAACUGGGCCAAGCACAGUACUAUACAUCAUUCUUAACAAUACUACACAUCAUUCUUAACAGUUCUAAACAUCUAUUUAAAAGUUUACAUCAUAUACAUCAAUUACAUGUCCACCACUAGCUAUUACAUGAUCAGAACUCCUCUAACACUAUCAACUCCCUGAUCUGUCCCACACCUGCAAACUGGGGUAAAGGGAAAACGGGGUGAGCUAUAAAGCCCAGUGAGUAGAAACAUGGGGCAUUUUCAUAUAAACAUGCUCUCAUGGAAUGCAUCAUAACUCAAACAUUUCACGUAACGGAUGAAUCUUGUCACCAUUAGCCCUCUCAUCCUAUGCCCGACCCUCGACGGGGCUCCGCAGGCUAUCACUUUAUAUCAUGCAGUUGCCAAGACGCGUGGACAUGAGGCAGCCCUAGACUUUCAUCAGCAUGCAAACAUAGGGGGGUGCCAGGACGCGAGGACAUGGGCAGCCUUGGACUUUCAUCAUCAUACAUAGGAGAGCUAAUGGGUCACUCAAAAUUCAUCCACAUCAUCAACAUAGUAUGCAAUGCAUCAACUUCAUGAAACUAAUGCAAAACAACCUAAAAUAUUCAUAGCAAUCAUGAUGCAUGAGAUAUGCUUAAAUUUUAAAACAUGGUUUAGUUCUACUCACCUCAAACUGACUCUGCUGCAGCUGACCUACUGCUGUGGUCCUCGGUUCCUCUGGUCCGAACCUACAUAGGUGGACUCAAAUGAGGUACCAAACAUAGACUAUAAAGACUCUAAACAACUCUCCGGAAACCCCCUAGAACAUCAUAAAACCAUCAUGUAAAACAAGCAAAGAAAGGCUGGACAGGGCACUUUCGGCGGCAGGUUCGGUGGCCGAAACCCCCCUCCAGAGACGAAACUCAUGCAUGUUCGGCGGCACCUUCGGCGGCCGAAAGUCCCGUCCAGAGACGAAACUCAUGCACCUUCAGCAGCACUUUCGGCGGCCGAACCUUGCCUCUAGAGACGAAGGUCCCAACUUUCGGAAGCAAGCUUUGGCAGCCGAAACUGCCUCCACAAGGGGUUCGGCGGCCGAAACUCCCUUCGGCGGCCGAACCUGGUUGCUUCCGUAAGGCAGAAACUCUGCAUCUCACAUGCACAACUCCCCCAAACUCAUUCCAACUUGCAUCAAACAUAACACAACUAGCAUAUACUUAAGUGUAACGCCCCGGAAAUCCGGACCGCUACCGGCGCUAGGAUCCAGAUCGGCAUAAGGCCGCCGGGACCCGUAGCAAGCCUAACAUAACCUGUAAACAUGUUUAAUCCCAUACAUGAUCAACCAUAUACAUAAAAAAAAAAAAUCAAAACUUUUCUUUCAUACAUACUAUCAUCAACUAACUCAACCUGUGCAUACUCUGAACAUAUACAUAACAUAAUCCCUCUGUGGGAUCUCAUCAAGCCUCAAAGGCAAAACAACAGGUGUUGAGUUAAUUUACAUAAACAUCAUAUCAUAAGAUCAUGUACAUACAAAAGGGNNNNNNNNNNNNNNNNNNNNNNNNNNNNNNNNNNNNNNNNNNNNNNNNNNNNNNNNNNNNNNNNNNNNNNNNNNNNNNNNNNNNNNNNNNNNNNNNNNNNNNNNNNNNNNNNNNNNNNNNNNNNNNNNNNNNNNNNNNNNNNNNNNNNNNNNNNNNNNNNNNNNNNNNNNNNNNNNNNNNNNNNNNNNNNNNNNNNNNNNNNNNNNNNNNNNNNNNNNNNNNNNNNNNNNNNNNNNNNNNNNNNNNNNNNNNNNNNNNNNNNNNNNNNNNNNNNNNNNNNNNNNNNNNNNNNNNNNNNNNNNNNNNNNNNNNNNNNNNNNNNNNNNNNNNNNNNNNNNNNNNNNNNNNNNNNNNNNNNNNNNNNNNNNNNNNNNNNNNNNNNNNNNNNNNNNNNNNNNNNNNNNNNNNNNNNNNNNNNNNNNNNNNNNNNNNNNNNNNNNNNNNNNNNNNNNNNNNNNNNNNNNNNNNNNNNNNNNNNNNNNNNNNNNNNNNNNNNNNNNNNNNNNNNNNNNNNNNNNNNNNNNNNNNNNNNNNNNNNNNNNNNNNNNNNNNNNNNNNNNNNNNNNNNNNNNNNNNNNNNNNNNNNNNNNNNNNNNNNNNNNNNNNNNNNNNNNNNNNNNNNNNNNNNNNNNNNNNNNNNNNNNNNNNNNNNNNNNNNNNNNNNNNNNNNNNNNNNNNNNNNNNNNNNNNNNNNNNNNNNNNNNNNNNNNNNNNNNNNNNNNNNNNNNNNNNNNNNNNNNNNNNNNNNNNNNNNNNNNNNNNNNNNNNNNNNNNNNNNNNNNNNNNNNNNNNNNNNNNNNNNNNNNNNNNNNNNNNNNNNNNNNNNNNNNNNNNNNNNNNNNNNNNNNNNNNNNNNNNNNNNNNNNNNNNNNNNNNNNNNNNNNNNNNNNNNNNNNNNNNNNNNNNNNNNNNNNNNNNNNNNNNNNNNNNNNNNNNNNNNNNNNNNNNNNNNNNNNNNNNNNNNNNNNNNNNNNNNNNNNNNNNNNNNNNNNNNNNNNNNNNNNNNNNNNNNNNNNNNNNNNNNNNNNNNNNNNNNNNNNNNNNNNNNNNNNNNNNNNNNNNNNNNNNNNNNNNNNNNNNNNNNNNNNNNNNNNNNNNNNNNNNNNNNNNNNNNNNNNNNNNNNNNNNNNNNNNNNNNNNNNNNNNNNNNNNNNNNNNNNNNNNNNNNNNNNNNNNNNNNNNNNNNNNNNNNNNNNNNNNNNNNNNNNNNNNNNNNNNNNNNNNNNNNNNNNNNNNNNNNNNNNNNNNNNNNNNNNNNNNNNNNNNNNNNNNNNNNNNNNNNNNNNNNNNNNNNNNNNNNNNNNNNNNNNNNNNNNNNNNNNNNNNNNNNNNNNNNNNNNNNNNNNNNNNNNNNNNNNNNNNNNNNNNNNNNNNNNNNNNNNNNNNNNNNNNNNNNNNNNNNNNNNNNNNNNNNNNNNNNNNNNNNNNNNNNNNNNNNNNNNNNNNNNNNNNNNNNNNNNNNNNNNNNNNNNNNNNNNNNNNNNNNNNNNNNNNNNNNNNNNNNNNNNNNNNNNNNNNNNNNNNNNNNNNNNNNNNNNNNNNNNNNNNNNNNNNNNNNNNNNNNNNNNNNNNNNNNNNNNNNNNNNNNNNNNNNNNNNNNNNNNNNNNNNNNNNNNNNNNNNNNNNNNNNNNNNNNNNNNNNNNNNNNNNNNNNNNNNNNNNNNNNNNNNNNNNNNNNNNNNNNNNNNNNNNNNNNNNNNNNNNNNNNNNNNNNNNNNNNNNNNNNNNNNNNNNNNNNNNNNNNNNNNNNNNNNNNNNNNNNNNNNNNNNNNNNNNNNNNNNNNNNNNNNNNNNNNNNNNNNNNNNNNNNNNNNNNNNNNNNNNNNNNNNNNNNNNNNNNNNNNNNNNNNNNNNNNNNNNNNNNNNNNNNNNNNNNNNNNNNNNNNNNNNNNNNNNNNNNNNNNNNNNNNNNNNNNNNNNNNNNNNNNNNNNNNNNNNNNNNNNNNNNNNNNNNNNNNNNNNNNNNNNNNNNNNNNNNNNNNNNNNNNNNNNNNNNNNNNNNNNNNNNNNNNNNNNNNNNNNNNNNNNNNNNNNNNNNNNNNNNNNNNNNNNNNNNNNNNNNNNNNNNNNNNNNNNNNNNNNNNNNNNNNNNNNNNNNNNNNNNNNNNNNNNNNNNNNNNNNNNNNNNNNNNNNNNNNNNNNNNNNNNNNNNNNNNNNNNNNNNNNNNNNNNNNNNNNNNNNNNNNNNNNNNNNNNNNNNNNNNNNNNNNNNNNNNNNNNNNNNNNNNNNNNNNNNNNNNNNNNNNNNNNNNNNNNNNNNNNNNNNNNNNNNNNNNNNNNNNNNNNNNNNNNNNNNNNNNNNNNNNNNNNNNNNNNNNNNNNNNNNNNNNNNNNNNNNNNNNNNNNNNNNNNNNNNNNNNNNNNNNNNNNNNNNNNNNNNNNNNNNNNNNNNNNNNNNNNNNNNNNNNNNNNNNNNNNNNNNGCAGGUUGAGUUAGUAGAUGAUGAAAUGUAUGAAAGAAAAGUUUUAAUUGUUUAUGAUGAUGUUGAUCAUGUAUGGGAUUAAACAGGUUUACAGGUUACAUGUCAGGCUUGCUACGGGUCCCGGCGGCCUUAAGCCGAUCUGGAUCCUAGCGCCGGUAGCGGUCCGAUUUUCGGGGCGUUACAGAGUGGUAUCAGAGCCCUAGGUUCACAUGGUCGGACCUAGAGUGUCGGGCUCAUAGAUGUUAUAGAAGGUCAAGCACAAUAGGAAAAGAUCAUGUCCACUAGGAUAGGAUAAUGAGUCCUGUCUUGAAUGAUGAUGUGAAAUGCCAUGACAUGAUGCAUGUGCAUUAAUGAUAUGUUUUGAUUGCUAUGUAUGUGAUGAGGGUUCAUGUGUGCCCAUAUGAACCAUAUGAUGCUAAUGUUUGCUUGCUAUGUGCUGUUUUCAGAAAACAGGAUGAGAGGAACUCGUCGAUCUGCACGAUUGACUGGAGUACCACCUGAGGAUGAGGGCAUGAGCGCCCGUCCUCCAGCAUUGCCUAGGGCAAUGUCUAGCAGGUCAAGCAGGGAAAGAGUAGCAAGAGACCCUAGAAGGUCUUUAGAUAUGGGUAGAAGCAGAUCAGUAAGGGGGACUGUGCAAGGCGGUAUGUCAGAGGAUGUGGGAGAUGAGAUGGAUGUGGACCAGAGGAGGGAUGGUAGCCUUGGAGUGAGUAUGUCGGAAGAAGGGAUGGGAGAGUCCCAAGGAGGCACACAGGCCUCGGGAUUUGUUCAGCCACCUCAGUACCCACCUUUUCCACAUAAUCCCGGGUAUUCGAUGGGAGGUACAUCGGAUUACCCUAGCUUUAGCCCUUUCCCCACACAGAUGCCAUACCCACCAUACUACCCACCAUACCCACAGUACCCUAUGUAUCCACCCCCACCCUACUAUCCAAAUCCAGCAAACCCUACCCCAGGGGAUGCUGCACCUCCUCCACCACCCACAGAACCCACAGUUCCAACAACCCAAGACCCUAAACCUAGCUCAUCUGGAGGGAGCAAAGUGAGGAUGACCGACUACAUGAAGUUGGGUGCCCCCCAAUUUGAAACAGGUGACGACCCAUUUGUGUAUCUGGAGAGGGUCAAAACCAUAACAGAUGAGAUAGGAGCGGAGGACAGUAGAGCCAUUCAGAUGGCAGGGUUCACCCUGAAAUGCAAGAAGGCCCGUGAGUGGUUCAAGGCCUAUGUGAAACCGAGGGUGGACAGUCUUUCAUGGGAGGAGUUUGCUAAUGAGUUUGCAGGAUGGGCUUUCCCUGAUAGCUCAAGGGAACAGAAGAUGAUAGAGUUCGAACAGUUGAGACAAACUGAUGACAUGAGUGUAGAUGAAUACACUGACAGGUUUAUGGAGUUGCUGCCAUUUGCUGGCCAGAACCUUGAUACAGACCAUAAAAAGUCAAGGAGGUACAUCAUGAAGCUCAAUUCCAGGUAUUCCUCCUUGAUACAGUCAACAGAUAGAGAGAGUUUCCAUGCCAUAGUGGAUAUGGCCCGGAGAAUGGAGGCUAGUGCUAUCAUCGAGGGCAGAGUUAAACAGUCAGUGGCACAGCCUUCUGGUCUUAAGACCCCAGGUUCUUCAUCUCUGAGUGCAGCUGCUUCAGGCAGUAAGAAGUGGGACAGAAGCCCCAAGAAGUCAAAGAAGAACAAGUUCUGGAGCAAGAUCAAGUCAGGUCUGGGAUUAGGAGGUGGCUCAAGCUCUGGUGGAAAUAGUGCUGUGUGUGCUAAGUGUGGUAGGCCACACUGGGGAGUAUGCCGGUUUGGGACGACAGCCUGCUACAGAUGUGGGCAACAGGGACAUAUGUCACGGGAGUGUCCUAGAGCAGCUCCUACGGCACAGCCUCAGCAGACAGCUUCAGGCAGUGUAGCACAGCCAGCAGCUCCAGCCAUGACACAGGCCAGUGGCAGAGGCAGAGGGAGAGGGUCAGCCUCUUCUUCAGCAGGGUUCAGAGGUGAGGGUCCGUCAGCUCCAGCAAGGAUCUUCACCAUGACACAGCAGGAGGCUAACACAUCCAACACCGUGGUGUCAGGUAAUCUCAUCAUUGGGUGUUCUGAUGUGUAUGCAUUGAUGGACCCUGGUGCAUCUCAUUCUUUUAUUGCACCGAGAGCCGUUCAGAGGUUAGGGUUGAUGGUCUCUGGGUUAGAGUGUCCCCUAUGGGUCAGUGGACCCAAGUGUGACCCGACAGUUGCAGAGUCAGUCUGCCAGUGUAGUCCAGUUUUUAUAGAGGGAAGAUGCUUAUCCGCCGACCUUGUGGUUCUAGAUUUGACAGACUUCGACGUCAUUCUAGGGAUGGAUUGGCUAUCUACCCAUGGUGCUACCUUGGACUGCAGAGACAAGGUAGUUAAGUUCAGAUGUCAGGAUGGGUCAGAGGUCGUCUUCAGAGGAGACAAAAAGGGUACACCUAGAGGCCUGAUAUCAGCUCUUCAGGCUCAGAGGUUGCUUAGGAGGGGAUGUCAGGGGUUUUUGGCUCAUGUGAGAGAGCUAGACAGUCAGGUUAGAGAGCCCGCCUCAGUGCCAGUAGUCAGAGAGUUCUUAGAUGUCUUCCCAGACGAGCUUCCAGGAUUACCACCUGCUAGGGAGAUAGAGUUUGAAAUAGAGCUGAUGCCUGGAACUAGGCCUAUCUCUAUCCCUCCCUACAGGAUGGCACCAGCAGAGUUGAAGGAGCUUAAGGAACAAUUGCAAAAACUGGUGGAUAAGGGUUUCAUCCGACCGAGUACCUCACCUUGGGGUGCUCCAGUGCUCUUUGUGAAGAAAAAGGAUGGAUCCCUCAGGCUUUGUAUCGACUACAGGCAGUUGAACAAAGUCACCAUCAAGAAUAAGUACCCGUUGCCAAGGAUCGACGAUCUAUUCGACCAGCUAGCAGGAGCGGGUUGUUUCUCCAAAAUAGAUCUAAGAUCUGGGUACCAUCAGCUGAGGAUUAGAGAGGAAGAUGUACCAAAGACAGCCUUCAGGACCAGAUAUGGGCAUUUUGAGUUCCUUGUGAUGCCGUUCGGGUUAACCAACGCCCCUGCAGCAUUCAUGGAUCUCAUGAACAGAGUAUUUAGACAGUACCUGGAUCACUUCGUUAUUGUCUUCAUAGAUGAUAUCCUAGUGUAUUCCAGGAAUGCAGAGGAGCAUGCCCAUCAUCUGAGAUUAGUUCUGCAGACCUUGAGGGAACAUGGCUUGUAUGCCAAGUUCUCCAAGUGUGAGUUCUGGUUAAGGAGCAUCUCAUUCUUGGGGCAUAUUGUGUCAGAGAACGGAAUAGAAGUGGAUCCCAAGAAAGUUGAAGCUGUGACUAACUGGCCUAGACCCACUACAGUAACAGAGAUCAUAAGUUUCUUGGGUUUGGCUGGUUAUUACAGGAGGUUCGUUCAGGACUUCUCGAAAAUUGCAGCUCCUUUGACCAGGUUAACCAGAAAGAAUCAGAAGUUCAUAUGGACCGAACAGUGCCAAGAGAGUUUUGAAGAGCUGAAGGGAAGGUUGACUUCAGCACCGGUGUUAGCUCUGCCAAACAGCAAUGAGGAUUUCACAGUGUUCUGUGAUUCAUCCAGAGUAGGUGUGGGUUGUGUGCUAAUGCAGAAUGGAAGGGUGAUAGCUUAUGCUUCUAGACAGUUAAAGAGGCACGAGUUAAAUUACCCCACACACGACCUUGAGAUGGCAGCAGUUAUCUUUGCCCUCAAGAUGUGGAGGCACUACCUCUAUGGGGUAAAAUGUGAGAUCUUUACAGAUCAUAAGAGCCUGCAGCACAUCUUGAGCCAGAGAGAGCUGAAUUUGAGACAGAGAAGAUGGGUAGAACUGUUAAGUGACUAUGAUUGCAAGAUCCAGUACCAUCCGGGUAAGGCUAAUGUAGUGGCUGAUGCCUUAAGCCGGAAAUCACUUGGCAGUCUAUCCCACAUCACGGCAGAGAGGAGACCCGUGGUGAAGGAGUUUUACAAACUCAUGAAUGAAGGUCUACAAUUGGAGUUGUCUGGUACAGGCGCUUUGAUUGCACAGAUGAGAGUGGCACCCGUGUUUCUGGAGCAGGUGGCUCAGAAACAGCAUGAGGACCCAGAGUUAGUGAAGAUUGUCAGGACUGUUCAGUCAGGUAAAGACAGUGAGUUCAGAUUUGAUGAUAGGGGGAUCCUCCGCUAUGGGAGCAGACUAUGUGUACCAGAUGACAUAGGGCUAAAGGGAGACAUUAUGAGAGAGGCUCAUAAUGCAAGAUACAGUGUUCACCCUGGAGCCACCAAGAUGUAUCAAGAUCUGAAGAGAGUGUAUUGGUGGCCAGCUAUGAAGAGGGAAGUGGCACAGUUCGUGUCAGCCUGCGAAGUGUGUCAGAGGGUGAAACUGGAACAUCAGAAGCCGGCUGGAAUGCUUAACCCGCUACCUAUUCCAGAGUGGAAAUGGGAAAAUAUAGCUAUGGACUUCGUAGUGGGGUUACCGGCGACACCCAACAGGUUAGACUCCAUAUGGGUGAUUGUGGACAGACUCACCAAAUCUGCUCACUUUAUUCCUGUCAGGAGCAACUACUCUGUGGAUAAAUUGGCGCAGGUGUAUGUGGAUGAAGUAGUAAGGCUGCAUGGGGUUCCUGUUUCAAUAGUGUCAGAUAGAGGGCCCCAGUUCACCUCCAGGUUUUGGCGGAGUCUGCAGAGUGCUAUGGGUACCAGACUAGAUUUCAGUACUGCCUUCCAUCCCCAGACUGAUGGACAGUCAUAGAGGACCAUCCAGACUAUAGAAGAUAUGCUCAGGAUGUGUGUGCUAGAUUUUGGCGGUUCUUGGAGGCAACAUCUACCCUUGGUGGAGUUUGCCUACAAUAACAGCUAUCAUGCUAGCAUAGGGAUGGCUCCAUAUGAAGCUUUGUAUGGGAGGAAGUGCAGGUCACCCGUUUGCUGGGAAGAGGUUGGAGAGAGGUCCUUAGCAGGGCCUGAGCUUGUAGAGAUCACCAGCAGGGUGGUGCCCAUGAUCAGAGAAAGAAUCAGAACUGCCAUGAGUAGACAGAAAAGUUAUGCAGACAUCCGCAGGAAACAGGUAGAAUUUCAGGAGGGGGAUCUAGUAUUGCUCAAGGUGUCUCCGAUAAAAGGGGUGGUUCGGUUUGGUAAGAAGGGUAAGCUAGCUCCGCGGUACAUCGGACCCUUUGAAGUCCUGCAAAGGAUUGGGAGUGUAUCGUACAAGCUGGAUUUACCUGCAUCUAUGGAAAGAAUCCAUCCGGUUUUCCAUGUUUCCAUGUUAAGAAAGUUCGUGUCAGAUCCAGGCAAGGUUCUUAGCGAGCCUGAUGUGGAGAUCCAAGAGGAUCUCAUUUAUGUAGAGCAGCCAGUAUGGAUUCUAGACACUCAGAUCAGAAAGUUAAGGAACAAGGAAAUCCCGAUGGUGAAAGUCCUUUGGAACCACCACAAUUUGGAAGAAUGCACCUGGGAGACACGGGAGUCCAUGCUCCAGCAAUAUCCCCAUCUCUUUUAAAGGUUAGUAUCUAUGUGUGCUAUGUGUUUAGUAUGUAUGAUAUAUUUUAUGCUUUGUAUGUACUAAUUGAGGAACAUUCGGGGACGAAUGUUCUUAAGGGGGGGAGAAUGUAAUACCCGGCUAGACUCCGGUAUCGGAAUUCCUACCGUCCGGUGGAAUUUGGAUGUCGGAAACCUCUAGAAGGGUAAAAACAUGUUUUUAUAAAAUGUUUUCAUGUAUUUUAAUGUUUUAAGUAUGAAAUUAAAUGAGUUUUUGCAUGAAAAGUCUUUGGAGGAAAACCCAGGUUCGGCCGCCGAAAGUCAAGUUCGGCCGCCGAACAUGCAUGCGUUUGGGAGGCACGUUAGGCCCCCGAAAGCAUAAGAAAGGGGAGUCCAGGUUCGGCCGCCGAACCUUAUGUUCGGCCGCCGAACAUUGCAUGGAUGCGGAGGCACAUUCGGCCCCCGAACGUGGCCUGGCCAGCCACCUAUAAAAGGGGCACUUAGCCGAAAUGGGCGAGUUUUCUCCCAUUUUCGGCCACAGCAAGCUUUCGACCUCCCUCUCCCCAAAUCUUGUGUUCUUUCUACAAAUCUCCUCCAUUUUUCUUGAGUUUUAACUUCACAUUGCAAGUUUUGAGCAUUUGAGACAACUUUUGGAGCUUUGGAAACUCAGGAGCUCAUUUGCUUGGAUCUCCGAGUUUUGAUCGCCUCUCUCUCGAUCUUCAAGAGGUAAGAGCCGAUCUUAAGCUCAAUGUAUGUUUUAAACAAGUUUUAUGAAGUUUUAUGGGGUAGAAUGGCAUGUAUAGGGUUGUAUGAGUUAGUUGAGCUAUGUUAGGUUUUAUGUGAUUUUUUUGAGCAAUGUAUGUUGGAAAUGUGUUGUUGUGAGUGUUGUAGUUGGGGUAUAUGUUAGUUUGAGACCCCUAGGUGUAAUGUAUGUGAUGUAUGCAUGUUUUAGAACAAGUUUAUGCAUGAUUGGUGGUUUUGGGAGGCAAGAGGCUCAUGUGAGCAAAGUUUCUGCCUGUUUGGCAGAAACCAGGUUCGGCAGCCGAAGGGACUUUCGGCUGCCGAACCCCCUUGUGGAGGCAGCAUUCGGCUGCCGAAGCUUGCCCCCGAAAAGAGACUUUCGUCUCUGUCUGGGAGUUUCGGCCGCCGAAGGUGCCGCCGAACCUGCCUGACUUUCGUCUCUGUCCAGGACUUUCGGCCGCCGAAGGUGCCGCCGAAAGCGCCCUGUUCAGCCACUUCAUGCAUGUAUUCCUAUGUUUAUGUCAUGAUGUUUUAGGGGGUUUUUGGAGAGUAUAUUAGAGUUAUGUUUAUAUAUGUUUGGUCCCUCAUUGGAGUCCACCUGUGUAGGUUCAGACCCGAGGAACCGAGGAUCCCAGCAGUGAGUCAGCUGCUACAGAGUGUUGUUAGAGUCUUCAGAGCAACCAGAGGUGAGUAGAAUAAACUCUUAAGUUUUAAAAUUAAUGAAAUAUUAAUUUUGAGCAUGUUCAUGCAUCACGAUUGCCAUGAGAUAUUUUAGGAUGUUGCAUUAGAAUUCACGAAUAUGUUGCACUGCAUAUUAUGUUGAUGUUGUGGGUAAAUACUGAAUGAUCCACUAGUCCUUGAUAUGGAAGUCCAGGGAGCCUUUGACUACGCCCUUGGCACUAGAUAAUGGAAGACCAGGGAGCCUUUGACUACGCCCUUGGCACUAUGGAACGCCAAGACCAAGUGCCUGAUAAGGCCUUGGGGCAGUGUAAGUAAUGUUAUGCUUAAUGGAAGACCAGUGAGCCUCUGACUACGCCGCUGGCAUUAGAUAUGAUGAUGGGACUAGUUGGUGACAGGUUUACCCUUGAUGUGGCUUGUUUGUGAUGUGACACAUUUCAUGAAGCAUGAAUUAAAAAUAUAAUGUUUUUAUUAUUCUGCUCACUGGGCUCUUGUAGCUCACCCCUCUCCCCUAACCCCAGAUGUGCAGGUACAGGGUAGAUCAGGAGGUUAGCCAGAGAUUUGAAGUAUGUUUAUGUAAUAGCUAGAUUGUGGACAUGACAAAUGUAUUAUGAUGUAAUGUAAGAGAUCAUAGCAUGUUAUGUAAUGAGAUAUUUAUAUUGAGGUUAUAGUUGUGCUUGACCCUAUGAGUAUUGUUAUCCCAUUGAUACAUGAUCUAUAGAUGAUGCUUAUGUAAACUAACUCAACAUAUGUUGUAAUGCCUUUGAGGCUUGAUGAGAUCCCACAGAGGGACUAUGUUAUGUAUAUGUUCAGAGUAUGUGCAGGUUGAGUUAGUAGAUGAUGAAAUGUAUGAAAGAAAAGUUUUAAUUGUUUAUGAUGAUGUUGAUCAUGUAUGGGAUUAAACAGGUUUACAGGUUACAUGUCAGGCUUGCUACGGGUCCCGGCGGCCUUAAGCCGAUCUGGAUCCUAGCGCCGGUAGCGGUCCGAUUUUCGGGGCGUUACAGAUACCUUCCCAACCUUUUGCAAGACCUCAAAGGGCCCGAUGUACCGUGGAGCUAGCUUACCUUUCUUCCCGAACCGAACCACCCCUUUCAUUGGGGACACUUUGAGCAAUACCAUAUCCCCCUCCUGAAACUCCACUUGUUUCCUGCGGAUGUCCGCAUAACUCUUUUGCCUGCUUGUAGCAGUCUUGAUUCUCUCUCGGAUAAUGGGCACCACCCUGCUGGUGAUCUCUACAAGUUCAGGCCCUGCUAAGGACCUCUCUCCAACCUCUUCCCAGCACACAGGUGAUCUGCACUUCCUCCCAUACAAAGCUUCAUAUGGAGCCAUCCCGAUGCUAGCAUGAUAGCUGUUAUUGUAGGCGAACUCCACUAAGGGUAGAUGUUGCCUCCAAGAACCGCCAAAAUCUAGCACACACAUCCUGAGCAUAUCCUCUAUUGUCUGGAUGGUCCUCUCUGACUGUCCAUCAGUCUGGGGAUGGAAGGCAGUACUGAAAUCCAACCUGGUACCCAUAGCAUUCUGCAGACUCCGCCAGAACCUGGAGGUGAACUGGGGCCCUCUAUCAGACACUAUAGAAACGGGAACCCCAUGCAACCUUACAAUCUCGUCAACAUACACCUGCGCCAAUUUAUCCACAGAGUAGUUGCUCCUUACAGGGAUGAAGUGAGCAGAUUUAGUGAGUCUGUCCACAAUCACCCAUAUGGAGUCUAAUCUGUUGGAUGUUGCCGGUAGCCCCACUACAAAAUCCAUGGCGAUAUUUUCCCAUUUCCACUCUGGAAUCGACAGUGGGUUAAGCAUUCCAGCCGGCUUCUGAUGUUCCAGCUUCACCCUCUGACACACUUCGCAGGCUGACACAAACUGUGCCACUUCUCUCUUCAUAGCUGGCCACCAAUACACUCUCUUCAGAUCUUGAUACAUCUUGGUGGCUCCAGGGUGAACACUGUAUCUUGCAUUAUGAGCCUCUCUCAUAAUGUCUCCCUUUAGCCUAUGUCAUCUGGUACACAUAGUCUAUUCCCAUAGCGGAGGAUCCCCUUACUAUCGAAUCUGAACUCACUGCCCUUGCCUGACUGAACAGUCCUGGCAAUCUUCACUAACUCUGGGUCCUCGUGCUGUUUCUGAGCUACCUGCUCCAGAAACACGGGUGUUACUUUUAUCUGUGCAAUCAGAGCACCUGUACCAGACAACUCCAACUGUAGACCUUCAUCAAUGAGCUUGUAAAAUUCCUUCACCACCGGUCUCCUCUCUACCGUGAUGUGGGAUAGACUGCCAAGUGAUUUCCGGCUUAAGGCAUCAGCUACUACAUUAGCCUUACCCGGAUGGUACUGGAUCUUGCAAUCAUAGUCACUCAACAGUUCUACCCAUCUCCUCUGUCUCAAAUUCAGCUCUCUCUGACUCAAAAUGUGCUGCAGGCUCUUAUGAUCUGUGAAGAUCUCACAUUUUACCCCAUAGAGGUAAUGCCUCCACAUCUUGAGGGCAAAGAUAACUGCUGCCAUUUCCAGGUCGUGUGUGGGGUAAUUCAGCUCAUGCCUCUUCAGCUGUCUAGAAGCAUAAGCGAUCACCCUACCAUUCUGCAUCAACACACAACCCAGGCCUACUCUGGAUGCAUCACAGAACACUGUGAAAUCCUCAUUGCUGUUUGGCAGAGCUAACACUGGUGCUGAAGUCAACCUCUUCUUGAGCUCCUCAAAGCUUUCUUCACACUGAUCGGUCCACUCGAACCUCUGAUUCUUUCUGGUCAAUCUGGUUAAAGGAGUUGCAAUCUUAGAGAAGUCCUGGACGAACCUCCUGUAAUAACCAGCCAAACCCAAGAAACUUCUGAUCUCUGUCACUGAGGUGGGCCUUGGCCAGUUAGUCACAGCUUCAACCUUCUUGGGGUCCACCUCUAUCCCAUUCUCUGACACUAUAUGCCCCAAGAAUGAUAUGCUCCUUAACCAGAACUCACACUUGGAGAACUUGGCAUACAAGCCAUGUUCCCUCAAGGUCUGUAAAACUAUCCUCAGAUGAUGGGCAUGCUCCUCUGCAUUCCUGGAAUACACCAAGAUAUCGUCUAUGAAGACAAUAACAAAGUGAUCCAGGUACGGUCUAAACACUCUGUUCAUGAGAUCCAUGAAUGCUGCAGGGGCGUUAGUUAACCCAAACGGCAUUACAAGGAACUCAUAGUGCCCAUAUCUGGUCCUGAAAGCUGUCUUCGGUAUGUCUUCUUCUCUUAUCCUCAGCUGAUGGUACCCUGAUCUCAGAUCUAUCUUGGAGAAACAACCCGCUCCUGCUAGCUGGUCGAAUAGAUCGUCGAUCCUUGGCAAUGGGUACUUGUUCUUGGUAGUGACUUUGUUCAACUGCCUGUAGUCGAUACAAAGUCUGAGGGAUCCAUCCUUCUUUCUCACGAAUAGCACUGGAGCACCCCAAGGUGAGGUACUCGGUCGGAUGAAGCCCUUAUCUACCAGAUCUUGCAACUGCCCUUUCAACUCUUUCAAUUCUGCUGGUGCCAUCCUGUAGGGAGGGAUAGAGAUCGGUCUAGUUCCAGGCAUCAAUUCAAUCUCGAACUCUAUCUCCCUAGCAGGUGGUAGUCCUGGAAGCUCUUCUGGAAAGACAUCCAGAAAUUCUCUGACAACUGGCACUGAGGCUGGCUCCCUGACCUGACUAUCUAGCUCUCUCACGUGAGCUACAUACCCCUGACAUCCCUUCCUAAGCAGCCUACGAGCCUGUAGGGCCGAUAUUAGACCUCUAGGCGUACCCCUCUUGUCUCCUCUGAAGACGACCUUUGACCCGUUCUGAUCUCUGAACCUGACUACCUUGUCCCUGCAGUCCAAGGUAGCACCAUGGGUAGAUAGCCAAUCCAUCCCUAGAAUGACGUCAAAAUCUGUCAAGUCUAGAACCACAAGGUCGGCGGAGAGGCAUCUUCCCUCAACAAAUACUGGACUGUACCGGCAGACUGACUCUGCCACUGACGGGUCACACUUGGGUCCACUGACCCAUAGGGGACACUCUAACCCAGAGACCAUCAACCCUAAUCUCUCAACUGCCCUCGGAGCAAUAAAGGAAUGAGAUGCACCUGGGUCCAUUAAUGCAUACACAUCAGAACACCCAAUGAUGAGAUUACCUGACACCACGGUGUUGGAUGUGUUCGCCUCCUGCUGAGUCAUGGUGAAGAUCCUGGCUGGAGCUGAUGGACCUUCACCUCGGGAACCUGAAGAAGAGGCUACUCCUCUCCCUCUACCUCUGCCACUGCCCUGAGUUGUGGCUGGAGCUGCUGGCUGUGCCACACUGCCUGAAGCUGUCUGUUGGGGCUGGCCCGUGAAAGGUGCUCUAGGACAAUCCCGAGCUAUGUGUCCCUCCUGGCCACAUCUGAAACAUACAUUGGUCCCAAAUCGACACCCUCCUUUGUGUGGCCUCCCACACCUUUGGCAUUCUGCACCGUCUGAGCCUGAACUCGAGCCACCGCCUAAUCCCAGACCGGAUUUCAGCUUAUUCCAGAACUUGUUCUUCUUGGGCUUCUUGGUGUUACUCCAUCUCUUACUACCUGAACUCUGAGUAGAGGGUCCUGACCCUCCUCUGCCUGGGGUCUUAACCCCUGAAGACUGGGUCACCGACUGCUUCACUGACCCCUCAAUUAUAGCACUGGCCUCCAUUCUUCGAGCCAUAUCCACCACAGUGUGGAAACUUUCCCUCUCAGCUGAUUGAAUCAAUGAGGAGUACCUGGACUGUAAUUUCAUGACAUAUCUCCUGGCCUUCUUUGCAUCUGUAUCUAGAGCUUGCCCUGAGAAGGGUAAUAGCUCCAGAAAUUUAUCUGUGUACUCCUCUAUGCUCAUGUCUUAUGUCUGUCUCAGUUGCUCAAACUCAAUCAUCUUCAACUCUCUGGAACUAUCUGGAAAGGCCCAUCCAGCAAACUCAUUGGCAAAUUCCUCCCAUGUCAUACUUUCAAGUCUCGGGUCCACAUAACACUUGUACCACUCCCGUGCCUUCUUGCACUUUAAAGUGAACCCUGCCAUCUCAAUGGCUCUUCUGUCAUCUGCCCCUAGCUCAUCAGUGAUCAUCUUCACUGCUCUCAGGUAUUCAAAGGGAUCAUCCCCUGACUUGUAUUUAGGAGCAUCCAGCUUAAGGUAAGCUGUCAUCUUCACCUUGCUCCCACUGGCUGAGCUAGGUUUAGGAGGUUGAGUAACUGGGGCUACUGGUUCUGUAGGUGGUGGGGGUGGGGGGUGCAGCAUUCCCCGAGAUGGGGUUUGCUGGGUGAGGAUGGAAGGAUGAGGGUGGAUAGGCUGAGUACUGUGGGUAAGGUGGAUAGAAAGGUGGAUAAGGCAUGUGAGUAGGGUAGGGGUUAAAGCUGGAGUAAUCCGAUUUACUUCCCAUCGGAUACCCGGGACUCUGUGCAUAGGGUGGAUAAUAGGGUGGAAAACCAUACCCCGAGGCCUGAGUGCCUCCUUGUGACUCCCCUGUCCCUUCUUCUGACAUGCUAACAUCCAGAUUCCCAUCCCUUCUCUGAUCUUCUUCCAUAACCUCCCUCACAUCUGAAGAACUUCCUCCUCUGUCUGUCCCCCUUCUGCUAGUAUCAAAAGACCUUCUAGGGUCCCUUGACACUCUUUCUCUGUUUACUCUGCAUGACAUUGCCCUAGGCAAUGUGGGAGGACGGGCGCUCGUGCCCUCAUCCUCUGGUGGGGCUCCUGUCAACCGUGCAGAUCGACGAGUUCCUCUCAUCCUGUUUUCUCUGAAAAACCAGCACAUAACUCACAAGCAUUAACAUCAUAUGGUUCAUGUGGGCACACAUGAACCCUCAUCAUAUACAUAGCAAACAUAGCAUAUUAUUUAUGCACAUGCAUUUAAUCAUGGCAUAUCACAUCUUUAAUCAAGGCAGGACUCUACAUCCUAUCCUAGUGGACAUGACUUUUCCUAUUGUGCUUGACCUUCUAUAACCUCUAUGAGCCCGACACGCUAGGUCCGACCAUAUGAACCUAGGGCUUUGAUACCACUCUGUAACGCCCCGGAAAUCCGGACCGCUACCGGCGCUAGGAUCCAGAUCGGCAUAAGGCCGCCGGGACCCGUAGCAAGCCUAACAUAACCUGUAAACAUGUUUAAUCCCAUACAUGAUCAACCAUAUACAUAAAAAAAAAAAUCAAAACUUUUCUUUCAUACAUACUAUCAUCAACUAACUCAACCUGUGCAUACUCUGAACAUAUACAUAACAUAAUCCCUCUGUGGGAUCUCAUCAAGCCUCAAAGGCAAAACAACAGGUGUUGAGUUAAUUUACAUAAACAUCAUAUCAUAAGAUCAUGUACAUACAAAAGGGAUUAGCAAUACACUAUGGUCAAGCACAACUCUAACCUCAAUAACCUCAUUACAUAACAUACUGAAAGUUUUUACAUUUCAUCAUAAUACAAUUGUCAUGUCCACAAUCUAACUAUUACAUACAUAUGACUUUUCUCUUCUUGCCUUCUCUAUCUAUCCCGUACCUGCAAACCUGGGGGUUAAGGGAGAGGGGUGAGCUAGAUGCCCAGUGAGUAGAACUGUAAAAAGAAUAUUUAAAACAUGCUGUCAUGGAAUGCAUCACUACACAAACAUUUCACACCACGGGUGGACUGAUUCAAAAAUCCCUCAGCUCCAUGCCCGGCCCUAAAGAGGGCACCACAGGACUUCAUAUGCCCGGCCCUAUUAUGGGCACCACAGGACUUCGUAACUCGGAGCUAUUGCCCGGCCCUAUUAUGGGCACCACAGGACUUCGUAUUCAGAGGGCUAAUGAAUCAUCCUAAUGUCCAUCCACUAUCAUCUAUCACAACAAUGCAAUGCGGCAUAUUCGUGAAUUCUAAUGCAAACAUCCUAUAAUAUAAUCAUGAUGCAUGAAGCAUGAUAAAAACAUUUAAUUUCUUAAUUUAAAAGGUUAAGUUUAGUUCCACUCACCUCUGGCUGACUCUGACAAUCUCUGUAGCAGCUGGCUCACUGCUGGGGUCCUUGGUUCCUCGGGUCCGAACCUACAUGGGUGGACUCCAAUGAGGGACCAAACAUACAUAAACAUAACUCUAAUAUAACCCCCAAAAAUCCCCCUAAUGCAUCAUGAAAACAUCACAUAAAAUAUGCAUGAAAUGGCUGAACAGGGCACUUUCGGCGGCACCUUCGGCGGCCGAAAGUCCCAGACAGAGACGAAACUCAGGUAGGUUCGGCGGCACCUUCGGCGGCCGAAAGUGCCAGACAGAGACGAAAGUCUCUUUUCAGGGGCAACUUCGGCAACCGAAAGGCCUGCCUCCCCAGCCAUGUUCGGCGGCCGAAAGUGCCUUCGGCUGCCGAACCUGGUUUCUGCCAAAGGGCAGAAACUUGGCUCCCUUUGCACAUUUCGCCUCCAAACCUUCCAAACAUGCAUAUUUUUCAACCAAAGCAUGCAUACAAGUUCCUAGGGGCCUCAAGCAAGCAUAUACCCCAUCUACAACACUCCAAACACACACAAUCAAGCCACAUUGUUCAUCAAAGCAUCAAAAACCCAUAAGCUCAACAUAUACCCUAACAUGCAUUCUACCCCUUAAAACUUCAUAAAACUUGUUUAAAACACAUAAUAAGGGUGGAUCCGAGCUUACCUCUUGAAGAAACGAGAGGAAAGGCGAUCCUAGCUUGGAGAUGGAGAGAUUGAGCUCUUUGAACCUCUAAGUACCCAAAUCUUGCUCUAAACUCAAAAAUCUUCAAAAACAAAGUUAUAGGCUCAUUAAAACGUGUGAGAUUUGAAGGAAAAGAUGCAAGAUUGGUGAGGAAUGACGGAGAGCUCACCUUGGCCGAAAAUGGGGGAAAAAGCUCGCCCGUUUUCGGCUAAGGGACCCUUUUAUAGUGGCUGGCCAGGCCACGUUCGGGGGCCGAAAGUGCCUCCGCAUCCAUGCAAUGUUCGGCGGCCGAACCUGCACUUCCCUCACUCAUGCUUUCGGGGGCCUAACGUGCCUCCAAAAUGCAUGCAUGUUCGGCGGCCGAACUUGGCUUUCGGCGGCCGAACCUGGAUUUUCCUCCAAAGAUUUUUCAUGUAAAACUCAUUAAAUUUCAUACUUAAAAACAUUAAAAACAUGAAAACCUUUUAUAAAAACAUGCUUUUACCCUUCUAGAGGUUUCCGACACCCAAAUUCCACCGGACGGUAGGAAUUCCGAUACCGGAGUCUAGCCGGGUAUUACAUUAAGUAUAUGCAUAAAGGGGUCCAAAACUAACCUAAAACCCCAAACAACAAACACAAACAACCACAAAUCAUGAAUAUACACAAAACCCUCCAUAACACCCUCCUUAACCUAACAUGCAUUUCUACCCAUAAAAACUCCAUGAAACCUUCAAAAAUCAAAAAAGGAAGUUCAGGAUCUUCACUUACCUCUUCCAAAUGAGAGAAUAAACGAUCCCAACGUGGAGUGAUGGAGAAAUCUUCCCUCAAAACCUCCAAACUUCCUAACUUUGCUCUUUUACUCAAAAACUUCAAAACAAACAUAAAACUCAUCAAAACUUUGAAUGAUUUGAAGGAAACAUGAAAAUCACCCAAGGAGAACCUCAGCCUCACCUCUGGUUGGCAAAAAUGGAAAAAGUGAUCCAAAUCACCGACCUUUGACCAUUUAUAGGUGGCUGGCCAGACCACCUUCGGCGGCCAAACGUGAAGCCGAAUGCCAUGCAUGUUCGGCGGCCGAAAGUGACCUUCGGCGGCCGAACAUGGGCUUUUCUGCCUUGGUAUUUUUUCUUUCAAAAACUCAUUUCUUUUUAACACUUUAAAACAUUAAAACUGUUUUAAAACAUGUAAAAACAUAACCCGAACCCUUCUAGGGCAUUCCGACAUCGGAAAUUCACCGGACUACAGGAAUUCCAAUGCCGAACUCUAGCCGGGUAUUACAGCUACAUCCUAUAUCAACGUAUCAAAUUCCAGAGUUAAUUGUCUCAUUAGUUUGAACAAUCAUUAAGAGAGUUUCAGCUUCAUGAUUUUCCACAAAGUUUGACUUCUCCCUAUUUUCUCUGUCAUUUGACAUUUUGGUACGACAUUCUGAACGAAAUUGACCAAAUUUAUGGCAUCUGUAGCAUUCAAUUUUGGAUUUGUCAAAAUGCUGAAACUAUCCUUUUCCUUUGUGCGAUUGAUCACCGUCAGUUUUGAAAUUUGUGUUUCCAUUUCUGUUGCCACGAUCUCUCCUUCCUCUUCCUCUUCCACUUCCUCUACCUCUUCAUCGUUAGUUUUAUAGCUUCUCUCCAUAGUUCUCGCAAAAUAGCUUGUGAUAGAUUCACCAUCCUUCAUUUGUAGAGUCUCAAAAUCUCAUCUCAAGACUUGAAGCUGUGCAUGCUUUACUCUUGCGAAGUCUUGAUAUUUCUUUUUCAUGGAGUCCCAAAUUUGUUUGGAAGUAUCUUUACAUAAAAUAGUCUCUAAAAUUGAAUGAUUGAUUGCCUAAAAUAAAUAAUUUUUCGCCUUAAGAUCCUUCAACUUUAGCCCUUCAAUUUCUGCUUUUUGCCCCUCAGUCACUACUGCUUCACUUGUUGGUGCCAGUACUCCAUCUGAAACAACUUGUCAACACUCUUUCGAUAUGAGAAUAUUUUCCAUCAACAUACUCUAGUGAUCAUAGUGACCAUCGAAGCAAGAUAUCGUAGGUUGCACAAAACUAUCAAAUGCUAUUGAUAAUAUUUGAAAAAUGCAAAAAAAGCUACAGCUUAAACUUGGGUUUGAUAUCACUGUUAGUAGCAUUUUUUAAAAAUAUAGCAAAAAUAAAAUUACAGUAAGUGUAGUAUGAUAAAAGACCAAAUAAAAGUGAAAUCUCAUCCAUAAAAUUAAAAAUAAAUAGCCCAAAAUAGGCUUUACUAACCAACUAAGAAACAACUACUAACAUAAAAGCACUAAACCACUAAUAUAAAAACACUAAAAUAGGAAGCGUUAAACUGAUAACAUAAAAGCACUAAAUCACUAAUAUAAAAGCAAUAAAAUAGGAAGUUAAUUAGUUACUGCUACCAAAAAUUUGUAAAGAAAUUAAAUUGAGUGUAGAAUGUAAUUAAACACCACAUGCAUAAUUUACAGAUGAAUUUGUAUGAUUAAAGUACAUGAUUUAAUUUGAUAAUGUUAUAUUAUUUUGUAUUUUAUUUGACUGAAAAAUAUAAAAAUUUAUUAUAAAAUUAAUUUCCUAUUUCAAGUUUAAUUCUAUUAUUUUACUAACAAUAUUAUAUCACAAAUAAAAUUUUGAUAUUUUAAUAGUUUGAAAUAUUUAUGAAUAAUUAUCAUAAUAAUUGUUGUGAAAAGAAAAACAUUUUAUAAUAUGAUUUAAUUUAUAUAUUUUAAUAAUUUUUUGAAAAUUUUUAACAGGAAUUUUUGUAUAUUAUUAUUAUUUUUUUAAUUGAGAAUUGAAAAUUAGAUGAGUAGAAUAUGAGAACUCUCAAAUUUACUCAGAUGUACUUGCCAUUAAACCAGUAUUUUGUAUACUAAUUUUUAAAAGAAAUUUUUAUCCGAUAGUCAUAUAAUUAUAUUUUAAUUGUUCUUGAUUUCUCGCAUUAGCUUUAUAUUAAGGCAAUUUAAACUCGGUCAAUUGUAGUAAGUCUUCAUCUGAUCUGUCAAGUUGACUUCAUAUUUAUAUAUUUGGACAACAUAAUAUUUGGAGAAUACAAAAUUAUAUAUAAUGUUCUGAAUAUUUAAAAUUAUUUAUACACACCUUUCCGUUUUAUCAUUUUUAUUCAUUUUAUAUUUUUAUAUAUAUUAAAAAAUAUAGUUUUUUAAUUAUAUUCAUAUUAAAUAUAUUAAAUUUUAUUAAAUAUUAAAAAAAUUUUUAAAAAUAAAAUAAAAUUAAAUACGAUUUAUAUAUUAUUAUAAUUUUAAAAAAUAAAUAAUAAUUUUAAAACAAUAAAAAAAUAAAUAAAAAUUUAUGGAGUUUAUUUUAUUGUGAUAUUUUAAAAGCCUUGAAUCUAGGUCUUUUUUUUAUUUAGUUUUAUCGUAUGGGUCUUGGUCUAUAUAUUAUAAAACGUUAAUUCUAGAAGGCUUAGUAAUCAAUAAUUCAACAUGAUUUUAUCUCAUUGGAUAGAUAUUAUUAAUUAAUUAGAUGGUCACCACCUAAUUAGCUCAUCUCCACAACACGGCUUCAACCUCAAUAUCUUUCACACUUGUAAGCUCUCUAUAUAUAUAUAUUGUAGGAAACAUCUGUCCGAGGUAUUUUAGCUACCCGACUUUCAUUUACUAAAAAAUUAAAUUUAUUGAUCCAACCAGUCAAAUAAAUGCCGAAAAUCUAAUUUGACGGUGGUCAUUGCUUAUAAGUUAUGAUAUUAUAAAUGCUUUGUUCUUUCAAAUGUAUAAUAAAUUAUAAUUUAUUAAGAUUAAUUUAACUAAUAUCUAAUUAAUUCUAAAAAAAGACUAUUAAGAAUUAUAAUCCUUUAUUUAAUAAAUAUGAUAAUUAGUCAGUUCAUAUUCUGAAUUUUUACAAAUUACCAUAUAUAAUAAAUGAUCUUAGAUGGAUCAAAUGAGCUUAUAUAUAUGAUAAACGUAAUCACUCACAUUUACACUAUUAAUAUUAAUAUCUAUAAAAAUUGGUAAAAUUAUACGUAUACAAUUAAAAAUUAAAUUUUUUACGGAUGCUAAACUUGAAAUCUCUUACCUUUUGUUUGACAUAACUCAUUUUAGAAUAAAAGAAUUUAAAUAAAUUUUAGUAAAAUAUAUUUUAUUUUCUUUAAAAAUAAAAAUUGUAUGAAUUAAAAAAAAAUGUUAUAUUCCAAACAAUAAAAUUAAUGAAAAAAAAAAUUAAAUUGAAUCAUUAUAAAAUCUUUGAUUCCAAACAAGAUCCUAAAAGCUUGAACUAUGAAAAACCUUAUAAUUAAUUAAUAAUUUAUAGAUAAUUUGUCAUUUAUAAGUACAUCCAUAAUUUAAUUAUUUAUUCAUAAUUUAAUUAUUCUUAUUAUUUUUUAUGAAAUUUAACUUUUUAAUACAUUUCUGUGUAUAUCCUAUUUUUAUAGAUGUAGAUUCAUAUUUAACCAAAUCAUAUAGUGUAUAUUUUAUUUUUUUAUAAUAUUUACUUCUAAACCAAUCAGUUAUUUAUUUUCCCAACAGAUAAUAUGGCAGGGAAAUACCGUUUGGAUUGGCCAACCAGAAUGGUGAUCGCUUUACGCAUCGGAAGAGGAUUGGUAAAUCUGCAUGAUCGAUGUGAGUCUUCCCUUGUAUGCUUAGGCCUUGGCUAUAUCAAAGCAUGAUUUUUCUGUUUUAAUACAAAUGAAAAGUGCUUCUUGAUUUGAGUAUGUAAGGGUUUAUUUAUUUGUUCAGGCUGUUCCUGCAAUUCAAAAUGAUUGGCCCAAAGGCAACUAUAAGUUUGUUGAUGAAAAAUUAGAGAGAUACUUUGACAAGGAUGAAAUGGAUCGAAUGAUAGAAUGUGCUUUAGCAUGUUUAGAGCGUUAUCCACAAAAUCGACCAGAAAUGAGUAAGGUAAUUUCAUAAAGCUUUAUAUUCUAUUUUAUAUUAUGUAUACAUACGUGAGUUUUAAACAAUUUAGCAUUUUUUGUUAUAUUUUAAUAUUUAGACAACAUAUUUUUAUCACGGUUGUAAAAUUAUUAUUUUAAUACUGAUAAGAUAAUAAUUUAAAAUUAUUAUAGAGAAAAUUCAUUCUAUAUUCAAUAAAAUUAUAAUUUUAGUUGCAUUUUUAAUUCACUGUGAAAAAAUAAUUAAACCGUUAUUUUAUUCUAAUAAUGGAGAUAGAGGUAAUGAUUGUUAAACUGAUAUUAUUAAUUUAUAAUUACAAUUAAAAAUAUAAAACAAUAAUUUAUAGUUAUUGUCUUAAAUUUAUUUUUAUAGUAGUAAUUAUGAUAAACUAAUAACAUUCAUGUGUUAUAAUUAUAGUCUAAUUUGGGAAAGAAAAAAAAACUCAAUUGCUUUUUUUUGAACGGAAAAUUAGAAAUUAGGGAAAUAUAAUAUGGAAUCUCUCAAAUUUAUUUAGAUGUACUUAUCAGUGAGUGUAAAAAAGAAAAACUCAAUUACUAAAAAUUAAAUUUUGUAAGAAUUAUUAAUAAAGUUAAUUUAUUCCAUUUCUUGGCAGAUUCAGUACUUUUUUUUUCCCUUUUUCUAAUUACUUUUCUUGGCAAAGCAGGUUGUUGAAGUUCUAGCAGGAAACAUUUAUCGGAAAAAUCUCAAGAAUUGAGAUGAAAUGUUUGAAAAAGAUAAUUAUUUUUUUUCCUUUUCACUAGAAGUUGGAAACUUCCUUGAAAGGCCGAUUGGACACUGAAAUAAAAGAUAGACUUCCGUUGAAGUGGCAAAGGAGUGUAACUGGAAGACUAUUGCAAUUGAAAAAAAAAGUUCCGUUUGAAAUAAAUCGAAUGUAAAAAAGUGAUUUAGCUUAGAGUAAUUUUUUUAAUUAACUCUUUUUAGUUAAUAAAAUUAAAAUUUUAGUUAUUAUGUUUCUAAAUAUGCAAAUUAAAUUAAAUUCUUAUAAAUUUUUAGUUUUCAAACAGGAAAAUAAAAGGUUUUGGAAGGUUUGAAUCCAAAUAAGAACGUUGAGAGAAUUAUAUCACCGCCAAAUUGCUGGACUAUCUACAGUAGCAUUUCUUUUUCAAAAACAAUUGAAAAUGAGGUUAAUUCUUAUUCUAUUAACUAAAAUUAAAAAAAAAAAUUUAAAUGGAGAUUGAAAAAAUAAAAUUUAAUAUCUCACAUAUUUAUUUAAAUACACUUAUCACCAUAUUAAGAUUGUGAGUAUAAUAUUUAUUAUAUUUUAAUUAUAAUUUAAGAAUUUAAUACGCUAAUAAAUCAUAUAGAGAUGUAAUUGCAUAUUUAAUAUUAUUUUAAUCUGCAUUCCCAGGUUUAGCCUGAUAGUAAGUGCAUUCGGUUAAACCUGAUAGAUCUCAGGUUCGAAUCCCAUCCCCAUUUCAAAAAAAAAAAAAAAAUAUUAUUUUAAUCUUUUAAGUCAAAAUCAAUAAUUUCAACUCCAACCAUAGGUUAUGGCACUAAUCAAGUAAGAGAGAAAAAUAUUUUUAAAGGGAAAUACUUAUUUUUAAUAAAACAAAUUAACUCAGAGUUAGCUUCUCUUAUUAGUUUAUAUGAAUUUUAUUAUAUUAAUAAUAAAAAUAUAUUUGUUAAAUAUGACCAAAAUUUUAAAAAUGACCCUCUUUUAAAUUCCAAUAUUAAUUUAAUUCCAAUAACUUAUCAUAUUUCUCCUUAUUAUCCAUAAUAAACAAUGACCAAGAUUUUAAAAUGACCCUCUCUAAUUUAAUUCUAAUAUUAAAAAUGACCAAAUUUAUUAUCUAUAUUAAACAAUGACCAUGCUUUUUAAAAAUGAUCCUAAUUAAGAUCAAACUAACAACUUUGUAGUUUCUUCAUUUAUUAAUAUGCAAGUGGGAGAUAAAAAAUCAUUAGUUAAUUAAUUUGGUACGUCCUAUUUUAUAAUACACUGAGCAAUCUGAAAGCUGAUUGGCCCCCACAAAUGGAUUAAUUAAUAAUUCAACCUUCUUAAUUAAUGCCGCCUUCAUUGACAGCCUGGGUACUGUUCAGAAACUAACAAUAUAGUAAUCUUACUAUUGCACCGACUCUGCAUAAUUUGUAUUUUUUUGAUACUCCCUACUUUCAAACUUUAAUUUUCGCUAUCGCUGUUUAUUUGAUGGAUUCAAUUUUUGAAUAAAUUAAAUAUUUAAAUUUAAAUAUUUAUAAAAAUAAAAAUAAUCAAUUUUAAUUAAAAAUUAAAUUAAAUUGAAUCGAUCUGAUUUAAUUCGAUUUGAUUGAUUUGAAUUUUUAAUAAAUUUUUUAUUUUUUAUAUUUUAUUUUUAAUAUUUUAAAAUUUAAUUAAAAUAUUUUAAUUUUAAUAUAAUUUAAUAUUUUUAUAUUAUUGAACAUAAUAUAUUAUUAUCAUUAAUCAAUUCAGCUUGAUUUUUUUAUUUUUUUUAUCAAAAUUAAAUAAAAUUGAAAUAAUUAAAAAUUUUAAAAUUAAAAAUCAAAACAAACUCAAAUGAAUAAAAAAUUAAAUUAAAUUUUUAAAUUAAUUUAAUUUGAUUAAUUUUUUUGAUUUAAAUCGAAUAUUACUGGCUCUAAUUUUUCCAUAUAAAUAUUAUGCACAUGUAAAACAUAUAGGUUAAAUAUAUAUUAAAUAAGAUAUUUUCUUAUUAAAAAAAUAUUAUGCACAUGUAAAACAUAUAGGUUAAAUAUAUAUUUACAUAUUUAUAUUUUAAUAUUAUAUACAAAAAGAUACAAGAGAAAGAUACAAGAGUGUAUAUAUAUAUAUAUAUAUAUAGAUGACUGACUCUCUCUCGCUCCUUGGCUUUUCAUUUCCUAGCUUGACUGACUCUCUCUCUCUCUGUCAUCCUAACCUUGUGGGCAGCCAUGGCAGAACCAAGCAGAGGAGGUAUGUUACAACUAAACACCCUAUUUGAAAUUUCGAUUGUGUGAAAUUUAUAUUUAUCAUACUAUAUCUUUUAGUUCGUAACCUAUUAUUAACUUAAAAGUAAACUUAGUUAGAUUUAUUCGAGUUGUGAAUUGAAUUGAAAUAAUCGGUUAAAUUCUAUGAUAGAUUAGUCAAUGGAUUUAAAUUUUUAAUUCAGAUUAAAAUUUAAAAUCAGAAGGACUAAUUAAAAACUUCUCUUCUUAAUUGAAAUUAAAAUUGAACUAAAAUCGAUAAUUUAAAUUAAUCGUACAGUUUAGUUUCGAUUUGAUUUUAAAUUUUUAAAAUAAAUUAUCUUAUAAAAUUCUGUAAAUUUUUAAAAUUAAUAUAUAGAUAAAUCAAAUUAUUAAAUAAUUAAGUUAAAUUUUUUACUCGUAAAAAAUAUAUUUCCAUUUAAUUUUUUUUAUAUUAUAUGAAUGGGUAUAUUUUGUAAAAAAAUUAUUUAUUGAAUUAUUAAUUAAAUAAUUUUUAGUACUCAUAUUUAUUUCUUUACGUUUUAUUUAAUUUUAACUAAAUUUUUUAAAAAUUUUUUCACGUAUGUGUGGAAUUUAUGUUUGAUAUCAAUGCCAACCCACAAAAUUGCAGAAUAACAAAAUUAGCAUUUGAUCCAGGUGUUCACAAGUACAGCUUUGAAGAGCUAGCAAAAGCAACAGGUGAUUUCUCCAACAACAACCGCGUUGGACAGGACGGUUCUGGUGAAGUUUAUGAAGGAACACUUCCCAAUGGUAAACAAGUUGCGAUUAAGAGGCUUCAAUAUAAUUCAGAUCCUGAGAAACAGCAAGUGGAACUUCUAUUUGAGAAUGAGGUUAAAACCAAUAGCCGCACUCGUCACCCGAAUAUUGUGGAGGUCGUCGGAUACUGCAGCGAAGAAGCUGAUCGAUUGAUUGUUUACGAGUUCGUGUCCAACAAGAGCUUGAAAUCUCAUCUCUAUGGUGAGUACUUCUUAAAUUUUCUCAUUGGAUUUAUAAUUUAUUUAUCAUGAGAAUUAAAUGAUUAAGCCAUUUUGUUUGGUUACACAAGUGGGAAGAAGACAGCUGGCGACCGCCCCGAUCGAUUGGCCAACCAGAAUGAAGAUUGCUUUGGGUAUAGCAGAAGGAUUGGCAUAUUUGCAUGAAGAAUGUGAGGUUUUAACUUUAUUUAGUUUUUUUUUUUCCCAAGUUUUCUAUAUUGCACAUUAUACUUUUUAAUUUUAUGCAUUUUUAGGUAAAUCAGGAAUCAUCCACCGAGAUAUUAAAAGUGAUAAUAUUCUUCUCGAUGAUAAAUUUAAUCCUAAGGUAUGAUGAUAUACUCACAGAAGACAGCUAAACAUUUUAUAAUUAAUAUUAAAAAUGUAAAUAAAGUUUACAUUUAUAACUAUUAACUGUUUUAAUUAAUUACAAGUAAUUUUAAUUAUAAAUAAGUGGCCUUUCAAAAUCUUGAUUUAAAAUACCUUCUGUUUAGAAUUAAAAAAAACUUGUAAGAUUCAUAUCAACUUUGAAUUUAAAUUUAACUUAUUAGUUAUAAAUUAAUUUGAAUGACACAAUAAAUUACUUCUAUCAACUUUUUUCUUUUCAGAUUAGAAAUUUUGGAAUUUCCAAAGAAUUUGCGGAUUCAAAAACUCACGUUUCCACUAUCCCAAUGGGAACUCCAGAGUAAGAUUCGUUCUUAUUUGUUUGCUAAAUUUUCUUUCUCAAAGAAAAUUGGUUGAAUUAGUAGUUCUCAUUUGAUAAACACUUUCUUUAAGUGCAGUUAUCUCGCUCCUGAGCAUUACACCCAAGAUGAUCAAAAUAAGAAGCUCACCGAUAAGUCUGAUGUAUUUUCCUUUGGUGUCGUACUUCUAGAGCUGAUUACGGGAAAAUUAGCUGCUUUUGAGAAGGAACGCAGGGAAUAUAUUUUCUUAACUAUUUGGGUACUUAAAAAUAAAGAAUUUGAUAUUUUGUAUAUUCAAUAUUCAAGGGUUUUUUAUUUUUUAUUAUUUUUUCCCUGAUGGAAUGCUUAACUGACCUUUGUACAUCUAUUUUGAUUAUUCACAGGCCGUGCCUCUACUGAAACAAAUUUUGGAUGCAGACUAUCAAGAUUUGGAUGCUGAAAAUUGUAAAGAACUUUUUGAUUCCAAAUUACCGAACAAUUUUGAGAAAAAUGAUAUGGAAAAGCUUAUUUAUUCUGCUGCUGCUUGUAUAUAUAAACCUGCAAAGUUACGCCCACAUAUGUGCGAGGUAAAUUGACAAAACCAAACCAGUUAUUUUUGGAUUAUGCUUUGCAUGUGAUUAUCAGUAAAAAUAUAUGAAAUAUAAUUUAAAAAGUACGUAAAAAUUAUUUGAUAAUUUUGCAUAUGUUAUUAAAAAUUGGGAGGGUGACUGCAUGUGAUUUUUUGAUGCAGAUAGUUAAAGUACUAAAUGGAGAUAUGGAACCCAAAACUAUAUGGGUGAGAAGUGAUUGCAAGUACCUAUACAAUGGGUCACCUUACGCUCCAUUUCCUCAAGCUCAGGGAACCUCCAGCUCUUGAUCUCUAUCCAAUACAUGAAUUAACCUCCGCCUUGUAAUAAAAGAGUAUGUGUUCUUGCUAAAUGCACGUGCUUUUCUAAGGGAUCAAUUAGUUAAUAAGAAUGUGUUCCUUGCUGAAUUUUUUUUUUUUCAAUAUUAAUAAUGAUUGAUAUUGAAUAAUUUUUCAUGUAUAUAUAUAUAUAUAUAUAUAUAUAUAUAUAUGCAGAAUAUAUAAUAUCCAUUAAGUAUUAUUUUAAAACAAAGAGAUAAUAAUUUUUUUUAGUGAGGGUUCCUUCGAAGUGCAACAUAUAUAUGUAUAUAUAUACACAUAGGUAUGAUUGGUAAACGUAUGGAAAAUUUUUUUGGAUAAAUCAUAAGUCGAAUCCAACAAAAUAAUUAAAGAUUUAAUAGCUUUUGAUAAUUUCAAAUUCAACAUUUAUAUUUAAUAGCAUCGAUCUUGAUAUUAAUAUAUAUAUAUAUAUAUAUAUUAAAAUAAUGAAUACGUACAUAUUAAUAUAAAAUUAUUCAAUUAAUAUCAAGAUCAGAGCCACCAAAAAUAAUCUAUUAACGGGUGUCGAAUCUAUCAAUUUAAUUUUACUUCCCUUUUCUUGAUUUAGAUGACUAGUUGAGAUAGAAGAAUAGUUUGAAACAAAAAGUAAGAAGAAAAGUUUUUUUUUUUCUAUAAAAGUGAUUUUGCGUAAGUUAAGAAAAAAAAUUUAAAAGAAAAAAUAAUAAAUAGUGCAAUUGAAAAUUGAGAAACAAGUUAUUGAUUAAAAAUUCCAGUUGAAAGUAAUCAAAUUGAGGUUUUUUGCAGUUGAUAAUUGAUUAAAAAAAAAUAUUUCAUGUUAUUAUUUAUUGUUUGGUUACAGUGGUCAAACAAGCGAAUCUCACCGAUUCUUCUUUAUGAAUAAAUUAAUCCGCUUAGCGCUUAAAUUAAUUCCUAGUUAACUAACUGUAACGGUCAUCUGCCUGCUUGCGGCAAUUCCGUCCCACAUCGACGGAAUAUGAUAAAUUGGAAUUGUAUAUAAUAGCUAGCACGAAACUACUAAUUAACUUGAUUAACUAUUUUGGGCUGAGUGGAAAGUGGGUCCAAAAGUUAUUUAGGUCAGUUCCGGCCGGGCUGCUUCAAUUAGUAUCAGAGCCACCUUGGGUCAGACAAAUUGUGCAUAGCUAGUGGGCCUGCGAGUAAAGGGCUACCCGUGAGAGACAAGAUGGAGCUGCCCGAGGUACUAGCGAACCACAAUACCCGAGGGUCCAGUCCUGAUUAGCAAUUGUAUUGGAUUCAGUUGUCCUGGUUAGCAAUUGUACUGGAUUCCGUUGCGAUGAGGACGUAGCAAAAAUUUAGCGGAAUCGAUCUGCUUGUGGCAAUUCCGUCCCACAUCGGCGGAAUAUGAUAAAUUGAAAUUGUAUAUAAUAACUAGUACGAAACUACUAAUUAGUCAACUGCAUUAAGAGAGAAGAACCCAAACUUGACCAAUAAAAACAAGCGAUUUAUUUAAAUCAAAUCUACUAAUUUCUUAAUAUAAACUAACAUGUUAACAUGUUAAUUGCUACUUGUUAUUAAUUCAAUUAAACAAUUACGGAUUUAAUUAGCAAUAUGUUGUCUUCCCAAGAUAUUCAAGUGAUGAAAAGAAUUGAAGUACAUAACCUCCCAACUUGAAUAAAACCUCAAUUUAAUUUACCCUUCAACUGAAAAUAAUUAUAUAGGCACACAAGAAUAAAAUUCUAAGAUUGGGAGAGUCUUUAUAUAGGCACACAAGGAUAAAAUUUAAUAGUUUAAAAUAAACUCUACACCCCCUAUCUUAUCUCUAUCCUAAUCCGAUUGACAACUAAUUAUAUAGGCACACAAGAAAACAAUAAUGGGAAAUUAACAAAAAAUAGAAAUAAGAUGAAAAGAAUUGAAGUACAUAACCUCCCAUCUUGCAUAAAAACCUCAAUUUAAUUUACCCUUCAACUGAAAGUAAUUGUUUAGCCUGUAAAGGUCAUAAUAAAAUUGCAACAACUAAGAACAAGAAGAAGGAAAGAAGAAAAAAAAGACAAAAAGAAGAUGGAGAAGAAGAGGGGGUCGGCGGCACCCAGAGGAGAGGAGGGGGGAAGGAGAGAAUAUGAUGUGUAGGUUUAAUUCUAAGAACCUUUAUAGGGUGAAUCUUUGCUAAGGUGGCAAAAUCUGCUGAGGUAGCGCCUUCUGAAGCUCUCCAUUGCCUUGAGUUACAAGUUGAGUCAAGGUUGUAACCUUUCUGUCCAAAAAUCUUUUAAUUCAGUCUCUUUUCGUUCUUUUUCUUAAUUUUCGAUAAAAAACCUAUCCAAAUUUAAAUUCUAAAUAAAAAUUAAAUAUUUAUAUCAAAAUUAUAGUAAAAUCAUGGAAUUAAAUGAGAAAAAAGUUGUGAGUUUUGCAACAUCAUCUAUCUAAUUCAACAAAUAUAAAUUGCGUAUAGGGUGAAUAAGAUCAAAUUCACAAGAAAUUGACACUAAAAAUCUCCAAUUAAUAAGUAGAAAAAAUGAAUAAUAGAAGUAGAAAGAGAAUUUUAAUGAAAAUUCAAUUAAAGUAAUAAAUCAAGAUAAUUUAAUAAAGAUAAUUUAAUAAGGUCGUGAAAAUAUAUAGGGAAGCUAAUAUGGUAGCGGAUUAUCUUGCGAAUAGUGCGCAUGGUGGAGUUUUUGGUAUGAGUUUUAUUGAUUUGCCUUCAUCUAGUAUUAAGCUCCUCUUGAAUGCUGACUGUAUGAAUGUUUUUCAUGAUCGUAUAAUAAACUAAAGGGCUCUAUCCCUCCUUUUCAAAAAAAAUAAUAAUAACAAUAAUUAAGAGAAAAUUAAAUUAAUACAAAUAAAUUAUAGUUGAAGAUUAUAGUCCAUUUCAGUUUUGAAAAUUGAUCAUAAAAACAAAAAAAAAUCUUUAUUUAUUCUAAUAAGUUAGUUUAGUUAUAGAAUACACUCUGUAUAAUUAUGGCACACGAGAUCGUGGACAUGCCGGUCGACGAGCAACAAAAGCAACAAGUUAUGGUUCCUCCAACAUCAUUCCAGAAACUUCAUUUGAUGAGAUGGAUCGUUUUCCCAAACCCAUUGUCUUUAGGAGAAGAUGAACAUGUUACAUUUAAUAAAAACCUUAAACCUUUCUCUUCUUAUUUUUCAUAGACCAGAGUUCUCCUUAUCAUUUUAAGCUUUUCUCUUUUUAUUAUUUUCUUUAACCGAUAACUUAUUGUUUUAUUCUCUAUAUUGAAUAUGACCAAUCUUAAAAAUAACUCUCUUUUAUUUAAUUUCAAUAUCAAAUAUUACAUGAGAUUUCUGAAAUAUUGAUAUAUUUUUUUUUAUUGGUAAUUCAAUAAAAAUUCAUUGGUGAAUAGUAUGAUCUAUUUUUAAAAGUCUCACUGAUAAAUUUGUACCCUGGAAUCUAUUCUGGAAUUCACUAGUAAUUUUUUACCCUGGAACUUUUUUUCAAGCUCACGAGAUCAGUUGGAAAAUUGUUGUCUUUCUUUGCCCCCUAUGAAUAUACAAUGGUUCCACAAAUUAGAUAUAUACACUAACUGCAUGUCAUGGUUUGCUUAGAUGAUGAAUCUAGCUCAUACUUUGAAAAAGGUUGAUUAAAUUGAAGAAUCUGGCUCAUUGCAUGAGAAGAAUUAUAAGGGUUUUGGGCUGAAGCAACUAGCAGUGGCAAGAAGUGCAUCUGACAUUUAUAUAGGCGUAUAAUAAACUAGCAAAUGCAACAGGUCAUUUCUCGCUCAAUAACCAAUUUCGUCAAAUUUCAAGGGAUUCUUAGAGGGCAAGAUUUGUGCUAUUAAUUAAAUAAAAUUUUAGGGAUUAUGUUAUAAUUUAUUGUUAAUAUGUGACAUGACAUAUAGACUAAAAAUUUUUUUUAUCAAAAUUGAUUGAGAUUAAUAGAUAAAAUUAAAAUAAAUGUGAAAAGAUUAAUUUUAUUGUAUAAAAUUUUAAAAUUAGAAUAUAAAUGUGAAAAAUCAUACAUUUUUACAUCUUUUUAUCCAAUAGAUUUUGUUAUUAGAUAAACUAGUUGACACCCACAUGUUGAGUAAAUUUUAAUUAUACAGUUAUUAAUUUUAUUGAUAAAGAAUAAAAAAUAAAGUUUUUAUGGUUAAGUGGUAUCGAAGUUGCAAUACGGAUAAAAAGAUCUCAAUUUUUCUUAUAAAAUUCCAAAUCAAAAUUUUUAGUCAAAGUAUCCCACCAAUUUAUUAAAUUGUUUAAUUACUCUUUUGCAUUUAUUUUGAAUAACAAUACAAAUAAAUUUCAUUAUUAAUUAAAUCAUCAAAAUCCAUAUUAUAUUUUUAAUUUUUAACAUUAUACUAAUUUGUAAAAAUAGGAUCUAUUCAUUAAAGAUAUGUGUAAUAUAAUUAUUUUCAUAACUAUAUAUAGAUAUUACACUAGAACAAGCAAUUUAUUGAGACACCCAUGUAUCCAAAACGUAUAAACUAAUACACUGGGCAAUCAGAGAUAUCUUUAUUGAUUACAGAAUAGGUAUUUAUACAUACAAGUGUGACUUAGUUAACAAGUAUUUAAAAUCUAUACAAACUAGGAAACCGAAAUCUAUACAAAUUAGGAAAAUAGAAUCCUAAUCCUUAUCAGUAUAGUCUCAAUCCUAAUCCUUAUCACUUAUCAGUAUAGUCUCAAUCCUAAUCCUUAUCAUAAACCAUCAAAUACAUGCCAUUUAUCAAUAAUCUUUUUUAUUAUAAGAUUUUAAAAAAAACAGUGAUAAGAGAAAAAAGAAACACAACGGUUUAAAUAUUUAAUAAAUUUAGUCAUAAAAAUUAAAUUAAAUGUAAUAUUAAAUAAAUUUAACAUGGACGAUAAAAUGAUCAAAUGAGUAAACUUAAUCGUUUUAGAACAAUCAAACAUUAUAUUGCGACUUAUAUAGUCUGUCAACCAAGUUGGUUUCCUAGUAGAAGGAGGCUGACCUCUUUCAAUAGGUUGGAUUUCCUGUGAACUUUCACUAGCAAUUUGAUAUUGCAAGUCAGAUUAUGAAAGUUGUACAUGUUUGUUAUUUUGGUUCUCUAUUUCUUCAAAGGAGACUGAUAUAGGUUGCUGUUGUGACUCAUUUUUAGCCUAAUUCCAUAUGUUUUCUUCAUAAAAAAUCACAUCACUACUGAUCACAAUCUUUUUAGUGUUUGAAUUUAACAACUUAUAAGCUUUAGAAACUUCACUUAAGCCAAGAAAGACAUGUUUUUCACCCUUAUCAUCUAACUUUUUCAUUUUCUCAUAAGAUAUAUAUGCAUAUUUGAUGCAACUGAAAAUUGAACAAUGAUCAACAACUGGUUUUCUUCCACUCCAUAUUUCCUCAGGAGUCAUAUUUUGUAUUAAAAGUAUUAGACUUCUAUUUAGUACAUGGAUAUUCCAAUUAACUGUCUCAGGCCAAAAGUUCUUCAGAACAUUGCCUUUAGCCAGCAAUCUUCUCACCAUAUUAAGGAUUGUUCUAUUUUUCCUUUCCAAUAUGUCAUUUUAUUAUGGCAAAUAGGCAGCGAGUUCUCUUCCAAUGCUUUAUUCAUCACAAAAUUGUUCAAAUUCCUUUGAAUAAUAUUUUCCACCAUGAUUGGUAAGGAAAGUUUUAACUACCUUCCUUGACUCAUUUUCAACAUGCGCUUUGAAGCUUUUAAAUGCACAAAAAGCUUCUGAUUUAGCUUGUAAAAAGUAAACCCAAGUCUUCCGAGAAAAAUCAUCAAUGGAAGUGAUUAAAUAUUUCUUACCCCAUUGAAAGUUGGAUUAAUUGGACCAUAUAUAUCGAAUGGACCAGAUCUAAAAAAUCAUUCGCUCUCCAUGAUUUUCCUUGUGGAAAUUGAGAGCAAUGUUGUUUACAAACACACACUCUUCACAAACUUGAGAUGGAAUAGUAAUUUGAGGAAGACCAUUCGCCAUAUUCUUAUGUUGGAGAGUUCUUAAUCCACCGAAAUUCAAGUGACCAUAAUAGAAAUGCCAAAAUUGAGAUGGAUUCUUCAUUUCAGCCAUCAAAUGGGUUUAGGCAAUUUGAAUUUGCAAUGGAAACAACUUGUUUGAGCUCAUUUAAAUAAUUACAAUGGCUUCUCUUGAAGGAUUAUAAAUUUCACAAGCUCCCUUUUGAAUGGUUAUCAUAUAGCCCUUCUCUUGCAAUUGACCCGCACUAAGUAAAUUAUUUUUUAAAUCAGGAACAUAAAGCACACUAGAAAUAGUCUCCAUAAAACCAUUCUUAGUUUUAAUAUCAAUAUCACUUUUUCCCAUCACAUUCACUUUAGAACUAUUACUAAAACUCACAGUUGAAUGAAAAGUUUUAUCUAAGUGGGAAAAGAGAGACUUUACUACCACACAUAUGAUUGCUACAUUCUGUAUCAAUGUAUCAAACUGCAGAGUUAAUUGUCUCAUUGGUUUAAACAGUCAUUAAGAGAGUUUCAGCUUCAUGAUUUUUCUAUAAAGUUUGACUUCUCCCUAUUUUGACAUUUUGGUACGACAUUCCAAAUGAAAUUGACCAAAUUUAUAGCAUAUGUAGCAUUCAAUUUUAGAUUUGUCAAAGUGCUAAAACUAUCAUUUCCUUUUGUGUGAUUGAUCAUCGUCAGAUUUGAAAUUUGGUGCCAAAGAUCGUAGGAUUUUCUUCACAAUGGUGACAUUUUCCAUCUCCUCACCAUGAAAUCACAUUUUAUUGCUCAAUAAAAUAGGAAGUUAAUUAAUUACUGGUACCAAAAAUUUGUAAAGAAAUUAAAAUUGAGUGUAGAAUAAUUUGGGUAAGUAAACACCACAAGCAUAAUUUACAGAUGAGUUGGUAUGAUUAAUAAUGAUUACCAAAUUUUGAUACAACGGAUGACUAUUGUCUUGAUCUAAUAGUAAAAACAAAGGUGUUUAAAAAAUUAUGGUUCAAUCUCACCGUCACUUUUUUUUUUUUUUUUUUUUGCAUUUUUUGGUCAAAGUGCUAACUAACAUUUUUUUUUUGCCAAAGUGAUUACUAUUCUUGUAAUUCAACCUCAUGCUAAACCUACCCUAAAGAAAAUCCAAGUCUGAACGCUAAAGUUACCCACAUCUUUCUUCCAUCCUAUAAUAUAAUUUUAUUAUAAUUGAAAGCAAAAUUCUAUAAAGAAAAAUAAUUAGAAAAGUUUUCAUAAAUUAAAACCGAUUUUUACAAACAAAUUUUUAAAAACAAAAUCUCAUCUCUUUAAAAAGUUGACCAAUUUCCAUAAAAAUUAAUUAAAAAUAAAAUUUUAACUAUUUAAGUUCUCUAUUCUAUAUAUAUAUAUAUAUAGAAAGUAAAAUAUAAUUAAAUUUAUUAUUAUAAAAUUAAUAAUUUUUAGUAACAGAAAUUAAUAAUUUUAUUGUUAAUAAUGUUAUACAUUUAAUUAAUUUAUUAUAUGAUAUUAUAGUUUACUAUUUCAAGUUUAAUUCUAUUAUUUUACUAACAAUAUUAUAUGACAAAUAAAAUUUUGAUGUUUUAAUAGUCUGAAUAUUUAAAAUUAUUUAUGUACCUUUUUUUUCACAUAUAUUAAAAAAUAUAAUUUUUUUAGUUAAUUUUUUAAUUAUAUUCCUCUUAAAUAUAUUAAAUUUUAUUAAAUAUUAAAAAAUAUUUAAAAAUAUUUUAAAAAUAAAAUAAAAUUAAAUACGAUUAUAAUAAUUAAUUUAUAUAUUAUUAUAAUUUAGAAAAAUAAAUAAUAAUUUUAAAACAAUAAAAAAAUAGAUAAAAAUUUAUGGAGCAGAAAAUAGUAUUUUAUUGUAAUAUUUUAAAAGCCUUGGGUCUAGGUCUUAUUUUAUUUUAUUUUAUGGGUCUUGGUCUAUAUAUUAUAAAACGUUAAUUCUAGAAGGCUUAAUAAUCAAUAAUUCAACAUGCUUUUAUCUUAUUGGAUAGAUGUUAUUAAUUAAUUAGAUGGUCAUCACCUAAUUAUCUCAGCUCCACAAUACGGCUUCAACCUCAAUAUCUUUCACACUUGUAAGCUCUACAAAUAUAUUAAUAUUAAUAUUUUUUUAUAAUGUUUAUAUAUUAAUAUUUAAUAGAUUUUAUUAUUAAUAUUUCAAUAAAAAAUUAUUGGUAUUACAUAAUUUCUGAUCAUAAAAUUAAUAUUAUGUUGCAAUUAAAUUUAUAAAAAUAAUUUAAUUAUAUUAUAUAUAUUUAUCUAAUAAUAAAUAUUUUUUAUUAUUUUAAUAGAUUAAUAUAGUAUAAUAAUUUUAUACACUUUUAAUCACAUUAUAAAAUUAUGAAAUAAAGUAUAAGAAAUAAUUAUUAUUAUAUUUUAUAAAAAUAUUUUUAAUAUAUAAAAGUACUAUAAAAAUUAAUAACAAAGAAACUACAUACCAAAAUAUUUAAAAUUAUAAUAUUAUUCUUUUAUUAAACAUAUAUAAGAUUAUUUUAUUAAAUUAAUUACUUAAUUUAUUUGUUUUUUUAUAAAUUAUUAAUAAUUCAAUAAUCGAUAUAAUAUUUAGAAUUAUUAUAUUAUUUUACUAUUAAAUAUUAUAUGAGAAUAUUUAAUUAUUUAUAAUUUAUUAAAUACAAAUUAAUUAAUUAAUUAAUCUAAUAGCAUAAUAAAUUAAUUAAAUCUAUUAUUUUUGAUAAAUUAUAAAUAAUUAGUGAUUGUAACGGUCAGCGCUUGUGGAUUUGCGGCUUUCAUCCCACGUCGGGGAGAUGAUAGAAAAUUGGAAUUGUAUAUAAUAGCUAGCACGAAACAACUAAAUAACUUGAGUUAACCAUUUUGGGUCAAAUGAAAAGUGGAUCUAAAAGUUAUUUGGGCCAGUUUGGACCAGACUGUUUCAAUUGGUAUCAGAACCACCUUGGGUUAGACAAAUUAUGCGAAACUAGUGGGCCUGCGAGGAAAGGGCUAUCCGUGAGAGACGAGGUGGAGCCGCCCGAGAUACUAGCGAACCACAAUACCCAAAGAUUCGGUCCUGGUUAGCAAUUGUAAUCGAUUCAGUUGCGGCGAGAACAUCGUAAAUUUAGCUGGACCGAGGUAACAGUCAGCUGCAUGCUUGUGGAUUUGCGGCUUCCGUCCCACAUCGGGAGAUGAUAGAAAAUUGAAAUUGUAUAUAAUAGCUAGCACGAAACUACUAAAUAACUUGGGUUAACCGUUUUGAAUCAAGUGGAAAGUGGGUCCAAAAGUUAUUUGGGCCAGUUUGGACCGGGCUGUUUCAAUUAGUAUCAGAGCCACCCUGGGUCAGACAAAUUGUGCGGAGCUAGUGGGUCUGCGAGGAAAGGGCUACCCGUGAGAGAUGAGGUGGAGCCGCCCGAGGUACUAGUGAACCACAAUACUCAAGAGUUCGGUCCUGAUUAGCAAUUGCAAUCGAUUCAGUUGCGACGAGGACAUCACAAAUUUAACUAUUUUGAGUAAGUGAAAAGUGGAUCUAAAAGUAAUUUAGAUCAGUUUGGAUCGGGCUGUUUCAGAUUCCGUAUAGUAUCUAAUCAUAAUUUUAUUUUAUAAUUCUAAAUAUUAAUAUAUUUUAUAUAUUAAUAUUUAAUAUAUUUUAUUAUUAAUAUUUAAAUUAAAAAUAUUAUUAAUCUUAUAUAAUUUCACUAUCAUAAAAUUAAUAUUAUACCACAAUCCAAUAAAAAAAUAAAUUUAAUUUUUAUAAUUUUAAAUAUUUAUAUUAAUUUAUUUAUUUAUUUUAUAUUUUUCUUUAAUUAAUUAUUUAAUUUAGUGUUUUAUACAUACAUUUAAUACAAUAAUAUUAUAAUUUUAAAUAUUUUUUGUGUGCAGUUUUUUUUAUUAAUUUUUAUAAUAUUUUUAUAUAUUAAAAUAAUAAAAUAUAAAAAAUAUAAUAAUUAUAUAUUAAUAAAUUUAUAAUUAAAUAAAUUUAUAAUUAAUUAGUAUUAUUUAAUUAUAAUAAUAUAUUAAAAUUAAUAAAAUAUAUUAUAAAAAAAUUAUUGUAAUAAAAAAUAUAAUAUAAAUAAAAUUAUUAAAUUAAUAUAAUAUAAAAAUAAUAUAUUAAUUAAUUAAUAUAAUUAUAAUACUUUAAUAAUUAAAAAAAUAUAAAAAAAUUAAAUCAUGGGAGCUAGGCCAUGAUUACUAAUAGUUAGUACCAAAUUAUUAAUAACUUAAAUUAAUUUUAUAAAUAAUAUAUUAUUCUAUUUCAAAUUAAUAUGGAAUUGAAUAAAAUUGUAUUUAGUUAAAAUGUUAAUUAUAAUUAGAAAUUUAAUUUGUUUGAAAAUAACUUUUGCAUUAAAAUAUGAAUUCAUUGGAUUAAUCCUAACCGAUAAUCAUUUUUAUCAUAUAAAUUGUUGGGUUGACAAUUAAUAUCACCAGCCAGUUUCAAUUAAAACAUAUUACUAAUCCCAUUUAGGAAGUACAAAGAUCGUUCCAGAAUUAAAAUUAUAUUAAUUAUUAACUAAAAUCAAUCUUUAAAAAUUGAAUUUCAAGUUCACUCUCAAAUUUAGUUUAAUGGUAAGUGUAUCUGAAUACAUCUGAGAGAUUUCAGAUUUUAUUCUCUCAAUUUCCAAUCCCAUUUAAAAAAAAAAUUAAAUUUCAAAUAAAAUGAAACUUUUUUUACGUAAAAUAAAGAAAAAUUACUAAAUUUUAGGGCUGUAAUCGAACCGAGCUGAGCCGAAUUUUGAUACGUUCAGUCUCGAUUAGAAAAUAAAUUUAAAAGCUCGAGUUUGACCUUGAGCUCGACUCGAACUCUAUUUAUAAACUCGAGCUCAAUUCAUAAAAUAAAUAUUAAACUCGAGCUCGGUUCGAACUCGAUUCGUAAUAAACUCGUUUGUCACAUUAACGAGCCAACUCAAACUCUAUUCAAAAAACUCGAAUUUGAACUCAUUUAGACUCGAAUUUGAGAUCGAUUAUAUUAUAAAUAAGCUUAAUAUAAUUUAAAUUUAUUUAAAUUAUAAAUAAAUUUAAAUUAUAAGGUUAUUAAGAGACUUCUAAAUUAAAUUUUUUUAGCUAAUUGAAAUCUCUCUAAUUGAAAACUAAUGAAAAAGAAUGUCGAAUGGUUGUCUUUUUAUAGAGAAGUCACGAUUCUCCAUAUCCUUUCAACUUUCGAUGUGGGAAUAGUGUUAGCAAACAAGUUUGUUCGCGAGGCUGCUCACGAGCUUGUUCACGAGGCUGCUCACGAGCUUGUUCACGAGCCUAUUCACGAAUCAGCUCGCGAGUCUAAAUAAGCCGAAUACUGUUAAGUUCAAGUUCGACUCGUUUAUUAAACGAGUCUAAAAAGUGAGUUCGAGCUCGGUUCGUUUAGAAAACAAGUCGAGCCCGAUCGAGUUUUUAUCGAGACGAGUCUCGAAUAGUUCACGAACAGUUUGGUUCGUUUACAUCUCUACUAAAUUUAGAAAAAAAUUAAAAUUAACUAAAAUUUGAUACUAAAGGGAUUUUAUAAUGUAAUUUUGACUAUUAUAAUCGUUACAUAUAUAUUUAUAUUCCUGCAUUAUAUAUUUAAAAUAAAUUCAUUGAACACUUAAGUUAAGACUGUAACUCAUUGCAUAUCUAAUUUAUAAAAAUUCUACCAAUUAAAUAUUAAAUAAUUAUAUUCAAAUUUUUUUAUAUAAAAAAUUCCAUCGAAUUAUACUGUAGAUCUUGUUGGCCAUAUUUUAAAUUUUUUAAAUGAAAAGAUUGCCCUCUAUAAAGGAGAGUAAUUUUAUUAUUUUAUAAAAAUUUAAAGUAAUAUCGAUAAAUCUAGAAUAUAAUUAAACAAUAAUAAAUGAAAUUAAUUUUUACUUUUUAUUUAUAAGCUAUAGAUAAAAUGAGUAAUUUACAUUUAAUUGCCAUGAUUCAUGUACGAUUAAAUAUUCAAAUAUGUUUUGAUUAUAGUUUCAGUAUUAAGCCUUUAUUUAUUUAUAAAAUAUAAUAUAUAUUUGAAAAAUAUUUUUCUAUGUUUUGAUUAUAGUUUCAUGUAUUAAGCCUUUAUUUAUUUAUAAAAUAUAAUAUAUAUUUGAAAAAUAUUUUUCAUGUGAAAUAAUAUUAUAUUAUGUAAAAUGAGAGUAAUUUUUUAUUUUAUGAAAAUUUAAAGUAAUAUUAAUAAAUCUAGACAUAAACAAUAAUAAAUGAAAUUAAUUUUAUUUUUUUUACACUCUAAUGUAGAAGUGAGUAGUUUUCGGUUCAAAUUGAAAAAAUUGAUCGAAUUAAAUUAAUUCAAAAAUUUAGUGUAGUUUUUUUAUUUUUUUCGAUUUUGUACGAUUUUUAUUUUUAAAAUUUUUUAUUAUUUCAAUUCAAUUUGAUUUUGAUAAAAAAAAAUUAAUAAAAUUAAACUAAACCGAUUAGUGAUAAUAGUAUAUUAAUUUUUUCUAAUAUAGAAAUAUUUUAAUUAAAUUUUAAAAUAUUAAAAAUAAAGUAUUAAAAAUAAAAAAUCUCAUUAAAAGGUCUAAUCAAUUAAGCUAAAUCAAAUCAAAUCGAAUUAUAUCAGUUUAUAUUUAAAUGGUUUCUAUUUAAAAUCGAUUCGAUUUAAUUUUUAUAAAUUCUAAAUUUUUAAUUUUUAACUUUUUCAAUUCGAUUUGAUUUUAAACCGAACUGACGAAAUGUUACCUUACAUGCUAUUGAUAAUAUGAGUAAUUUAAAUUUAAUUUUCAUGAUUCAUAUACAGUUUAAGUAUUAAGUCUAGGGAGCUUUUUGGCCAAGUUUCCCUCUGUGGUACCUCUGUGGAUCGAUGCUCUCGCCUUUUCCUCUUCUUAAAUCUAACUUCUUCUUUUUCUUUCCCCAUUGAAGAUGAUCUGCGUCAAUUGACUAUCGAAGCGGCUCAUCCCGUCAAAGGUCAGGAUAGCCCAAAGCAAUGAUCGUCCUGUGUUGGAACUGCCGAGGACUCGACAAUCCUCGGACAGUAAAUACAUUAAAGGAUUUGGUUACUAGUUACAAGCUGGACAUUUUAUUUUUGAUGGAAACAAAAGUUCUUAGUUCUCGUAUGGAAUUUUUUUGUAGUUUUUUACAUUUUGAUAGUUGCUUCUCAGUUAAUAGACAAGGAUUAGGAGGAGGCCUUUCGUUAAUGUGGAAGAGUCAUGUGUCUGUUUCUGUGAUUGGCUUUUCUUCCAAUUUUAUUGAUUCGAUUGUUUCGCAAGGUAAUAUCCAAUGGAGGUUUACUGGUUAUUAUGGAUUUUCGAAAUCACAACGAUGACGUCAUUCUUGGAACCUUAUUCGAGCUUUAUCUCGUAGAAACUCUCUUCCGUGGCUUUGUUCGGAAGACUUUAAUAAUUUAUGCUCGAGAGAUGAGAAAGAAGGAGCAACUUUACCAAAUUAUCUUAUGCAGGGGUUUAGACAGAUACUUGAGGACAGUAAUCUUAUUCAAAUACCUACUGUUGGCUCUUUCUUCACAUGGGAGAAGCUUGAUAGAGCCCUUGCUACUGAGGACUGGACUCGUAAAUUCACUAAUGUUGUCUGCUCGGUUGUUCAUGUUCCUAGAUCGGAUCACAAACCGUUGGUGAUUAAUACAGCUCAUAAGGAUAAUAGGGGAGAUAGAAGGAGAUUUCGAUUUGAUAAUGCAUGGUUAUGUGAUGAGAGUCUGGCUAAGGUUGUUAAAGGAGUUUGGGUUAAUUCUAUACCACACAACCUUUUGAUGAAACGUGAUGAUUUAGUUUUAGCUCUUUCGUUGUAGAGUAGGAGUAGAAAUAGAGAGUUUUGGCAAAAGAAGAAGACUAUACAGAGAUUAUUGGAUAAUGGGCCCAGUACUGUUUCUCACGCCUCUUUAAAGAAAGAUUGGAAUUGUCUCCUUGAGCAGGAAGAAACUAGACUUAAAUAGCAGACAAAGUGCUUUUGGCUUAAAAAUGGGAACCGAAAUACAAAAUUUUUUCAUGCACAAAUUAAUGAUAGACAGAAUGAACCUUAUUACUAAAUUAAAGGAGUCGUCGGGUACCUGGAUUGAGGAUGAGCAGGAAAUUAAAAAUCAUAUUCUGCAUUAUUUAAAGUCUAUUUUUUAUGGCAGUUCUGUGGAUUGUGAACGGGUUUUUGAGUUGGUGCCGCCAUUGAUUAGUGAUACCGAUAAUACUGAUCUUUGUGCUCCCUUUUCGAAUGAGAAAUUUAGAGCUGCUCUUUUUCAGAUGCAUUCAGAUAAGGCAUCUGGGCCGGAUGGGUUAAAUCCUACAUUUUACUAGAGAUUUUGGCACUUGAUUGGCAAUGAUGUUUUCGAUGGUUGUCGCCUUGGCUUCAACAAGGUACUUUUCCUUCUUCUCUUACUGAAACAUUGAUUGUUUUGAUCCCUAAAGUAGAUAGCCCUGAAACUAUUAAAGACUUUUGUCCAAUUGCGUUAUGGAAUGUGUUAUAUAAGAUUGUGGCUAAAGCUUUGGCGAACAAAUUUAAAAGGGUCCUUCCUAUGAUUAUCUCUGAGAAUCAGUCUGCCUUUAUCCCUCAUCGAUUGAUUACCGAUAAUGUUAUGGUUGCGUUUGAAAUGAUGCACAAUAUGAAAACUAAUAAGGGCAGAAAUGAUGGUAAUUGUGCACUUAAAAUUGAUAUUUCUAAGACUUAUGAUAUGAUAGAGUGGGAGUUUCUAAAAAGCAUGGUGGAACGAUUUGGUUUUUCUACUCAAUGGAUUAGGUGGUUGAUUAUGUGCUUUUCGGAAGUCUCUUACAAUAUCAAUUUUAAUGGUGAUUGGAUUGGUCCUAUUGUGCCUGGUAGAGGUAUUCGACAGGGGGAUCCUAUAUCUCCGUAUCUCUAUUUGGUGUGUGCGGAAGGCUUAUUGUUACUACUUAAAGAUGCUGAAUCUAGGAGCUAGUUGCAGGGCUGUAGGGCAGGUACUAGGGGUGAGCAGUAUUCGGUUCAAAUCGAAAAAAUCGAUCGAACCGAAUUAAUUUAAAAAUUCAGUUCGGUUUUUUAUUCAAUUUGGUUCAGUUCGAUUUUUAAUUUCAGAAAUUUCAGUUAUUUCGGUUCGGUUCGAUUUUGAUCAGAAAAAAAUCGAAAAAACCGAACCGAACAGAUUAGUGAUAAUAAUAUGUUGUUUUCAAUAAUAUAGUGAAAUUAAAUCAUAUUAAAAUUAAAAUAUUUUAAUUAAAUUUUAAAAUACUAAAAAUAAAGUGUAAAAAAUAAAAAAUUUAUUAAAAAUCGAAACCGAUCAAACCGAACUGAAUUGAACUGAAUCAGACCGGUUCGGUUCGAUUCAGUUUCUAACCAAAAUCGAUUCGGUUCAAUUUUCAUAAAUACUAAAAUUUUGGUUUUCGGUUUAUUCGGUUCGGUUUUGAACCGAACCGACCGAAUGCUCACCCUUAGCAGGUACUAGAUGCCCAAAGAUCUCACAUUUAUUUUUUACAGAUGAUUCUCUGCUAUUUUUUAAUGCUAGACUGGAGGAAGUAGAUAGUAUUAAAUCUAUUCUCAAUACCUAUGUGGCUGCUUCUGGACAAGUGAACUUCAACAAAUCUGACAUUUUCUUUAGUCCCAAUGUGGUCUCCUCUGUAAGGUCUAAUAUUAGUAAUAUCCUGGAUGUUCAUUCACCAUUGAGUCAUAGUGCCUAUCUGGGAUUACCUUCUCUUAUUAGGAGGAACAAAAAAGCAAUUUUUAGUUUUCUAAAAGAAAGAAUGUAGAAGAGGAUUAAUUCAUGGAGCAGCAGAUUUCUAUCUAGAGCAUGCAAGGAGAUUCUCAUAAAAUCUGUGUUGCAGGCUAUACCUGCAUAUUGCAUGAAUAUUUUUUGGAUUUCCAUUACUAUUUUGAAGGAAUUGCAUAGAAUGGUCAAUGACUUUUGGUGGGGGGUAAAAGAGAAGGGCGGAGGGGUAUUAAUUGGCUAGCGUGGGAGAAGAUGUGUAGUAGAAAGAAGGAGGGGAGUAUGGGGUUUCGGGACUUUAGAAGUUUUAAUUUGUCUUUACUUGGCAAACAAGUGUGGAAGUUCUUAACAAAUCCUAAUACUCUUUGUUGUAGAGUGUUUAAAGCAAAGUAUUUCCCAAAUGGUAAUUUAUUUUCCGCCAAUGUAAGUAAUGGUGCUAGCUUUGUUUGGAAAAGUGUGAUGACAUCAAGGAAGUUGAUUCGAAGGGGUACAAGGUGGAGUGUGGGUAAUUGAGAGAAGAUUUUAGUGGCUUCAGCUCCCUGGGUUCCUAAGAAGGAUAUCUUUUUUGCUGAUGAUGGCUCCGAUUUUAUUGAACCACAUUUGCGUGUUUGUGAUCUUUUUUAAGGUAAUGAGAGGGUUUGGAACAUUGCUCUUUUAAUAGAGCUUUUUUGUUCAAGAGAUAUCAGGGCUAUUAUUAGUAUUCCUAUUAGUAUUACCAAUAAGGAAGAUUCCUUCUUGUGACAUUUUGAUAAAAGAGGUAUGUAUACGGUAAAGUCUGCAUACUUUGUAUGUAUGGACUUGCUAGGAAGAUCAUCUUUUAAUGUGGGGGGUGAGUUGUAGACUAGUUUGUGGAAUGUUUCUGUCUCUCGAAAAGUGAAAGAUUUCUGUUGGAGAGCUUGUAGAAAUAUAUUGCCUACAAAGGAUAACUUAAGGCAAAAGGGUGUGGAUGUAGAUGCUAGAUGUCCUUCGUGUCAUGAAAAUGAAAGUGUCAAUCAUAUUUUGUUGCAUUGUCCUUUGUCCAAGAAAGUUUGGAGGUUAAGGGGAGUGGAAAAUUUGCAGUCUAAUGAUAAUUUUUUUAAUUUUUUACUGCAGAUCUUGAAAUCUCAAGAUAAGGUUCAAAAAACCUUUGUAAUGGUCUGUGCAUGGAGAUUAUGGUCAGCAAGGAACUCAUUAUUAUGGAACCAGGUGCAAAAUUCAGCAGCUCACCUUGUGGAAGACGUCAUGCAUCAUAUCUCGGAUUAGGAAGUUGCUCAACGUGCUGGUGCUUUACAUGGAAAUACCAUUGCUGCUUUAUAUCGGGGCAGAAACUUGUUUUAUUCUUCCAACCCUGCUCGUGAUCCUAAAGCCAUUCCUCUCUAAAUUCGUGCGUCAUCUCCAAGUUUGGACAAUUUCAGUUGGUUUUGUCAAGUUGAUGGGGUUUUGUUUCAAGUUUAAGAUUUUAUUAGCUACGGUUUUGUUGUGGAAAACUCUGAGGGUAUAUUUCAACGUGGUGUUUCUGGUUUUUCGAAAGGUAAUGGUAUGCCGGUAAUUGUUGAAGUUUUAGCUCUCCAUCAUUGUUUGCUCUUUGCGAUGAAAUUUUUGUCUUUUAAUGGCUGCAUUCUUAUAGACUGUUUGUAGGUGAUUUAAACUCUUCAGUCUCUACAUUUAGACAUUUCUGAAUUGAGUUUGAUUUUGAAUGAUUAUAAAUCUUUGUUAGACUUUAGAACUGAUAUUACUGUUAGAUGGGUUCGUCGUUAUGCCACUCUAACUGCUCAUACUUUGACUAGAGAAUCUAUUAGGUAUGAUCGUCUUUCUUUUGGAAUGAUAUCCCUCUUUGUUUGAUAAAAUUUUAUUAAUAUAAUCGGUAGUUUUUUUUAACAAAAAAAUAUUAAGCCUAGGGCUUUAUUUGUUAGUAAGAAAUAAUACAUAUUUAAAAAAUAUUUUAAUUUAACAUAUUUUAAAAAAAAUAUUUUUCAUAAAAAUAUAUUUAAUAAAAUAAUUUAUUUUUUAUUAUUUAAUUUGUAAUUUUAAAAAUAAAAGAUAAUAAUACAUUUAUGUACAGUAGUAUUAAUAUAAUUCUGAAAAAAAAAUUUUAUUUUUUUAAAAGAAAAUAUCAUUUUCUUUAAAAAUUAUAAAAUUUUUCAUUUGAAAAAAUAAAUUUCCCUUGAUUAAUUUUUCUAAAUAUUUCAAGUUUUAUAAAAUAUAGAAAAUAUUUUUUUAAAAAAAUAUUUUGCAUGAAAUAAAGUUUUAAUCCACUAAUUUUAAAUAAUAUAAAAAUAUAAAUAUAUAUUUAAAGUUAUUUUAGAUCUUAGAUAAAAUCAGUUAUUCCAACUCCAACCUUUGGUGGUGGCACUAAUCAAGUAUAUAAGAAAAAUAGUUUUAAAGGGCUGCUUUUAUUAUAAUCGAGUAAAAUUAUAUAGUUAAAUAUUUAACAGGUGAUAUUGGUCAAUUUUAUAUGAAUUUAUUAUAUUAAUAAUGAAAUUAUAUUUAUUAUGUAUGUAAAAGAGUUGUAUUAAAUAAUUAUUUUAAUAUGUAUGAUUAAAAAUAAAAUGAUCAUAAAAUUAAAAAUUUAUUUUGUAUUCUCACUUUUCAAUUUUUAAAGAAUUUUAAUAAAUUUAAAGUCCAUAUUGUUCAUUGAUAGAGUCUUAGCAUAAGUGUAUCCAUUCAUACGUCUAGGUGGAAAUCACGUUAACCUUAUGCUCUAAUUAGGGGUGUAAACGAAUCGAGCUGAGCCGAGUUUUGAAGAGCUCAAGCUUGGUUCGUUAAAAUUUUUUCGAGCUCGAGCCGAAUUCAAGCUUUACUCAUUUCGAACUCGAGCCGAGUAUUAAGAAGUUCAAGCUUGGCUCGUUUAGCAAACGAGCUUAGACGAGUCGAGUUUUUAUCGAGCUGAGUCGAGCUUUUAUCGAGUUUAGUCUCGAAUAGUUCACGAGUAGUUUAAUUUAUUUACAUGUAUAAUGAGUUUUAGUUUAAAACUAAUAAUUUUAAAACUAAAAUAAUUUUAAUUAAAUAAGUAUAUCUACAAAUUAGCACGUAAGCUUAUAAAGAUGAGUUUUUAAAUCUUAAUGAUCCAAAUAUAUGCAAGUUUAAAAGUGUAAUUAAAGUAUAUAGAGUUUAAUUUUAGAAAAUUUAGAUUUAGCUCAUGAAAGUAUAUGCAGGGUUUGAGUUUAUUUCUCUUAUGAUAGCAAUUUCAGUUUGCUUAAUGAGACUGUUCACGAGUCUAUUCGCGAGCUUGCUCAUGAACUCAGGAACGAGCCGAGUUCACGAGUUUUAACGAGCCGAAUACUAUGGAGCUCAAGUUUUGCUCGUUUACCAAACGAGCCUGAAAAUUAAGCUCGAGCUUGGCUCGUUUAGAAAUCAAGUCGAGCUCGGUCGAACUUUUAUCGAAUCGAACCUCGAAUAGCUCACGAACGAUUUGGUUCAUUUACAACCCUAGUCCUAAUAAACAAUAAACAACUUGUUAUCUUUAUAAGACUUUUAUAUUUUUAUUUUUAUAUAUUUCAUAAUUUUAUAUUGCCCACUACACGAAAUUGAUUGGUAGUUAAAAUCUCUCUCUCAAACAUUUGGAUUGGACCUCAGAUAUAAAUUAUUAAUGGCACCCAUGUGCCCAUUAAAAAAUAAAUUAGGUACAGAUAAACCUGAUUAGCUUUACUGUAAGUUUCAUUAAUUUAAUACUUCAAUAUCUAUUUCUUUAUUUAUUAUUAUUUUUAAAAACCUCAUUGAUGAGAUGAAUAGGACCUUCAAAAUUUAAAAAGCAUUGUUGAUAUUUGUCAGCCGGCUUAGAUUAUUAUUUUUAUAAACAAAUUUUAACAAAUAAAAAAAAACUCUUACUNNNNNNNNNNNNNNNNNNNNNNNNNNNNNNNNNNNNNNNNNNNNNNNNNNNNNNNNNNNNNNNNNNNNNNNNNNNNNNNNNNNNNNNNNNNNNNNNNNNNNNNNNNNNNNNNNNNNNNNNNNNNNNNNNNNNNNNNNNNNNNNNNNNNNNNNNNNNNNNNNNNNNNNNNNNNNNNNNNNNNNNNNNNNNNNNNNNNNNNNNNNNNNNNNNNNNNNNNNNNNNNNNNNNNNNNNNNNNNNNNNNNNNNNNNNNNNNNNNNNNNNNNNNNNNNNNNNNNNNNNNNNNNNNNNNNNNNNNNNNNNNNNNNNNNNNNNNNNNNNNNNNNNNNNNNNNNNNNNNNNNNNNNNNNNNNNNNNNNNNNNNNNNNNNNNNNNNNNNNNCAUGUGAUUUUUUUUUUCUGAACUAAUAAAAGACCACACUGAAAAGAUUUUUUUUUUUUUUUAAAAAAAACAACUCCUCGUUGAAACUUAGAAUAAAGAGAAACUCAUUAAUAAAUUUAUAAUAUGCAUUACACAAAAUGACAUUAACUGGAGGCCAAAAUGACAUUAACUGGAGGCCACAUGCUGCGAAUUCUACGCUCAACGUUAUUUUUUUUAUAAGAAAAAAAACAAAAAAAGGAAAACGACGGUCCUAACGCUAAAGUUACCUACUGUCUUCCUUCAUCCUUCCUAUAUCUAACUCUCUAUCUCUGACCAUUCACAUUCACACCCUAUAGAAACUCUAUUAUAUAUAUACUCGCAACAAACUUAUGGUCGUGGUUGCAUAAGUCUGCAACUUCAUCGCCUCUCGCUUGGGGAUGAAUGGGGCAGAUCGCCGGAUGGAAACUAGAGGUAUUAAUUGUUUUCAGCUGAAACUGUUGUACCAAAUAGUAAUAGUUUCAUGGAGAUUUCAUUUCAUCUAACUAAUUGAGGCAUGUUGUUAUUGAUUGUCACUAAGCACAGAUCAGAAUGAAUCUGGCUCAUCUCCUGAGAAGACUAUUGGGCCAAAGUCAUAUUCAUACGGUGAACUAGCAAGUGUAACUGGUCAUUUCUCGCUCAAUAAUCUAAUUGGUCGAGGUGGUUUUGGUCAUGUUUUCAAGGCAUUAUUAGAUGGUGAGAUUCGUGCUAUCAAGAGACUUGAUUUUCCAGAUGUACAGUCUGAAGGAGGUUUGGAGAGGGAGAUUAUGGUUGUCAAAAGCGUCAGUCACAAAAACCUUGUUGAACUAGUUGGUUACUGCAUUGAUGGAGCCAAUAGAUUGCUUAUUUUAAAGUAUUUUCCAAAUGGGUCCUUGAGAUCUAAAUUACACGGUGAGUCCCAUAUCCUUUCUUUUACUUUUAUGUUCAUAUAUCCAAUCAAUAUGACAUGAAUAAUCUUGCAAAUUAUAAAUGGUAUUGUAGGAAGUGGGGAUGUUUUGGACUGGAAAACAAGAAUGAAGAUCGCCACAGGUUCUGCAAAAGGAUUGGAAUAUUUACAUGAACACUGUGAGUAUAUACUACUACAUAUUUUUACUUGGCAGGAUUUUAACCUUUGAGUGUGAAUUUAUUUAUUUAUUUUUGUUUAUAUUGAUAAUUUCUUUUCUCUCAAACAUUUAUAUUUUAUAUUCUUUUCAGGUAAACCUAAAAUUAUUCAUUUAGAUAUCAAGCCGGAUAAUAUUCUUCUUGACGAAGAUUUUGAACCCAAAGUAAGAUAAUUUUAUAAUAAAUAAUCAUUUUAUUUAUAUCAUGGCAUAUGUAUAGUAGAACUUUCAUCUGAAAUUUUAUUUUUGAAUAAUAUUAAAAUAUUAUGUUAACUCUUUAAUGACAUAAUUUAAUUUUUGUAAUUAAUUAAUAAAUUUGGGUUCUAAUUCUUUUUUGGUUUGGCCAUAUAUUUUUGGUUUUUUUAAUAAAAUUUAUUGCUUAUAAAAAAAAAUUAAUAAAUCAACCUUAGUAGGUUUCUUGUCUUUUUUUUUUUUCAUGAUUUAAUAUUUUCUUAAUAAACUUGAUUGAAGUACGGAAAAUUGUGUAAUUUACCAAAUAACUUUAAUUUUAAAUUAAGAUAUAUAUAUAUAUAUAUAUAUAUAUAUAUAUAUAUGGCAUAAUAAAUUUAUUAAUCAACUUAAAUAAUUUGUUUAGAUAACAGAUUUUGGACUUGCUCAAUUUUUUACCGACGGUGCUACUCACAUAUCCAAAUCAUCAGUUAUGGGAACCCAUGUGUAAGAUAUAAUUUUCUUUCUAUCAUUUAAUUGCAUUGCUAUUAUUUUCUAUUUUUUCAAUGCCAUUAUUAUCUCCUCUUAAAAUAGUUUAAAAUAAAAUAAAUAUUAAAAUAGAUAAAAUAACACAUAAAAAAAUAUAAGUACUCCUUAAUUUGAUAGUAUUAGUAAUCUUAACAAAUUUUAUUACAGUUAUUAAUAAUCUUAACAAAUUUUAUUGCAGUUACGAAGAUCCAUUUACAACAAAAUUGGGAAAGUAUUCUGAUAAAUCUGAUAUUUAUUCUUUUGGAGUUACACUUUUAGAAUUGAUUACUGGAAGAAAACCUAUAGACAAUGGCACUGAUAUUGUUACUUGGGUAUGACUCUGUUUGCUUUAAUAAAACUAUGAUAUAAAAAUUCUAUUUACCAUUUAUAAAGUUUUGAAUUUAGAUCUCAAUUGGAGUUAUUUAGAUUUAAAUUCAAUGCAUUCAUGAUUCAUUAAUAAAUAAUUUUUUAAUCAAUAUCUUGUAGGCAAAUCCUCUAAUUAAAAAGGCUUUGAAGAGAAGGUAUACAAAUUUUAUAGAUUCCAAUUUACAAUCCUUUGACUAUGAACAAAUGUAUCAAAUGGUUUCUUGUGUUGAUUCUUGUCUAAAUCAACCUCCAAGCUCUCGUCCAACAAUGGAAAAGGUAAAAUUUUUCACAUAACUAAUCUCAAAACUAUAUAUAUAUUAUCUCAAAACUUGUAAUCAUUUUAUUAUUAUGUUAUGCAGAUACGUCUAGUUCUUGAAGGAAAAUCACUCUCGAAAGAAUUAUACGAUCAUAAAUUGCGAAGGAGUAUUAUACAUACAGGUUUAUAUUCUUUUAUGCUAAUUUAUUAAAAAUUAUAUGCAUAUUUGAUCUAAUUGAUGCCUAAAUUUUCAUUUAAUGUGUCAUAUCUUAAUAUUUGAACAAUGUUGAUUUUCAACUACAAAAAUAUUAGUUUUUUAAUUUGAAAUUUAGAAUAAAAUAGUUUUUAACCAAAAUUGAUAACUUAUUAAUUAAAUAUAAUUUUUUAUUUUAUAAUUAUUCAAAAAACUGUGAAAAGAAUGAAAAAUUACUUUGAAGUUUUUUUUUUUUUUGGAAAUAGGAAUUAGGGGAAUAAAAUAUGAGAACUCUCAUAUGCACUUUCCACCAGAAUAAGUCUAUGAGUGUAAUUACCUUAAAGUUUUAAAACAUAAAUCUAAAAGUUCAUACAUGUAUAUAUGUAGAGGUACUAACAGUUUUACAGAUCCGAAAGGAUCUAGGUCAUCGCCUGAGUUGAAUAGAAGUAUAAUUACUGGGCCGAGGCAAUAUUCAUUUGAACAACUAGUAAAGGCGACCAAUUAUUUUUCUAAUAACGAUCUCAUUGGCGAGGGUGGCUUUGGACAAGUUUAUAGGGGAUUACUAGAUGGUGAAACCCUUGCUAUUAAGAAACUCAAAAAUCAUCGAGAUUUACAGUCGCAAGAAUACCUGAAGAAUGAGAUUAUUGUUGUUAGCAGCAUCCGCCACAAAAAUCUUGUUGAACUGCUUGGUUACUGUAUUGAAGGGGCCAAUAAAUUCCUUGUUUUUAAGUAUUUUCCCAAUAAGUCCUUGAGCUCUCAAUUACACGGUGAGUUUCAUCCUUUCCCUUUAUAUAUAUAUAUAUAUAAUUUUUUGUUUCAUAAUCGUUAUGAAAAUUAAUAUAAAUAAAAAUUGAUUUUUGUAGAAAGCGAUCAGGAUUUGAACUGGGAGACAAGAAUAAAUAUCGCUAAAGGCUCUGCAAAAGGCCUAGAAUAUUUGCAUGAACACUGUGAGUAUAUAAUUAAAUAUAUUCAUAGCUAAUAAUUGCCAAGCUUUUUAGCUCUUGAGGUUCUAAUAUCUAUUGUUCUUUCUUUGAGUUAAUAUAUAAUUUAUUUUAUCUUAAAACUUUUUAUUUUUUUUGUAUGUUAGGUGAACCUCCUAUCAUACAUUUAAAUAUCAAGUCAGACAAUAUUCUUCUUGAUGAAGAUUUUAAACCAAAGGUAAAAUAUUUUGAUAAUUAUUGGAUCCAUAAUACAGUGGAACAUCAAAUAUUGUUGGAUGUCAAAAUUUUAUUUUUAAGAGAGCCACUGAGUUUGCCUCUCUUAAACUGUGAGUGAAAGAUAUAUCCACCAUCUUAUAAAUAGAGGGUUUUUAAACUCAUAGGAACUAAUAAUAUUGAUUUUACUAUACCACAAAAACUAAAAUGUAUUUUAUCUUUUUGAUGAAUAUUCUUAAAGUACACAUAACAGUGUAAUUUGUUAGAAUAAGAGUAUAAGAAGUAUAUUUAUGAAAUUUGGUGUAGAAAUAACUACACCUUUUUUUUGUAUAUAUAUAUAUAUAUAACAUAAUAAAUUUAUUUAUCUACUCUUUUUUGAAAAUAAAUUUAUUAAUCUAUUUAAAUAAUUUUGUUUAAUUAGGUGGCUGAUUUUGGACUUGCACGCUUUUUUUCGGAGACUAUUAUUCACAUAUUCAAAUCAGCGACUAUGGAAACCAAAGCGUAAGAUAAUUUAUACAUGUUUAAAUUUUUUAGUGUCAUUAUUAUGUUCUACUUCUAGAAUAAUUAAAAUAAAAUAAAAUACAUAUGAAAACAGAAGGAAACUAGUGUUUCUUUAGAUUUUAAUUUCUUGAAUCUUGACAUGAAUUUUGAUUGAGCUUACUAAAUUGCAGCUAUAUAGAUCCAUAUGCAAUAAAAACUGGAGAGUACACUGUAAAAUCAGAUGUUUACUCAUUUGGUAUUAUGCUUCUAGAAUUAAUUACCGGAAGAAGACUCAUAGAAGAAGACGGCUCUGAUGUUGUUGAAUGGGUAAGGCGUAUGCAACUAGUAUACUUUAAAAAUUUAUGAUAUGUAAUUGUAUAAUUAAAAUAUAAUAAAAGAUAUUUAAGAUCCAAAACUCACCAUUCACAUGCAAUCACUGAUAUUAAUGCAUUUGAAAUUCCCAAUUGAUGUAAGUCUGAGUUAAUAAAUAGACAUAAUUAUAUUUUUAUUGAUAUUCUACAGGCAAAAUCUGAAAUUAAGAAGGCUUUGCGGGAUAAAAAAUUUGAAAGAUUUGUAGAUUCUAGAUUGCAAAUGUUUGACGAUGAAGAAGCGUAUCGAAUGUUGUUCUGCAUUGAUAUUUGUAUAAAUAACAUUCCAAAAUUUCGCCCAUCAAUGAAGAAGGUAAAUUUUUUUUUCUUUUCCAUAUAUUAUGUUAUAAUUGAUAAUAUAUACAAUAAUUUCAUUAUUAUUGUGCCAUAUAGAUACUUCUAACUCUCGACGGAAUUUUGCCUCAACAAAUUAUGCAAUGAGAAGGGUGAUAACAAAUUGACACUGUACCCCACUUUAUAUAUAAUUUCAUCUCCGAUUAAUAGAAGUACAAGUAUUGGGCUGAGGCAAUAUUCAUAUUAACAACUAGCAAAGGCCACCAAUCAUUUCUCCGGUAACAAUCUUCUUGGCGAGGGUGGCUUCGAACAAGUUUACAUGGGAUCAGUAGAUGGUCAAUUCUUGUAACACCCCUAUCCAAUUAUUUAAUUAACCAAGUUAGAGACAUUAUAUUUUGUAACUGUUCUCUUUUUUUUUUAUUUUUUUUAUAUCAUAUAAUUCAUUACCUUUUUUUUAUCGAAAAUCCGACAGAGUUUCCCCUGAAAUAUGAACUUAAUUCCACCUGUGAAUAGAAAUAUCACACUUCUAUAAACUUCAAUCUUAACCCUCAAACUUCUUUUAACAUCAACACAAUUUCAAUUCAGAUCAAACACUUCAUAAUCAUCUCAUUAAUCUCAACACAAAAACUUAUACUAAUAACCCAUAUUUACACCAAAAUUAAAAUCUUUAAAUAUAUCUAAUUCCAACCAUAUAUAACUUCAUCUCUAAAACUUUGCCAUAUUUCCAAAAUUAACUUUAUAUAAAGUUUAUAAAAUAUACUCCAAGAUAGUUAAUGAUGUAACUCUGGUCGGGUUGAUCAGAUCUUGAUCUACUGCUCCUUGGACCUACAACCUGCGCGAGGAAAAAUACAUUCCUACGCGCUAAGCAAAUUGCUUAGUGGUGCUCAACUUCUUUUUAUAUUUAAAAAUAAAUCAUUUAAAUCAAAAUUCAUUUAUCAACAAUAAAUCAAACAAAUAACAAUAAACUAUAUAGCAAAUAAUUUGAAACAAUUCUAAAUCAUAUUAUUAUUUCACAUAUAUACAAAUUUUAAUUUCAGUAUUUUCUUUUUCUUUUUCUUCAUGUAAAAAAAGGUUCUAUUUUCUCUUAAUACUUUUAUUUAUUUAUUAUUUUUCUUUUGGCCCCUAUAAAUUUAAAUGGGACUGUUAAGUCAGAUAAGGAACUGUAUCUAUAGGGCACAAAGUGCCAAAUAGGGAGUGAGGUUUUAAAAAUUUUAAUAAUUAAAAAAAAGGAAUAAUUAAGAUAGAUAAAUGAAGGGAAAAGAAAAAUUGAUAAACUACUUUUACCUCUAACUUUUCAUCUAUUUAUAUUAUUUUUCCUCUUUUACUAUUUUUUAAAUUGAAUUUUCUAUUUUAUUUUCCAGUGAAAUAAAAAUAAUUAUAAAGUAUAUACCAAAACCCCAAUCACAAUAAAGUAAAUAAAUUUUAUUAAAAUUAUUUAUUUAUAAGAGAUAAAAGGGCGGAAAGGAUAAGAAUAACAUUAUUUAUAAAGUCGAUUAAUAAAAUGUCACUAUUAAUUAUUUUUUGGUUUAAAUAAUGGAUACUUUCUGAUUGUUGCAUUAAGUCAUUGAUGGGACCCAUGAGCCCACGUCUAUUUAUCACUAAAAAAAUAUUUACCACAUGCUGCGCAUUAAUAAAAAGAAACUCAUUAAUAAAUUUAUAUGCAUUGCACAAAAUGACAUUGACUCGCCGCUGGAGGCCACAUGCUGCCCAUUCUACGCCAACUUCAACAUUAUAUAUAUAUAUAUUUUUUUUAAAGGAAAACGAAGGUCUGAAUGCUAAAGUUACCUACCGUCUUCCAUCACCCUUUCCACAUCUUCCUCUCUAUCUCUGACCAUUCAUUCACACUGAAUAUACUUGCAAGAAAGCUGUGGUCGUGGUUGCAUAAGUCUGCAACUUCUGACGACCUCUAGCUUGGGGCUGAACCGGGCAGAUUCGCCUUAUGGAUACUAGAGGUAUUACUUGUUGUAGCUGAAUGUGUGGAACCAAAUAGUAGUAGUUUCAUAGAGCUUUCAUUUCAUUUCAUCAACUAAUUGAGGCAUGUUGUUUAUUCUAUGGUCACUAAGCACAGAUCCGAAUGAAUCUGGUUCAUCUUCAUCUGCAUCUGAGAAUUAUGACGGUAUUGGGCCAAAGUCAUAUUCAUACGAUGAACUAGCAAAGGUAACUGGUCAUUUCUCGCACAAUAACCUAAUUGGUCGAGGUGGUUUUGGUCAUGUUUUUAGAGCAUCCUUAGAUGGCGAGACUCGUGCUAUCAAAAGACUUGAUUAUCCGGGUGUAGAGUCUGAAGGAGAUUUGGAAAGGGAGAUUAUGGUCGUAAAAAGCAUCAGUCACAAAAACCUCGUUGAACUGAUUGGUUACUGCAUUGAUGGAGCCAAUAGAUUGCUUAUUUUAAAGUAUUUUCCAAAUGGAUCUUUGAGAUCUAAAUUAGAUGGUGAGUCCCAUAUCCUUUAUUUUACGUUUCAUGUAACUAAUGCGACA